AGAAUAGUACAUUGGAGAAGGAGCGUGAGGAUAUGAAGGCAUGUAGCUAUAAUUACAAGGGAAGUUGUUGUGGCCACAGCAGAAAUGUGGGGGAAUAGGGUGCCCAUAAUUGCCUGCACAGGGCCACCGUUGGUCAUAAGAAAAGUGUGGUUUUGAUGGAUCAACCUUCAUUUGAGGAGGAAAAGCCUCAAUGCCAGGAUGAUAAUACUGAGGGAAUGGCAUUUGGUUUCUCUGGUAUGGGUAUGAGUCCAUACUUCUGAUUGGCAUAAUGUUUCGUGAAGCUACCAGGCAGAAGAGAGAUUUUUAUGGGGUAAGUGUCUGACCUUGGUAACUCUAUAGCGCAACCUCUGCAUUUCACAAUCAAGUGCAGGAUUAGUAUCAUGUAGUACAAGUACUAGAGGGAAAAGUAAGGAGAAUAAAUGUCAACAAAGAACCAGAAAAAUCACAUGAAUAAAGUUCAUCGUAACAAAGAAAUAGAGGACCAAGAAUGAAUGAAAGAACACAACUUUUUAGCAAAUUAUAUGAGAAAAACACCUGAACAGAAGUUGCAAAUAAGAGUAGUCAUUUAUCUAUCUAGAAAACCUAUAUAAAGCUUCUCAGUACUAUAACUACAUGGCAUAACACCAAGAGCACAAAACCUUUUUCUCUGACUCAAACCAUGCCGAACAGAAGCAAAUUAAGAAAAUUCUAAAUGCAAACAAAAUAGGGGAGCUCGAUCGAACUUCCAGACAUACAUUGCCUUCAAUUUUCUCCUUCAUGUUUUUUUUAGUAUUUGUUUCAUGUUUUUUUUAGUAUUGUAUAGUAUUUAAGUAAAUAGGUACAAACCUCAUCUUAUAAAUCAGUUAUAUGAAUUGAGUUAAUCUUAAAGUUCACUUCUUAAUAUGAUAUUAGAGUCAUCUAGAGUAUUUCGAGUUUAUCCUAUUUAUUGGACUUAUUAGGUCAUCCACUAUCAGACCGAACCACCCAUAAUAUAUAGCUCUACACACGGCCUGAGCAUGAAAACACCUAUAAUAUAUAGUCCCACGUACAAGUUAAUAGCCUCAACUAGAAAUUAUGACAUUUUAUAUAUAAAUUGGUAGGACAUUUCAAAGUAUAUAAGUAGGUAGUGGGUAGGACAUUUCAUAGUAUAUAAGUCGAUAGUGGGUGGGACAUUUUAUAGUUGAGUAAGACAUUUUAUAGUAUAUAAAUGGGUAGAAUAUUUCAUAGUGUAUAAGUCAAUAGGACAUUUCAUUGUAUAUAAGUCGAUAAUGGGUAUGACAUUUCAUAAUAUAUAAAUGAGUAAUUGAAUAAUACUGGAAAGUAUUUCUCUAUGUAAAAAACCAACAUUGCCUUGCUUGCUUCACACUCUUAUCAUACUAUGCUUUCCUAAUAUUCAAAAAAGUUUCUUCAUAACAACAGAGGAAAAUUGCCAUAUUUAUGCAAUUUUUUCAUUUUUCUAUAAUGUGACCCCUGUAUAUAAUUCUGAAAAAACAACCAAUAUUUUUAAAUCCAUUAUCAAUCUCUCCAAGACUCAUUUAGUAUUAGAAGUGUCUCAGUGUAUCACUUUCCAAUUCUGAAAUAAAGGCAAUAGUAGAAAUUACGUUGUUGUAUAAUUAUAGGAUUUGCUAGAAGUUAACAGAAAAAACAACUCUUGAUUGGAUCAUCAACUAAAAUUUACCGAAAAUGUUUCUUCACCCACAUGGAAAUAGUAAGAAGAUAACUUAUAGAAGAGGCGAGGAAUGACUUACACUAAAAAUGACUUUGGUGUUCUGAGUGCGUGUGUUGCGAUGCAGCGGAUUACUGUAGUUGAAUUGUUACCGUGAGAAUGCUAAUUGAAGGGAAUGUGCAAGAGAACGUGUUACUCUUAUAUAGGACACUUGUGUCGGAGAAUAGAAAUGUUUAGACUCAAAAAAAUCUUUGUUUUCCAGAUGUUUCGCGCGUUGUCUACUGCUAACUACACCUAUCUUUUCUUUUUUGACUUAUUCUGUAAUUCUAUCCUUUCUGGAUCAUAAAUUCUUUCAGAGAAGUGUGGCAAAAUUGUAAUGUUGGUCGCUCUGUCAAUCUAAAUGAAUAAUUAACUACACUCUUGUUAUUUACUUUUUCCAUGCACCUUAAAGGCAAGACUUUCUAGAGCUGCAAAAAUUAAAAAAUAAAAACAGAAUUUAAUUAACAUUAAGUUGAAUCAAACUUAUAUAAAACAAUUGAAUUGUUUUUUAAAAUUGAACCGAAUUAUUUUUAAGCCUAGUAAUUUGGAACUGAAAUAUUAUUAUUAUGAAACUAUUAAAACUUAUCCAAAUAUUUACUUAUUUUACUCCAAAGCAUUGUAUUUACAAAAUAAUAAUCCUCCUUGACUGAGGUUGAGCUACAUAUCCCAUUAACUAAAAUAUAAUUUCACAAUUCCUCAAUUCUUAUCUUUGUAUUAUUCAUGUUUUAUUGUAUUUAUAAAAAUGCUGAUAAAUAAAUAUAGAAGUAUAAAUGUUACAAUUGCAUAUAAAUUAUCUCUACAUGUUACAAUUGCAUAUAAAUUAUUUGGUUUUUCUGUCAUAUUCCUGAAUAUGGCCUAUGGAUUAUUGUAACAUGGCAUAACAAAAAUGGAGUUUAGUAAAUAAGUCAUGUAGGAAGUUACCCUUCUAAUUAAUUGAAUUUUCUUAAACUAUGUAAUUUGCUCUUCAUUCUUACAAUUAAAUCUUCAAAAUUCUAAAAUCAAUUCUUUAUUUUUUAAUCAUAAUAGUAAUAUAUCAUAUGCCUAGUCAUGAAACCACAAUAUUGGGAAGACUAUUUACUUAUUUUCUCAUUUUAUUAAUAUUAUUAAUAUUUUCAGAUAACAAAAUGCACAUACAUACCUACAAUCCAAUUUAUAGAUAACAUAUAUGUUAUUUAAUCACCAUUUUCUUUCAGGAUCACACUUUUCCUCAUUUUUUUUCUACCUUUUUAUGAUUUUCAACAAUUUUUUUUCUCUGUUUUUUUUUUCAAUCAAUAGGAAUAAAUUUUUCCUAUUUUCAACUUUUUGAAUUUUCAACAAUUAGAACCAACCAUUCCCUUUUCUAUAUGUAUUGCAUCUGUGUUCUCCUUCCUUAAACAUGCUAAAAGGUAGCAAAAUAUAUCAUUAAAGGUUAAGGUGCAAUAUUAACAAAAAAUUUAUUGACCCAAAGAGGAUAUAUAAAAAAAUGGAAUUCCAAUAAGAUAAAGAUUGACUCUUUGGCCUUGGGUUCCUAAUUAUCACAAACAAAUGCCUCAAUCAUCUUCAUGUUCUUUUAUGAUGUAACAAAAAUAAAAAUUAAGCAACCAGAACUAUCAAUUCAUCAAUAAAACUCUCAAAAUUGUUUAAGGUUCACACUCACUUGGUUUAAUUGGUCUCAUUUCUUUUUGUUUUGUCAUUAUCUGUCUUAAUCAAUCAUCUGGUUAAAUUUUCAUGUAUAAUAAUUUUAACUACAUUUAAUAGGGAUUCAAUCAUAUUUUCUUCUAAACUGUGUCUAAUUCAUCUCACUAUUUAAUAUUUAAACACAAAUUCCUUUUUCCAAAAUUCAAAAAUAAUAUUUUAGUUCUUUUUUAUUUGAAAAAAUAUACUAGAACACAAACAAAUUAAAACUGAACUUUAAUUCAAAACCUCAAACUAACAAACUAACAAAAAUAACAAAUUUAUUCAAAAUACAAAAUAAGCAAUUAAAACAAACUAAAAAAAUAAGCAAAUAAAAAAAAACAAAAUAACCGAAAAAUAAAUAAAAAACUAAACAGAAAAUAAAAUUCAAAUAACUGAAAAGAAAAGAGAAUUAGAAAGAUAAAACCAUAUUUUUCUCAAUCAUCUCUUCUUAAGAAGUCAUCCAACUUUUUUUUUUUAAAUCUUUAUCUAUAGUCUUGCUUCAUUUGCUGGAUCAAAAUACAUAACCUGCAAAAUGAAUAGGAGGCAUACAGGAUUUUUUUUUUUUUUUGAAAAAUAAAAUAAAAUAAAAAAUUUCAAUAACAAAAAGGAGCGAAAAAAAUCAUUCCGUGAAUCAUCGAAAUUUGAUUAGAGUUGUAAAAAAAAAGUUGUACACAACAAAAUGAUUAAUAGUUGAAAAACUAUGUAACUUCUUAAUCCAAAUGUGCAACGUGGAGAUUUAAGUAAAAAAAUUGAAUUAUUUAUUUGAACUAAAAAAAUAUUAUUAAUAUUAUUAAUAUUAUUAUUUGUUAUUUUUUAAAUAAAUUUUAAAUAAGUUAUAUACGAAUAAGUUGUUGAAGGUGUUUGUGAAUACCAAUCAGGACUGAGUGAGUAAGAAUCAAAGCCAAGACCCUUAAGUGACCAAAGAAACUUUAACCACUAUACCAAACAAGUUCUUUUGUUAUAUUAUGAUUUUUAUUAUACUUAUUAUCAUUAUUAUAAUUAAUAUUAUUAACCAUAUAAAUAUUAUUAAUAUUAUUAAUAUAAUUUAUAUUAUUAAUACUAUUAAUAUAAUUUAUAUUAUUAAUAUCAUUUAUAUUAUUAAUAUUAUCAAUAUCAUUUAUAUUAUUAAUAAUAUUAAAAUUAUUAAAACUAGUAUAUUAUUAAAAUUAUUAAUAUUAUUAUAUUAUUAAUAUUAUUAAAUAUUGUUAAUAAUAUAAAAAUUAUUAAUAUUGUUAAUAAUGUUAAUUUUUUAAUAUUGUUAAUAUUAUCAAUAUUGUUAUUAUUAAUAAUAUUAAUAUUAUUAAUAUUAUUAUUUUAUUAUUUUUUUAAUUAAAUUUUAAAUAAAUUAUAUAUGAAUUAUAUUCGUAUAUAAAAAAUUUAUUUAUUUAAAUUUUUAAUAAAUUACAUACGAAGAAUAUAUUCCAUAUAUAAUAUUUUUAGUUAAUUUUUAAUUAAAUUUAAAAUAAGUUAGAUGUGAAUUUAUUAGUAUGUAACAGUUUUUUCUUAAUUUAUAUUACAUACAUAUAUAAUUCGUAUAUAAAUCUUUUUAUUAUUUUUAAUUAAAUUUAAAAUAAAUUACAUACGAAUUUAAUCUGUCUGUAACAAUUUCUUUUAAUUAAAUUUUAAUACAUUACAUACAAAUAUAAUCUGUAUAUAACAUUUUUUCUUAUUUUUUAAUUAAAUUUAAAAUAAAUUAUAUAUGGAUUAUAUUCGUAUAUAAUAAUUUUUUUAAAAUUAAAUUUUUAAAUACCUUAUAUAGAUUAUAUUUAAUAAUUUUUGUUUUUUGAAUUAAAUUUUAAGUAUCUUACAUACGAAUUAGAAUCCAUAUAUAUGGAUUUUUAUCCGUAUGUCGAUAUGUAAUUCAAGAUUUUCUUGUAGUGAAUGUUACUAUUAGGAUUUUAAACAACAACUGUUUCUUGUGGAUUUGAUAUUUAUCCUUAGGGAUAAAGUAUUACUUCUAACUUAGUACACUUGUUUUGAAAAUAGUCACCACCUCCCGAGAAAUCAGGUAACACUGAUUUAGUGCAUAUAUAUGCUAUAUAUCCUAUUACUAAAUGUUAUGAAUAAGUCUUUUACAAUGGAGUCUCUCUUAAUACAUAGUAUUUACUUGAUCGUUGGAAAAUCUUUUGCAGGUUUAAUCCCGACCAAACGCUAAGGAACUAAGGAGAAGAAGUGUUAAAGUCCGAAAGAGUGAACACUAAAGUACAAGAAAGUGAUCGAUAUCUACAAUAAUUAUUAUAUAUAAUCUAAGACAUUAUCUUACUCACUUAAGAGCAUUAUUUGGUUGGUAAUUUAAUAAUUUUUAUUUGUAUAUUAAAUAAAAAUAAUUAUUAUUGAGUGUUUACACACACCAUAAGCAAAUAGAAGAUUCCUAUUAAAUAAAUGAUUUAUCUUUUUAUUUAUCUAAAAAUAAAGUCAAUGGUUGUGGCUGUAUCAACUUUUCAUCUUAUCCUAUUUAAUUCUUAAAUUGGAAUCAAACACACCCUUUUUCGGCCCAAUUUAGUACGUUUUGGUUGGACCACAGACUUUUGAGUAGAUCAAACAUAGAUUGUUUCUUCCUGCACCUCCAUACCUUCUUCUCUCACCUCCAUAAGUUUUCAAAUUUCGAAAAAUACUCCUUUAUAAUAUUUUGGAUUACGUAAUCCAGAAAUCAUUUUUCAAAUUUGUAAUUAGCUACCGGAUUACAUAAUCCGGAAGCCAUUUUUCAGAUGCAUGAUUAUUCUCCGGAUUACAUAAUCUAGAAGUCUUAUUUAACUUCCGGAUUAUGUAAUCCAGAAGUCUUUUUUCAAAUGAGUCUCCGAAUUACAUAAUCCGAAAACUACUCUAUGGGGGUAACACAAGAAGGACAAAAAUGUAUUUUCAUAUUAUGUAUGGAGGUGGCAGAAAAAGAUAUAGAGGUGCAGGAAGAAACAGUCUCAAACAUAACAAGACUUCAUAAUAUUUGUUUUUAUGGGUAGUUAUAAUUAUAAAAAAUAAACUUGUGUAAUUAUAUAAAAAUAAUAAUAAGUAAAAUAGUACAUAUAAAAUUAUUAUAAAAAAAAUUUAUCAGUGUUAAAUAUCAUUGUCUCAUUUUAUAGUAGAAAUUUGAUUUCAUUUACUACACAUAAGAUUAUCAGAAUUACUAGUUAGAAAAUUAAUAUUUUUAAGAAUAUGCUGGAAUUAAUUAUUUAUAUAACUUCUCAAUCUAUUAUAAUUUUAGUUGAAAAUGUUUUAUUAAUCAUUGGUUAAAAGGUCUCGAAUAAAUAAUAAGGUUGUAUAUUAAUGUUAUAUUAUUUUAUUGAUUUAUGACAUACUAAUUUGUUAUGCCCACGCAUAUUUAGAUUGAAGAAUGAAUUUGAGUGAGUGAAAAAUUAAAAAGGAAAAUGAUUUAAUUUAAGAGGAAAAAGAAUCUUUUUUUUAUAAAUGAUUUAAUUAAUGUGAUAAAUUUAAAAAAUUAUUAAAUAAUAUAUUUAUAAAAUGAUUAAAUUAUCUUUAUAACUAUAAAUUUAUAAAUUAAUGUUAAUUAAGUAUUAGAUUAUAAUUGUAUCAUUAUCUUAUAAUUUUAAUUUUAAUUUUCUUAUUUUUAUCAUUACUUAUUAUUUUAUGAUUUCAUAUUAUUAAUAUUUUUAUAAUUUGGUCUAUGGUUCCCCAACAAAGUUUCUAAACCUGGUUUUGCAAAUCCACAGCUACCAUGUGAUGUUCUCUCUAGUUAGAUAGAUAAACCUAAGGGUAAGAAUUAUUCACCUGAAUUGUUAAUUUCAAUUCAAGGUUAUAAAAUAAUAAUAAUAAUAUUUAAUUAAUUUAUAAAAUAAUAAGAAAAUUAGAAAUAAUAACACUUACAGAGCAUGAAAGAUAAACGACACACACGACAAAGACCCACAGACGCAGUGAUAUUAAAUGACCCACUGCUUAUAAAAAGGGUCCUAACUUGAUCCUAAUGCAUACCCUUGUUCAAAUCUUUAAUCUCUCUUUCUUUUAGCUAUCAUCAAAAUCACGUGUGAACUUCUUCAUGGCUGAUGGUGCUUUUGGAAUGAGAGGUACUGCAGUAAUGAUUUUUAACAUAGGCAAUAUCCAAAUAUGUAACAUGGCAAUAGAAACCAAUCCUGUUGAUGGUCUUGUUGCCUUCAUCUUCUUUGUACUUCUCGUUUUCUUCCAACUCAGAUAUCCAGAUAAUCCCACCCCAUAUCACCUUCAUCCAAACACCAUUUGGCUUUCCAUUCUUAGCUUUCUUCUUUAUUGCUUCUUCAUCUUCUCGGGUAACCUCUACUUUGGUAUCAGAGUUAAUCACUUUCAAACCCUCAAGCAUGUAUUCGGUUCACUCUCAUUGCUUUGCUUGCUGGUGCUGAUGCUACCCGACACUUGGGAAUGCUUCACUUUCCUUAUUUACAUUUCAUGGUUCAUCAUUCAUGUGCUCUCGCUUUCAAAAACUCACUUCAUGGAAACAAAAUAUGAGGAGGGUGGUGCGUCCACUGUUACCAAUCACUUCAAUGGAUUUUAGUUAACUACUUCAUCACUGGGCUUCUGUUUGGAUGAGGACGGAAGUGGAAAGAGAAAUAAAAGAGAAGAAUAGUGGAGUUAACUCGAAAACUAAGAUUGAUAGAGAGGAAUGUAAAAUAUUUAUGAGAUUAUAAAUUAUUUAAAUUAAAAUAAAGAUAAAUGUGGAAACGUCAAUAGUAACAUCAAUUUCUCUCUCUCUCUCUUGAAACAUCGUUUAACUCAUGAAUUAGAACUGAGCUUCAGAAAGAAACAAACACGUAUAGGUGCAGCAGCGUGCUACAGCAACGAAAGCUAAUCGUUUUUUGUCACCACUUGCUAUCUAUGGUGCCAACUGCAACUCAAAACCCGCCAGCAACAACCAACAAAAGCAAUGCGAAUCAAAGAUUGAAAAUGUGGUUAAAAUGAAAUAUUGAAACCCUAAAAACUGUUACGUUUAGUGUGGUUCUGUCUGCGAGGUUUUCGGUGUGCGAUCACUGGGGCCGCUGCACUGUCUUUGAAUGGAAGAAUAUUAUCAUUUAUUGGAAACACGUAUACAGAUUAAAAAGUUAAUAUUUAUAAUAUUAUUAUCACACGUGUGUCAUAUUAUUUAUAUUCUAAUAGAUAAAAAAAUUAGUUGAUAGUUAAAUUACUUAUGCGGAAAUGAAUAAAUACAUGCAAUAAUUAAUAAAUGUUGAUUAGACUAUGGAAAAACUAUACUCGCUCUUUACUCUUUGUUUAUUUUAGAUAAACAAUUCUCAUUGGUUUUAACUUCAAAGUUGAUAUCAUACUUAGAGUGAUUAAAAUCUGUAUGAUUAACUUUAACAUUUUACACCUCACAACUUCAAAUACAAUUCACUCAAGAUUAAUCCUUAAAAUCCACUCUUCUUAGAUAAUUCAUAAAAAACUAAUUUAAAAUUAUUAUUCAAAUUUAUAUAUAAAAGUAUAUUUUAGUUUGUAGAAACCCAAUUUCUUCCAGGCUGAAGAUUAUAUUACUAAGUUCAGUUUUCUUAGAAGUAAAAUGCUAAUCCUUAAUUGAUUACUUAAAAUGAAAAGUGAAAUAUUAUUGAAAAUUUAUCAUAUUAAAUAAUAUAUAUUAAUUCCUCUAAAGUUAAAUAUAUGAAAAAUAUUUAUGUAAAGUGAAUAAAGAGCAUAACAUGUCUACGAACUAAUUAGAAAUGAUUAUUAAGAUAUUUUUUUUUUAUAGUUGAACAUAUAUUUAUGUUUCUUUAUCAACAAUGAAUUAAUAAAAUUAAAAAGAGAGAACAUAUAUUUAUGUAUUUUAGUAUAACUUAAUUAAAAUUCAAAUUUGACCCUUUUUACUUAAGUAACAAAGAAUACCCCACACACUACAAGAAUAAUAAGAUUUAGCUGCAAUAGAAAGCGUGGAUCACAAUAUUUGCGUAGGUUAAGUCUACACAAAAUGAAGAAGAAAAAAAAAACAUAAAUAGCGUCGGUCAAACACACGAAAAAUUCACACACUACAAGAAAACAAGUAAUUAGUUUCCACAUAUUUGCAUGGGCCAAAUGUGGACGCAUUUUCGUCGACCAAACCCACGCAAAACGGAUGCAAACUUAAAAAAAAAUAAAAAAAAAUUUAUAAUAAUAAAAUUUUAAAUUUUUGAAGGUUUAGCCUGCGCUAUGUCUUUGAAGCUAAGUCCCCGCUAUGCCUUUGAAGCUAAGUCCCCGCUACUUAAACGUUUUGAAGGUUCAGCCCACGCUAUGAUUUUAAAAUUAAAAAUAUUAUAAUUAAUUUAUUUCAAAACUUCUAGUUGUUGAAAAGUGGUACUGAACUCGAAUAUAAGCCUGAGAGAGCCCACAAAACUGCUGAGCAUACUGAACAUUUCUUCCUCCACUCCUUCUUCUUCUUUGACCCUUCUUCGUGACGGUGAUCGUGCGACCGUGAACAUUCAUCCUCCACUCCUUCUUCUUCUUUGACCAUGACGGUGCUUCGACCGUGAACGUGCAAUCGUGAACGGUGAGUUUCACAUUUCUUCCUCCAUUCCUUCUUCUUUUUUGACGACCGUUAAUAAGUAACCCUAGGUUCUUGAUGUAGGUUUCCCAUAUACUUGCUUUUUCUUACAAUUAUGAUGCCGAUUUGUGUAACCCUAGGAUGAUUUUGUUUAACCCUGGAGUAAGUGAGUUUGUUUCGAAGGCAAUGGAUCAAACUUUUUAUACUAUAGAAGGAGGGAUAAGGUGUCCUUGCAUAAAGUGUGUCUGUGAGAAAAUUCUUCCACCAUCACAUGUGAGGGCUCAUUUGCUACUAUAUGUUUUUAAACCUAACUACACAAUUUGGGUUCAACAUGGAGAAGAGAUGUCAAGUGAGGACAAUGUUGGUUAUGCAUCCAGUAGCCAUGGAAGAACGAAACCAGUUGAUAACAUUGGUUCAAUGACCAAUAUGGUGUAUGAUGCAUACAUGCAAGAAGCAGACAUAACAAGUCAUUAUGAUCACAUGGACAACGAUGAUGAAUAUGUAGAAGAGUCACCUAAUGCAGAAGCCCAAAGGUUUUAUGAUAUGUUAGGAGCUGCAAAUGAACCCAUUUAUGAUGGUGCCACCGAGUCAAAAUUAUCAGUAGCCAUCAGACUACUAGCAACUAGAACGAAUUGGCAUCACCUGAAAAAUAUUUAGACCAUUUCAUAAAAUUGUUAGUUUAUGUAGCUCCCAAAGACAAUUGCAUACUAAAGAACUACUACGAAACUAAAAAAAUUGUGUCAAGUCUUGGGUUGAAAGCCCAAAAAAUUGAUUGUUGUGAAGCUGGAUGCAUGUUAUAUUACAAGGAUGACAACCUUUUAACUGAAUGCAAAUUUUGUCAUCUUCCUCGAUAUUUUUCUCCUAAGGGUGACAAGGGAAGAUACAAACAAAUUCCAAGGAAGAGAAUGUUUUAUUUGCUAAUCAUCCCAAGAUUACAAAGACUGUAUGCAUCAGUAGAAUCUGCUAAGCAAAUGAGAUGUCAUUUUGAAAACAAAAAAGAAGAUGGCAUACUGCGACAUCCAUGUGAUAGGGAAGCUUGGAAGCACUUUGAUAAGAUAUAUCCGAAUUUUGCUAUUGCCCCACGACAUGUGAGACUUGGUUUAUGUUUCGAUGGGUUCACUCCUUAUGUCCAAGCUUCAACAUCCCCAUAUUCUUGUUGGCUUGUAUUUCUUACUCCUUAUAAUUUGCCCCCUGAAAUGUGUAUGACCAAACCAUACAUGUUUCUAACUUGUCUCAUACCUGGCCCAAGUAACCCAACUAAAAAAAUAGAUGUCUACUUGCAACCUCUUAUUGAUGAUCUUAACCAAUUGUGGAAUGAAGGUGUAAUGACAUAUGACAUCUCUACAAGAAAAAACUUUAUCAUGUGAGCUUGCUUGAUGUGGACAAUCAAAGAUUUUCCAGCUUAUGGCAUGUUGUCAGGAUGGGGUACUAAAGGGAAAUUAGCAUGUCCCCAUUGUAUGGAGGACACAAAAGCUUUUACAUUACCACAUGGUGGGCAAAGUAGUUGGUUUGACUGUCACCGUCGAUUCUUGCCUACCGAUCAUCCAUUUAGAAGAAGCAAGAGGAGAUUUACGAAAAACAAGAUUGAGUUGGAUGGGCCUCCUAAUUUCCUAAAUGGAGAGCAAUUGUGGGAAUUUAUUCGAGACUUUCCAAAGGUGACUGAUGGUCCAUUUGAUACCUUAUUAGGGUAUGGACAAUAUCAUAAUUGGACAAAAAGAUCAAUCUUUUGGGAUCUGCCAUAUUGGAAACACAAUUUGCUAAGACACAAUCUUGAUGUCAUGCACAUUAAAAAAAACUUUUUUGAUAAUGUCUUCAAUACUGUGAUGGAUGUCAAGGAUAAAAUAAAGGACAAUCACAAGGCAAGAAUGGAUGUUGCUGAAUUUUGUGGACGGGGUGACUUAGAAUUGGUUCAGUUACGAAAUGGGAAGUUAGGAAAGCCAAAGGCAAACUACACUUUCACAAAAAAAGAUGCAAAAUCAAUUUAUAAAUGGAUUACAGAAUUAAAAAUGCCUGAUGGAUAUGCCUCUAACAUUGCCAGGUGUGCAAACAUUGAUAAAAGGAGUAUGCAUAGUAUGCAAAGUCAUGAUUGUCAUGUCUUCAUGGAGUGUUUAAUACCAAUUGCAUUUCGUUCAUUACCAUAAUUUGUUUGGAAUGCGAUAGCUGAAAUAAGUCAAUUUUUCAGAGAUUUAUGUUGUAACUUUUUGAGGAUGGAUGAUUUAAUUCGAAUGAAAGAGAAUAUUUCUAUUAUUAUAUGUAAAUUGGAAAGAAUCUUCUCACCGGGUUUCUUUGAUUCAAUGGAACACCUGGUUAUUCAUCUUCCUACUAAGACAAUACUUGGUGGUCCUGUCCAAUACAGAUGGAUGUAUCCAUUUGAAAGGUAAUCACCCAAUCCUCAGUUUUAUUGUUCAUAAUUAUUGUUCAAUACUUAAAACUUUAAGGUGAUCUUAACAUAGCAUUUUCACUCAUUUCCAUUUAAGCAUUUAUUAUAUUCAUUAACUUUUAUUUAAAUUUGUUGUUCUUUUUACAGAUUCGAGUGACUUGGGCCUCUCAUGAUGAUUGGCAAAUUAGAAAAGUGUACGAGUCAAAGGUGAGAAAACGCCUCUCUGAUAUGCUUGGUAAAGCUAGGAUGAAAGCAACUAGACCUAACUGGAUUAGUGAACAAGCAUGGAUAGGUCUCUUGGACUAUUGGGAUUCGAAAAAGUUCAAAGAACAAUCAAUCCAAAAUAAAUUGAAUAGGUCAUCGACUCGAGGUGGGGCAUUGCACUCUACUGGUUGUAAAUCACACCUCGACAUUGCAUUGGGCCUAGUAAGUAUCUAUAUUUUGUUGCAUAAGCUUAAAUUUAGUAGAUAAUAUCUAAUGUUGAUAACUUUUCCAUUUAUUUCAGGAACGAAAAUUUGGUCGGCCAGUUGAACCCGAUGAAUUAUUCAUGGCCACACACUAAGAAAGAUGGACUUUGGGUACAUAGUCGUGCCAAACAGACGUACAUAAGUUAUUUCUCUACUUUUGUAUACAUGAUUUAUAUUUCUAACUUAUUAUUGUCCCACUUACACUUUUCACAAUGAACCAGGAAACCUACCAUGAGCGAUUGAAAGACCUCCAAUCAGACAACUCUGAAGGAUCAACUUCCAACAGCCAACCGAUCAAUCCAACAACAAAACUUCAAUGCUGGAAGGAUGUUGUUGGAGGCAAGAGUAAAGGUCGAUGUUAUGACACUGCAGACUUGGCUUCCAACAUUUGCCAUGAAGUGUCUUCCCUAACCCAACCUUCAAUACUUGCUCCUUCCAGUGAUUACUUUUCUCAUAAUGAACAACUUCAUCAACAAGUGAUGCAAGCAAAUGAAAGAACCGAUCAAGCAACUCAAAUAGCUGCUCAAGCAAAUCAAAAGUGUACAAUGUUGGAGGAUAAAAUCAACUUCAUGGAGCAAAAAUUAACCAUGAUGAUGGAGCGACAACAAGGUGACACCUCAACAAGCACAAGUCAGGUUCACCCUCACUAUGCUCGAAACUUUGAUGAUCAACCCCUGCCUUGAGUUCAUCAUUUUGUAAGUUUUCUUAAAACAAUAUUUAUGUAUGGUAGUAUAACUUGCUUUUCCUUGUAUUAACUAAAUUAUAUUUCAUUACCACCCUAAAGUUGCUUUUGGAGAAAUUACCUUCAUUGAUGUCACAUACUGUUGUUUAUGAAGUUUGAUAAUGUACAAAAUAAUCAGAAAGUAGAAGUUUCUUUUCCUUUGGUGGGUGAUUAGAUAGUAGCAUAUACUGAUUUGUUGUAAGCAAGGUAGGCUUUAAUAGCUCAACUUAUAAUUAUGAUUAUGAUUAUGCAGGGGGAGUUAGAUAGCACGAAGUAGUUGCUAGGAUUAUGAUGGUUUUCUGCUGCAGUUUUGGUACUGGUUUUGCUGGUUUUUAUGUUGUGCAAAUGCUGGUUUGUCACUGCAGUUUUGGUACUUCUUUUUGCUGGUUUCAUGCUGUAUAAAUGUUGGUUUUCUGCUGCAGUUUUGGUGCAGUUUUGGUGUUGGUUUUAUGAUGUACAAAUGUUGGUUUUCUGCUACAGUUUUGGUACUGUUUUUAGUUGGUUUUAUGCUAUAUAAAUGCUGGUUUAUGUUGUAGUUUUGGUGCUGGUUUGAUACUGUUUUGUUGCAGUUAAAGUGUUUUUGAUGUUCUUUUUGGAGCCUAGGCACUGUUGUUUCCAGGUUUAGUAGCAGGGUGUUAAGCAUAGUUUGUUUGAGUGUGUGUCCUUGUUCUUUGGGAAUGUUUGUAGUCAUCUGUUUUGUGGAUGAUCUCUUUAGUUUUAGGCUCUUUCUUAUUAUGUUAAAACAAGAACCAAAGGAACCUUAUAUAACUCAACUUUUGUUUGUCAACAAGUUACUAUUUUUUAAAGCGUGUUUUCUGUUUUUCUUGGUAUUUUGAAGAGUGUGAAGGUAAGCUUGUCUUGGUAUCUAUCAGCUCAACCUUAGUUAAUUAAAGUAACUUUAGUUCAAUUUCAAUCAAAAUAUCUUCAAUCACAAACCACAGAUAUCACGUUUCUACCUUUGUAUUUUUGUACAAAAUUCUAAGUUUAUUAUCGUGGGCCUUGUAUUAGAAAAUAAUUUUUCUUGUUCUUUUCCUUGUUCCUAUUAAAAAGAUUAUUUUUCUUACUCAUUUUAAAAACAAUAUUCAAUUUUCAAGACAAGUAAAAAGUAUAAAGAAAAAGUUAUAAAUAAAAAUUUUUUAGUAAGAAAAACAUUUCUUCAUGUUAGAUUGCUCCCUAUAAUAAUUUUAUCUUGAAUAAUUAUAUUGAAAAAAAUGAAAUAGGUAAAAAAUAAGAUAAAUACAAUAAGAAAAAGAGAAAUAGAAUAAUUUAAAAUUGAUUUCACAUUAGUUAAUGUAAUUUUAAAAUUGAUUUAUUUUAAUAAAAAAAAUAGUUCUGUUUUUUAAAUUGAUUUAUUUCAAUAAAAAUAUAUUUCAAACUGGAAACUAGAAACUGUAGUUACGUGAAAUUCUUUGUGUGUCAAACUUGUAGGCUAAGCCUGCACUUUUUCAAAGAAAUAAUAUAAAAAAUAUUUUGAAGGCUAAGUCCACGCUAAUUUGUGGCCAACAUGAAGGCUUAGCCUACGCUUAUUGUGUGCCCCCUCUACUUGGACAUUUUGAAGGUUUGACCCACGCUAAUAUAAUUUUGUGUGGGCUUAGCGUGGGUCAAACUCACAAUUUUUUAUAACUACUUGGACAUUUUGAAGGCUUGACCCACGCGAAUAUAAUUUUGUGUGAGCUUAGCGUCGGUCAAACUCACAAUUUUUUAUAAAUUUCUAAACUCCUUGUAGGCUAAGUCCACGCUUGACCUACGGAAAAAACACCCGCCGUGUAUAUUAGCUUCAAAAUUCUUAUUAACGCUAUGCCAAUAAUGAUCAUUUUACGUAGGUUUUUCAUACUUAGCCUCCGAUUUUGCCCCACGAUAAUAAACUUUUUUUUUUUAGUGACAUGUGUAUAUAUAACAAACUUUUUUCCCCAAAUGACAAUGAGAUACUUAUGAAAAUUAAUUUUAUGGAUAACACCAUUUCAUAUUUAAUUUUCUGGAUGACACUAUUUUAAAUUUAAGUUUUUGGAUAGCACCUUUUUUUCACGCAGAGAAUUCAGUUUCCAAGAACCUUUAUUUUUUAUUUCUCAAAAAAUAUGUUUUCUUUUUGGGGACCUGAAUUCUGGGGAUUUUUUUUUAAAAAAAAAAUCAAAAUAAGUAAUGGAAAAAAUUAAAUAAAAUUAUUAGGAUAUUUUAUAAAAAAAAUAUUAAUUGAAUGGUUUAAUUUUUUUAAGAAAAAAGUUAAGUUAUUCAUUAUAUUUAUACAUGUAAUAAAAAAAAUUAAGUGAAUAGUGUAAUUAUUAGGUUUAAAAAAAUAAGUAUAUAAAUUACAAUUUUAAAAUAAAAUACAAAAUAUAAAAUAUAAAAUAUAAUUAAAAUGGAAAAUAUGGUGUAAAUAAAGAAUGAGUUAUAUAUAAAUAUAUAUUAUAAAGUAUAAUAAAAAAUAUUUUAUAAUAAUAUUUAAUUAUAAAUAUAUAUAAAAAAGCAUUAAAAAAAAUAUGCGGUUAGUUAAAGUAUUAUUUUGUAUAUUAAUUAGAGGUAGAUGAAAAAUAAUACAUAAAUUUAUAAUUUCGUGAAAAUAAAUUUGGAGAUUUUUUUUUGAAAAUUGUACUUGUAUAGAUAAAGUGAGCCUAGAUAGUACCUGAAACUGGUUGUACAAUUAUUGAUGUGUCACCCCCUUACUCCUCACUUCAAGUCUCCUUCUUUAGUUGCUGGUGCUCGGUCGGGGUUGACAUAAAAAAGGUACUCUGACGAUCAAGUAAGUACUCUGUGGUAAGAGUGUAUAGUGAAAAUUGGUAAAAGCGUAUCUUACAUCUCUGCAGAGGGUUUAGUGUUUAGUCAUGGACCAAAUCUAUCAAAUAUCAGUGUUAACUGAUUUCUAGCGUGAUCCCUAAUAGUAAAAUAUAUUGUUAUAUAGGUACAUUUGGAGAAUAUCUGUAAUAAAUCAAUAUGUUUCACUAAAUCAAUGUUAGCUUAUUUCUCAGGAUGUCACCUGAAUUCGGUGGGACAUGAUUAUGAUUCGUUGGGAUUUUUCAUAUGUGUCAUUGUUGUCAUUUAUUGAGCGUCUUUAAUGUAUAUUUAAUUCGGUCGGUCGAUCACCGAGACCGAGUGAUUGACUCGUCGGGUACACUUGCCCCAGGCUCAAGAAACGUUAGUUUCCGAAAAGUCUAUAUGUGACUAUUGGGUGCCCCGAGGUGAGAUGUGACUUAGACUCAUUCAAUGCGCUAUCAAAUACAUGACGUACAUCUUUUCAAUGCACCACUUCGUGUGUACUGUUUGAUCGAAGAUAUCUAACGGUUAUGAAAUCAUGUCGUUUCGUAUGCCAAGUGUUAUGCGCCCUUGGAUGAGAAGCAAUUUCACUCUCUUUCUUCAUUGCUCUCUUUAAAUAGAAACACUUGUUGAACUUGCAACAUUUACUACCACUUUUCUUUGCUAUUGAGUUUAUCAAGCGUGAUCUGAGUGUUGAGUCUCGUUCAAUCUUCUCUCUUUCACUUUUUUAAUCCAAAAGGUUAGUAAUGGCUUUCCCCGCUGGAUCUUCUAGAAUUAUUUUGAGUUCUGAGUCUUUUCAGCAUACUCACUCCGCAUCUGGUGGUGUGAGGGAUUUUAGUGGUUGGGAUCAAGCAGUUGACCUUGCCAGCCGACCUUUUGAUGAUCCUAACUGAGUGGGUUGAUCCUCGCGUCUUGGACAUCCCUACUUGUUUUAAGGGUCCCACCGCUUUAGACGAUGUUUUGUUUGAAGUUUCGAUUUUGAGACCUGAUGCCCCCUCAGACGCGGUUGUAGACGAUAGUUGUAACCACACCGUCUGAGUCUGUCACGGUCGGAAAAAUGCUCCCCAUGACUUUUUCUUUGUAUAUAUUUGUUUUUUCAGCGAUUUACAUGUCACCCUUCCUUUUAAUGAGUUUACAGUGGGGGUCCUUCAGAUCCUCAAAGUUGCUCCUACUCAGUUGCACUCAAAUUUAUGGGCAACUCUUCAAAAUUUUAGGGCGGUUUGCGAUGUUUUUAGAUUGAAGCCGACUCCUCAAUCCUUCUUUUUUUACUACAAUUCUCGACUGACCACCCCUGUGAGUUGGUUAUCUUUAACAAGUCAUCCGGACAACAUUCGUUUCGCACCCUACACCUCGUCCUCUAAACAUUUUAAGGAGAGAUAUUUCAAAAAAAAAAACUUUAAGGAGAGAUAUUUCAAAAAAAAAACUUUAUGAUCUCGUCCUAUAACCAUUUCUUUAUGAUCUGGAAGGGAGACUGAAGUUUCCUUUCCAUUGGACCCAAAAUCCCACGCAGUACUAUCCUGGCCGAGGUCCUCCAUGAAUCCCCAUAAUAAAGAAAUUUUCUAUGUUCUCGACCAACUUCCGAAUAAGCUUGUGGCUUUGUAUAAGUCGUCCAAAAGAUGGACCGACCUGACCGAUAUGAGACAUUUCAAUGUAUAUAAUAUUCGUUCAAUAUGUUGACUAGAUGUUUAAUCUGUUUGUGUUUUGCAGAAAUCAUGUCUUGUAUUGACCUCGAAUCUGUGAAUAUUCUAAAACAAUUGAAGCGCCAAGCGGCCAAGCGUCAAAAAGGGUCCUUGGAGGUGCUAGGGGCGAGAACAUCGACCCCUAUUCUUGACGUGGUGCCACCAAUGGCUACCUUGCAACCUUCCAACCCAAAAAAGAUAGGACGUCCAGCUAAGACGUCCCAUCCUCGAACCGAAAUUGGGUCAUCUUCCUAUUCACUGUCGAUGUUGGUUGAACGUCUACAACUGGCGCAGGGCGUUCAAGUGGCAAUGACGACCCAAGAGGAAAAUAUCCCAAUUACCAUUUCAACAAGUGAUUUGGUGGCAGGAUUAACCAAAAUGUUGAGUCGCUCCCUUGUGGUGAGCCGAACGCUUAGCAAUGAGUUGGAGAGGAACUCAUCCACUGUGGUGGCUAAGCUGAAGGUAGAAUUAGACGAGUCCUCCAACUUGUUGAAGUCAACCAUGGAGGCCAUGGAAUUGCUGGACGAGAAGUAUCGUUAAGUCAAUGUUGAUGUUGAUGAGGCCAAAAAUAAGGUUUCAAAGAAACAGGAACAUCACUAUUUAAAAUGAUUCUAUGGUCAUACCUUUUAGGUUGUGGAAGUUGGGUAGGUUCUUGAAAAACAUCUUCAAAUUGAUUUAAUAAUUCAUCCAGUUGUUGUUGUGCACUCUAACACAUAAACUAAGAAUGUGAUGCAAUCUAAAAAGUAGUUGCACCUUGUAUGGCUAAUAAAAGAGGUUGACCCUCUACAAGCUUAACUUUAUUGGAAAUUUGAACAUUAUCAUUUUGCUUUUUCUCUCCUAUUAAAGUCACCUUAUCUCCCUUAUGAUUGAAGGUCAUAGUUAGUUGUGCACAAUUCCAUACAAUCUCCCCUAAUGUUUGAAACCAUUGUAUUCCUAAAAUAACUCCAAAAUUAGUACUAGGUAAUACCAAAAAAUCAGCUUGGAAAGUGUGAUUAUGAAACUGCCAUUCAACCCCAAUACACUGUUUAGUAAUUCUGAGUUGUCUAUCCAAAGCCACAAUUAUUGAAAAAUCAUUGAUGAAAACUGUCUUAAACCCAAUGAUUUCAUCCAUUUCUCACUAAUAAAGUUGUGGUGCUACUUGUGUCCAUUAAAAAUGGAACCCUUUUUUUUUAAUCAUACCAGUUAGCUGUAAAGUACUCCCACCAGCCACUCCUUGAAGGGCAUGUAAAGAAACAUGUAUUGGCGACUCAGGAAACAAUUACAGACUGAGUGUAAUUAAAUUCAUCUCCUCAUCUUUGUCUGAAUCAUCCUUCUCCUCCAUUAGAUCUUGGGAAACAAAAAUAACAUUUAAUUUGCCCCAAACCUUACAUUUAUUUAUAUGGUUCUUAUCCCAUUUUUCACCACAGAAUUUGUACAACCCCUUAGAAAUACGUUCACUAACCUCUUUUCUGGAAAUAGAACCUAGAGUAUUAGUCUUGUUGUCCAAUCCUAAGAUUGUCUUAAAGGAACUUUGUGUAGCAUGAGAUUGUAAGGUAGUAAUAUGUGCAUAUUUAUGGUAAAACUGAGACUGAUUCCUGGUCUUAAAAUUUUUGUGGUGCUCCUAUGAUCUUCCCAUUGAAAUCCCAUGAAUUUCAUUAGUCAAUUCCUGCAAUACAUCUUCCCAGAGACUGGCUAACUACACUGCUUCUUGAAAUGUAGAAGGUCUUUGUAAAUGGACUGAUUUCUCCAAUCUCACAGUUAAACCUGACAAGAAAAAACUCAAAGCAAUUUCUUCAAAAACUAUAACUCUGACCAACAAAUUAUCAAUUUUUUCCAAAUAAUCAAUUAAAGAAUUUCCCUGUUUUAAACGAACAAAUUCAACCACGGGAUCAUCAAAGGCACCAUCAUCAAAUCUUUGAGCUGCAUCCUUCAAGAUUUGUGUCCAAGAUUGAUGUUGGAAAUCAAAAGUCUUAAUGUAAUGACGCUGCCACGCAAAAGCCUUUCCAUCCAUUGACAACAACAAUAAUCUUGUUCUUUGUUAUAUUAGGGUGUCCUCCAAUUCGAAAAAGUGUUCCACUUUGGCCCUCCAAUCCCGGAAAUUGGAUCCAUCAAAUGAUGGAAAAUGCAACUGGGUUCUAUGAAGCACCGAAGAAGAAUUAUUGACAAGUUCUUGAUUUGUGCAAGAAGAAGACGAAAGUUGUUGUAAAACACCCCUAGUAGACAUAGAAGAUAUUAAUCCUUCAACAACCUGUUGUAAACUUUGUAAAUAUUUCUGGGUUGCUUCUUGAGAUUUUGCCACUAGUUUCUCCACAGAGUCCUCCCUUGAUUCUAAUUCUUUAGUGGUCACCAUCUCACCUAGCAAAUUGAUAUCACAGUUAAAGUAGAUUCCAAUAAUAAUCUCUCUUUCUGAUCACACAACUCACACUAUUCUCUCACUUUAGUGUUCACUCACACACACAAAGGUAUGCUCUCACAACACAAAUGUUGGUAGGAUAGAAGUAAAACUGUUAUAUUUUUAUUCUACACCCUUGAAGGACUUAUAAACCCAUAUUUUGUUACAAUACAACUGUUCUAUCUUGAGAACAUAACCAAAACUAACUACUAACUUUGUUUUAAAAGAGUUAUAUAACAACCUUAAAGACCUCAAAAGACAAGCUACAAAAAUAAAAAUAAACAGAAUUUAAUUAAUAUUAAGUUGAAUUAAACUUAUAUAAAAUAAUUGAAUUGUUUUUUAAAUUGAACCGAAUUAUUUUUAAGCGUAAUUUGAAACUGAAAUAUUAUUAUUAUUGUGAAACUAUUAAAACUUGUCCAAAUAUUUACUUAUUUUACUCCAAAGCAUUGUAUUUACAAAAUAAUAACCCUCCUUAACUGAGGUUGACCUACAUAUCCCAUUAACUAAAAUAUAAUUUCAAAAUUCCUCAAUUCUUAUCUUUGUACUAUUAUUUAUGUUUUAUUGUACUUAUAAAAUGCUGAUAAAUAAAUAUAGAAGUAUAUAUGUUACAAUUGCAUAUAAAUGAUCUCUUCAUCUUCAUGUUACAAUUUCACCUUUUAUAUGCUUAAUUCUUAAAUUGGAAUCAAAUUUUGAUUUUCUUUUUGUCCAAUUUAGUACGUUUUGGUUGAACACAGACUCUCAAGUCAAAUCAAACAUAUCACGACUUCACAGUAUUUGUUUUUAUGGGUAAUCUUAUCAUUAUAAAACUAAACUUGUAUAAUUAUGUAAAAAAUAAAGAGUAAAAUAGUACAUAUAAAAUUAUUAUAAAAAUUUAGUAGUGUUAAAUAUCUUUGUCUCAUUUUAUACUAGAAAUUUGAUUUCAUUUACUACACAUAAGAUUAUCAGAAUUACUAGUUAGAAAAUUAAUAAUUUAAAAAUAGUGAUAAUAAAUAUAAAUUAAUAAUAAUUAAAUAAAUUUAUUAAAUAAUAAUAUUUGUAUCAAAUAUGUUAUUAUAUUAUUUAUAGAAUAAAUCAAUAAAUAAAUAAAAAGUUGUAAUGUAAUAAAAAAAUAUAGUUAUUUACAAAAUUUUAAUUAAUUUAAAUAUACACACAAAUUUUUCAUAUUUUAUUAUUUAAAUACUUUUAAAAAUAAAAAUAAAUUUAUUAACUUAUAUUUUACAUCAUUUAAAAAUAAAAAAUAAAAUCCAAAUACACUCUUUCUUCGGACUUUCCUUUCUGGAUUGACACAUAAGAAUUCAACUAUCCCAAUGGGAUAACAAAAACAGUGACUGAUUUGUAUUUGUAUUAAAAGUAGUUAAAAGUUAUAAAUUAGUUGUAGGGUUAUCACUUAUAGAACCAUGACACUGUUUUAUAGCAAAUGUGAGAAUCUACUGUCUGUCGUUUUCAAGGGUCUUCAUAUGUCUAAAAUAUUAUAUUAGAGGAUGACACAAUAAACAGUAAUAAAAACUCACCUUACAAUCUAAUAAAUAAAUAUUUUAUUUUUAUUUUUUAUUUUUUAAUUUAAAACAUUAUUAUAAACGAUUAUCAAGUACAUGUGUUUUACUUUUUUGGAUGAAAGAAUCUUGAAAUUUUCUUUCUCCCAAACUUUCCUUUUCACGUGAAAGUUCAAUUUUAGUAAUUAAUUUAAGUUAAUUUAUUAUUAUUAAAUAAAAUGUAAUAAGUAUUAUUUUUUUCUUUUAAAAUAUAUAAUAAUUAAAUUUAUAACAAAAUAAAAAUAUUAAAAUAAUUAAAUUAAAAUAAAAUAAAUAUUUUGUUAAUAUAUGUUAAAUAAAUAAAAUAAAAAUAUUAAAUUAAUAAAUAAAAUAAAAAGUAACUAAACUUUAAUGAUUUAUUUAAUAUAAUUUUAUUUUAAAAUGUUAAUUUUUUUAUUUAUUAAGGUUUUAUAAUAUUUUUGUUUUAAUUUAAAAUUUAUUUUAACUUUAAUUAUAUUUUUUAAAAUUUAUUAAAUAUAUUAUUUAUUUUGUUAUAUAUAUGUUUAUAGUUAUUAUAUUAAAUAUAUAUUAUAUUUUUAUGCUAUUACUAUUUCAUUAAUAUUUAUAUUUAUAUUUAAUUAAAUAAUUAAAUAAUAUAAAUAAUUAUUAUUAUUAAAAUAAAAAUUAAUAAUAUAUAAAAUAAAUGAAAAUAUUAAUAAUAAAUUUAUAAAAUAAUAAUAUUAUGAUUAAAAUAAUUAUAAAUAAUAAAAAUAUUCCGUCAGACUCACUGUCUUUAAAUUAUGUGACAUGGUUUUUUCUUCAAAUUACAUGACUCCCUUUGUUCAAGACUCCUUUUCUUCAAAUUAUGUGAGAUGAUUCCCUUGUCCCAAUAAUCACUUUUUCUUCUCUGAUCCAAAGAAAAUAUAACUGACAGAAGACUGGAUCAAGUGAUCAAGUGCUGAUCGCUUUUUUGUUUUUUUUAUCAGCAAUCAAAGUGCUGAUCGUACGUACAUUAGGAACGGGAGUGUCGGGAGGUAAUGCACUGAUUUUUAACAUUGGCAAUAUCCAAAUAUGUAACAUGCCAAUAGAAACCAACCCUCUUGAUGCCCUUGUUGCCUUCAUCUUCUUUGUACUUCUCCCUUUCCUUCAACUCAGAUAUCCAGAAAACCCCUCCCCAUUUCACCUCCAUCCAAAGACUAUUUGGCUUUCCAUUCUUAGCUUUCUUCUUUAUUGCUUCUUCACCUUCUCGAGUAACCUCAACUUUGGUAUCAAAGUUAAUCACUUUCAAACCCUCAAGCGUGUGUUCGGUUCACUCUCAUUGCUUUGCUUGCUGGUGCUGUUGCUACCCCGACACUUGGGAAUGCUUCGCUUUCCUUAUUUACAUUUUAUGGUUCAUGAUCUGGUUCAUCAUUCAUGUGCUCCCCGCCAUCAAAACUCACUUCAUGGAAGCAAGGGCACAACGUCCAUAUAUGAGGAGGGUGGUGCCUCCACUCUUACCAAUCACUUCAAUGGACUUUAAUUAACUACUUCAUCAUCACUCGGCUUCUGUUUGGAUGAGGACGGAAGUGGCAAGGGAAAUAGAAGAGAAGAAAGAUAGUGAAGAGUUAACUUGCUUGAAUUUAGAGAUGAUAUGAUUCAUACCAGUUAACUGUAAUAAAAUUUAUGUAAUAUUAGUUUAGUUAUCAAAAUAUCUUUGAGAUUAUGAAAUAUUUUUCCAAGUGAAGUGUGAAGUGCUGUGGGAUCUAAGCUAGCCUCUUGUGAAUGUUUUUUAUUUUUGCUUUGCCUAUCCUUAGAUUUCCAAAGAAGGUUUGGAGGUAGAAUUCUUCUAGAGCUGUUACAGUAUUGUUUAAACGUACUGGGAUUUGUUCUUCGAGUUGUAAGCCUUGGUUCAUCUGUUAGAAGCUUUUAAAUGUGUGGCCUUGUUAUUAUCCAUAAGAGAGGUAGUCUUGGUUCUGUAAACGGGUAAACUGGUUGAGAUUAUCUCUUUUAAUUUUAUUUAUUCAUUUGCUAAUAAAAAAAUGAAUUAUUUAAAUUAAAAUAAAAAUAAAUCUUCAUAUAUAAUAAACCAAACGUUAAAAGUAGCAGCAAUUCCUCUCUCUCUUAACAUCUUUAAUAUGCACUCAUGAAUUAGAACUGAGCUUCAUAAAGAAAUAAAAGAUUUAGUACAGUAGCGUGCUACACAAAACUCCUUUUUGUCACCACUUGCUUCUAUGUAUGGGGCCAACUGCAACUCAAAACCAGUAGCCUCUGGCUCGGAACUAACUUUAAAACCUAAAAUAUAUUAAAUUUAUUCAUCAUCUAAAUACUUAAAUUAGGGUGAAUUUUUUUUUUUUAAAAAAAAACUCUUCAUUGAAGAAAAAAUAUAUUCUUCUAACCUUUAGUAAAUUUCAUCUAAAUAGUAGUAAGUGAUAGAACAUAAUUCAUCUUCAUCUUUUCAAAAUUAAUUUGAAUGGGAGAAUAUUAUUAUCACUAGCAAUAUUUUUAUUAUAAUUAUUUAUUGGAAACGGUUAUACAGAUUAAAAAGUUAAAUUUUAUACUAUUAUUAUCACACGUAUAUGAUAUUAAAAUUAGUUGAUAGUUAAAGUACUUAUGUGGAAAUGAAUAAAUACAUGUAAUAGUUAAUAAAUGUUAAUUAGAUUAUGGAAAAAACCUAUACUCGUUAUUUACUCUUUGUUUAUUUUAGAUAAAUAAUUCUCAUUGGUUUUAACUUCAAAGUUGAUACAUACUUAGAGUGAUUAAAAUGUGUCUGACUAAUUUCAUAUUUAAUUUUUUGGAUGAUAAUAUUUUAUAUUUAAUUCUCUGGAUAGUAAUUUUUUUUCACGAAAAGAAUUCAGUUUCCAGGAACCUUUAUUUUUUAUUUCCACAAAAAAUGUUUUCUUUCAGGGGAGCCGAAUUCUAGGGAUUUUUUUACAAUGAACAGGAGCGGAGAAAGGUGCUUCAGUGGGUCAUCGAAAUUCAAUUUUUUUAAAAUAUAAUUUCGAAUUCCCAUUUUCAACUUUGAUGUAUGUAUGAUUAUCUGAAAUUAAUUAUAUGGUAACUAAAUUGUGAGAUGAUUUUUAGAUUUUUUUUGUAAGUGAAUGGGAAAGAAGAUAAGAAAUAUAAAAUAAAAUAUUUUUAAACUUUUUUUUAAGUAAGAAAUGUUUUAAAUAUUUUAAUUACAAAUUGGGAGAAUAAAUUUUAAUGAGAGGAAAAAUUAUUAAAUUAUGUAAGGUUAAAUUAUUAAAUUUUGUUUUGUAGUAAAUUUAAAUAUUUAUAGAAUUGAAAAAGAAGGAAAUAUAAAAUUUGAAAAUUAAGUUAUUUAAUGAUCUAGAAAUUUACCUUAGAUUAGAAGUGGUAUAUUUUAAAUGAUACCUGAAUAUUUUAUUAUUAAAAUAAAAAAAAACAUAUAAAUAUAAAAUUCAUUUAGGUUUCAUUUCAAAAGAAUCACUAUCUCUUUAGAAAAUUCAUUUUUCCUUCUUCUUCAUUCUUUCUAAGAUUCUAACCUCUUUGCUCAUCAGUUUGACGAUCGGAGUCCGUCAUCAGACUCCUGGCGGCGAGAUCUACAAGACUGCCUGAUCAGAAUUUAUGAUAGAGUAAGUUCAAUUUUUACUCUUCUCUUUAAGUUAAAUUUUGAAACUUGUAGAUCUAUCUCGAUCCAAGUUUACGCAUGUGACACUUUUUGCUUUAAGAUUAGUCUUUGCUAGCUCAUAGUCCUAGUAGUAUAUUAGAUUUUUUAUCAGAACUCUUUGGUGCAUGUUAAGUGACCUUUAAGCUUUUGGUAGACUUGGAGCUAUUAGUGAGUAUCUCCUUAAGUUCAAUAGAACCCUAAACUAGAAGAUCUGAAUGUGGAGGUGACAUGAUCAUCCGUCUCAAAAAAAUUAAAUAUAAAAUUACAUAAAUAAUUAAAUAUGAAAUAAUAAAACGAGUCAUCCGAAAAUAAAGUAAUGUAUAACAAUCAGAUAAUGAAAAUAUUAUCUUAAAAAAACUGAAAUUUUUGACACUUAUAAAUUGAAAAGGAAAAAUAAAAAUGCGUGUGUUAAAAAAAUGUAUGAUAACGGAAUAAAAGAGAAGAAAAAACAAUACAUUACAUAGAGUUAUCUUCAUGCUAAAUGUUAAUGACUAGUUCUAAAUUCAUUGUGAGUAUCUUGAGUUAGGGAGACAUUCUCUUCCUCCUUAUUAAACUUUACUGUAUAUAUACCCAUAUAUGUAUAAAAAACAAUAACACAUAGAAUCAUAUUUCUGAUCAUCAGUUUCCAGUUUGACUGCGACAGCCAAGAUUCAAACUCAUAUCCUUCUAGUGUUCCUGGGUAGCAUUAACCACUAGUGUUCCUGGGUAGCAUUAACCACUAGACCAGAGAAAUUCUUUAGUCAUAUUAUCAUUUUUAUUAUACUUAUUAUUAAUAUAAUUUAUACAUAUUAAUAUAAUUAUUAUUAAUAAUAAUAAAAUAAAUUAUACUUAUUAAAUUAUUAUUAACAUUAUUAUUAAAUUAUUAUUAACAUUAUUAUUAAUAUUAUUAUUAACAUUAUAAUUAAUAUUAUAAUUAACAUUAUAAUUAAUAUUAUAAUUAAUAUUAUAAUUAAUAUUAUAAUUAACAUUAUUAUUAAUAUUAUAAUUAAUAUUAUUAUAAAUAUUAUUAAUAUUAUUAUACAUAUUAUACAUAUUAUUAAUAUUAUUAGUAUUAAUAUUAAUAUUUAAUAAAUUUAAUAUUAUUAUCAUCAAUUUAAUAAAUUUAAUUUAACUAAUUUAUAUCAUAAUUUCAAAAAUAAAAUAGUUAUGACAAUAUAUAAAUAAAAUAAAUUUAAAAUAAAUAAUAUUUAAAAUAAACAAAUAUUUUAUAUAACAUUUAAAUAAUUUAAAUAUAUAUUUUAUUUUACUCAAUUAAUUUUAAAUCAAACGCUUAUUUAAUUUAAUAAAUCUAAUUUAAUUAAUUUAUAUUCAAAAUUGAUAAAUUAAAUAAUUUAUUAUAACAUUAAAGAAAUAAUUCUAAAAUAAAUAUAAUAAAAAAUUCAAAAUUAAAAUAUUUAUUAUACAUUAAAAAUAUUUAAAUUUUAAAAUUCUAAACAUGCGUGGGCUAUAGCGGACGCAUAUGCGUGGGUUCUGUGGGCAACACAAAACGGACGCAUAUGUGUGGGCCGCGACCGACGCAAAACCGACGCCUAUACAAAAAAAAAAAUUUUAAAAAAAUAAAAUUAAAUCAAUAUAUGCGUCCGUUUUGCGUCCAAUGUAAAUCUUGCGUGGGCUUUUACUCAUUUUGGCCGACGAGAAUAGCGUCCGCAAAUGGCCCACGCAAAAAUUUGGAAGCUAAAUCAAGUUUUUCUUGUAGUGUAUAAAGCUUACCAGUUUUACAUCUUUUAUAAAGCUUAGACAAGGAUGAGGAGAAAAGUAACAAAUUUUACAUUUAUGGUUUUGUGAGAACUAAGAGUGUGUUGAUUGUGCCCAGAGCAGGGAAAAGGCUCUUUAGAUGUCUGGAAAUAACUCAAUUGUUGCGGAAUGAGAUCUUCUUUUGCAGAGGCAAUGGCCUAUGAAUUCUAACAUGGCAUAACAAAAAUGGAGUUUACUAAAUAACUCAUGUAGGAAGUUACCCUUAGAAUUCAUAAAUUUUCUUAAACUAUCUAAUCUGCUCUUCAUUCUUACAAUUAAGUCCUCAAAUCAAUUCUUUAUUUUUAAUCAUAAGAGUAAUCUAUCAUAUCCCUAGUCAUGAAACCACAAUAUUAUUGAAGACUAUUUACUUAUUUUCUCACUUUCUUACUUAUACAAUAACACAUAUUUUCAUUUUUUAAAAACAAAAAGAAUGUUAGACAUACACGUCUCUCUAUAAAAAUAGUUUUCUGUAAAACAUACAAAAAGUACAUUUUCAAAAAGCAUUUCUCUUGAAAAUAUUAUUUUUUAAAAAUAAACCAAAUAAAAAACAUUUUGAACUUCAAAUUUAAGAAAAAUGUAUUUUCCCCCAAAGAUGAGACACAUUAGUCACGCGAGAGGAAAUUGAUUAAGUAAAGAAGAGUCGUUAUUUGGUUUGGUACAAUGUUAGAGAAAAUUUAAUAAAAUUUAUUUUUGUAUAUUAAAUAAAAAUAAUUAUAAUUCAGUUUUUACACACACCAUAAGCAAAAACAAGAUUCCUAUUAAACAACUGUUUUCACCUUUUAUAUGUUCAAUUCUUAAAUUGGAAUCAAGUUUUGCUUCUUUUUUUUUUUUGACCAAUUUACUACGUUUUGGUUGAAAACAGACUUCUGAGUCAAUCUAACAUAACACGACUUCAUAAUAUUUGUUUUUUAUGGGUAAUGUUAUCAUUAUAAAAACUAAACUUGUAUAGUUAUAUGAAAAAAUAAAAAGUAAAAUAGUACAUACAAAAUGAUUUUAAAAAUUUAUUAGUGUUAAAUAUCAUUGUCUCAUUUUAUAAUAGAAAUUUGAUUUCAUUUACUACACAUAAGGUUAUCAGAAUUACUAGUUAGAAAACUAAUAAUUUAAAAAUAAUGGUAAUAAAUAUAAAUUAAUAAUAAUUAAAUAAGUUUAUUAAAUAAUAAAUUUGUAUAGAAUAUUUUAUUACAUUAUUAAUAAAAUAAAAUUAAUUAAAUAUAUAUAAUUAUAUAUAUACCACUUUCUUCGCAAAGUUUUGCAUGGAAAUGAUUUUUGGAUUUGUGUGCCUUCUUUUUGUUGUUAUUAGGUGGAUUUCUGGCCUUUUCAUUGCAAAUAGUAUUUCUACGCCUUUCUCCGCCUAGAUACAAACACAACCUUAAAGAUGAUGUCCAAUUCAUCUAGUUUUUUUGCGGUCAACAAGUUCAAUGCUUUCUAGAUCUUCAGGGGAACGGGAAGUUUGAUACCGGGGUUGAGGCAACCAAUACAAAGGAAAUCCUUUCAAGAUGUCUAAGUUAUGAUCUAACUCUUGCACAUUAAGGAACUUGCCUUUGAAAGAUUUACAGGAAGAUUGGAAAAGAGUUAAGAGGCCUCGACCGGAGACCCCAUUAAGAGAAGCCCAAGAGGAUCAUUAUGAAGGUUUAUACUAAAAAAAAUAAAAGAAGACAUUGGUUGUCAGAGUAACAUCAAAAUGAGCACACAAAAUAUAGGGUGAAGUUGUGCAGGAGCAACAUUUAUCACAUUUAAGAUACUUUUCUCAAAGAAAGACAACGAACGACGAACACCGAGCCUAGUAAAGAGGGUUUCAUAGAAAAAACAAAAGGGUUUUUCAUCACGACAAUCUCUACAUACUAGUUCAUCAGUUACACAAAAGAAGGGGAAAUCAAGGAAGCAGUGUGGCAAUGUGAAGGAUCAAAGUGUCCUGGGCCUGACGGGUUCAAUUUCGAUUUCAUUAGGAAAAGCUGGGUAUACAUAAAAGACGAGUUCGUCAAAGCUAUGGCUUUGUUUCAUGAGACAGGUUCUAUACCAAAGGAGUGCAAUGCAUCCUUUAUAGGCUUGGUACCAAAAAUUAAGAAUCCAUCUAAGCUGGAGCAAUAUCGACCCAUCUCUCUAGUGGGGGCUAUAUAUAAAGUCAUCUCAAAGGUGUUGGCUGGUAGAAUAAAGAAAGUGCUAAGUUUUGUCGUUGAUGAAAGCCAAUCUGCAUUUCUAAAAGGAAUAGGGAUUUUAGAUAGCGUGCUCAUGGCCAAUGAAGCGAUAGAGGAUCUUAGAAGGUGUGGGAGGAGCGAGUUAUGCUUGAAGGUGGACUUUGAAAAAGCCUAUGACUCGGUUAGGUGGGAAUUUUUAUAUGACAUGCUCUAUAAGCUGGGUUUCCACAGCAAAUGGGUUAUGUGGAUGCGAGGGUGCUUGGAAUCAGCUACAGUUUUGGUACUCGUUAAUGGGAGCCCAACGGAGGAAUUCAAACCAACAAGAGGCUUGAGGCAAGGUGUCGCUUGCCCCUUUUCUUUUUAUUGUGGUAGCUGAAGGUUUACUUGGGUUAGUAAAGCAAGCUAAUAAGACCAACCUGCUAUCAGGCGUUAAGAUUGGUAGAGAGGAAGUGGAGCUUAGUAUCCUGCAAUUCGCAGAUGAUACCCUUUUUCUAUGUGAGGAGUCCCAUAGUAAUGUGGUAACCAUGAAGGCUUCCUCCAUUAAUUCUUUUUCGGAAUCGAAAAUGAUGUGUUAGUUCUUGAUCAUUUUCAAAGAGUAUUUUAUGCAAAAAUUAAAUUAAGAUACUAAGGGAAUUUGAGCUAGCUUCAGGCCUAAAGAUAAACUUUCAUAAGUCUAAGAUUGUAGGAGUAAAUGUCGAUAGAAACGCUUUGGCAAGCUAUGCAAAGACACUGAAUUGUGCCCAGAUGGGAGUUUCGUUUAAGUAUUUGGGCUUAGAAGUGGGAGGGAACCUAAGGAAGGUUAAGUUUUGGGAUCCUGUGCUAACCAAACUAAAAGAUAGACUCAACGCUUGGAAAGGAAGAUUCUUAUCCAUGGCAGGGAGAAUAUGCCUAAUUAAAUCAGUCAUCACUGCGGUUCCACUCUUUUACCUUUCCAUCUUUAAAGCGUCAGGCUUUAUCUACCAAAGCAUAAUCAGUAUUCAAUGGAGGUUCUUGUGGGGGUGGGGGGAAGGAGAAGAGGCCGAUAUCAUGAGUUAGUUGGGAAGACGUGUGUAAACCGAAAGAGGAAGGUGGUUUGGGGAUCAGAGAUAUUCGGAAAUUCAAUUACGCUCUUCUGCCCAAAUGGAGGUGGCAGUUAGUGUCGGAAGAGAAAGGGAGGUGGAAGGACUUACUAGUCUCAAAGUAUGGGAUGGAUUCAGACUGUUCUCAAAUUCCAGUGAAAUUUCAGUCAUGGUGGUGGAGAGAUCUACAGAAAGUUUGUACAGAGGGAGAAGGAGGAGGUUGGUUCCACCAGCAACUAGCAUAGAUAUUAGGAGGUGGUGACAAAGUGAGAUUCUGGGAAGAUGUGUGGAUUAGUAAUAAAAACCUUAAAACUCUAUAUCGGAGAUUGUUCUCAUUGUCCCUAAACUAGGGUCUAAAGGUGAAUGAGGUUGGGGAGUGGGUAGAUGUAGCAUGGCGGUGUGGAGGAGGGAUAGAUUUGAGUGGGAAUCUUUGCUGGAAACCAAUUUUAUCCAACAUAUAUCCCGGUCAAGCUUAACAAGAGAACAGGAAGAUGUUAAGACGUGGGGGUGCAAUGAAAAGGGGUCAUUCUCUGUCAGCUCAGCAUAUGAGUUCCUAUCUAAGUAGGUUAGCAACCCUCAUCAGGAAGUGUUUAAGAAUCUGUGGGAAAUGAAAACGUUCCCCAAUGUCAUAAGCACAACUUGGAGGGUUCUCCUAGGCAGAAUCCCAACUAGAGUGUGUCUGAGUAGGAGAGGGAUGAUGUUAAACACAAUGUUGUGUGCUUUAUGCCAAACGAAGGAUGAAUCAUGCCAACAUAUUUUCAUAGAAUGUCCUUAUGCCCAGAGUAUGUGGACACUGUGUUUUAAAUGGAUAGGUAUAUCGUUUGUUCAGCACAAUGUAUUAUUGAUGCAUUUUGAGAGCUUAUGCCUGUCACAAGUAAACAACGAACAAAAUCUCCUAUGGAAAGGAGUAUGGGCAACUAUUGUGAGCUGCAUUUGGGAGCAUAGGAAUUCUAUUGUAUUUAAACAAGGUGUAGUAGAUGGGAAGAGAUCUUCCAAAUGGUUCAAGUCAAGUCAUGGCAAUGGCUAAAGCACAAGGGACAACCUUUUAACUACUCACUUGUAGAUUGGGUUCUUAAUCCUUUAAUAUGUAUUAGAAGCUUUAAGUAAUUGAAUAUUGAUUGGCACUUACAAGGGAACCUGCAGAUUGGUAAGGUUUCCUGCUGUACUGGAAGCCAGAAAAGGAGAAGUGAGCAAUUCCAGGGGCUCCAAAAAGGAUUGUUGGGAGAGGUUCUGAGGUGAGUUGUGGAUGCUGAAUGGAUGUACUGGAAGAUAUACUAUGUCCAGUGAUAACUCUAAAGAGCUUGUAAGGGUGAAAAGUGUGAUUAAAGGUAGAGGUGUUGCUAUUAAAACCAGUUGUUCAAUAGAAUUGUUGGCGCGUGGUAGUGAGAUGGAGUAGUAAGGCAUGUGUAACACUAACUUAUUAGCACAACAUAUGUGGUCUAAAAUUGUUAUAGAGAGCCUAUAUAGGCUACUGCGAGUUAGUCCUUCAUUUGUCCCUAUUCCUCAUCAUGACAACAACACUUUUCCUUAUAUUCCCAAAUGUUGGCAAGGUGGGGGUCCUAUUGGCUUCUAUUCACAAUCCAGUAUCUAAUUCAUUCGUAUAUAACUAUCUAAGGAGAUGGCUUUGUGUGAGAGCAGAAUUGAUGUAUGUAAUGGCAAGUUUAAGGCCUAGUAAUGUAGAGAUACAAGGGUUUUUUUUUACCUCUGUUUCAGCUUGAUUUGGGUGAUUAAGCAGGGCAAGUUUUUUAUUUUGUUGUGAUCAUGCUAUAAAAAACAACUUUUGUUCUCUCAGCAUGGAAGAGCAGGGUUGGGGGAUUGGAAAGGGUGGCUACGAGGACAUCUUUGUUAAUUAGCUAAUAUUGGACCAUUAAUUAUUAAUCAUGAUGGUGGUUACAAUGAUGGUUGAACCAAUCAGACCAUCACAGGUUUGGUCUCAAGGAGUUUUCAUGCAUGGAAGAAAAUUUGUGCAUUCUGAAUAUAGAAAGGUAUGCAAGGGAAAAGGAAAACAAAGUUGAAAAAGUAGGUAUGUUGGAAUGGAAUGUCGAAGUGCAAAUUGCAAAGCUAGAAGUAGGCUUCUUUCUAUUGUAAUUAGCUAAGCCAUGCACCAAUGUUUUAAUUUUUAUGCAGAUGUUUUCCUGCAGUAUGAUUAGCAAGCAUGGUGAGUGGGUUGGUGGUUUUUUGUAUAAGGGUUGAGACACCUUUGAAGUGUCCCCUUUAAUUUUAUUAAUUCUUUGCUGAUAAAAACAAAACACAAGGCACAACACAUACAUUUAAUUCAAUACCAAAAAGGUUCAAUGUUUGAGCAUGGCAAAAUUGCUCAUCUCAUGAUGGACAUCACGUCUGGCUCAAGUAUAUACAAAAUUAUAAUCCAUGAAGUUAAAAUGGAGGACGCGAAACAAAGUAAUGUUUGGUUUAUUCAAAAUAGAAGGGCAAUCAAGUGGAAGAAAAGACACAUAUAAGGAAUAGAAUAGUAGAAUAAAAGGGGCAAGGCGUACCUGAGAGCAAGUUGAGUUCGAAGGGAGCAGAGUGAAUAGCGAAGAAGAUGAAGAAUGAAGAAGAGUGAAGGGUGGGAAGAGAAAAGGGUGAAGAAAGAGGAAUGGAGGGGAAUAGUGUGCUAAAACGUUGAAUGGAGAACCGAUGAAGAGAUAGGAAGCAAUCUGCUAGGUUUCCCGAGCCCAAUAAGAAUUUAUUCAACAAAAACAGAGGUCAGGCACUGAAACACGUUUGUAUGGCAAGUGUUCAAACUUUUAAGCCUCAUUGGCUUAUGCUAGAGACUGAGGGACUGUAUGGUUAUGGGUCAAUCCCAUACAAGAUAAAUGAUGGUUGUUUCAAGAUUUUAAGCUUCAUUGACUUAUGUCAAAGGCUGAGAGAUUGUAUGUUCAUGGAUCGAUCGAGAUGAGUCAUGGGUCGAUCCCAUACAAGAUGAAGAUUGUUGUUUUAAGAAAUUUUCAAGUCUUAUUGACUUACGAAAAGGAAUAUCUCGGAUUAAAAAGUAAUAGAGACUAAUCCAUUGAACACAACCCUAUAAGACUAGUAAGGAAACAUCACUCACUAUAACACAUGUCUAAAGAGUUGUAUAACUUGAUUGAUAACACAUGUCUAGAGAGUUGUAUAACUUGAUUGAUGAGUAUUUUACAAUACAAACACCUGCUUUCUUUUUUUCGCUGCACUUUCCCUGGUUUUGGUUGUAGCCGGACUUUACAUUUGACUUUGGAAACAUAACACAACUGCAUAAUAUAUGUGUUUAAAAAAAUAAAGUUGUAUAAUUAUAUAAAAUAAAAAGUAAAAUAGUAGAUACAAAGUGAUUAUAAAAAUUUAUUGGUGUUAAAAUAUCAUUGCUUCAUUUUAUAAUAGAAAUUUGAUUCUAUGUACGCAUAUAAGAUUAUCAAAUUACUAGUUAGAAAAUUAAUAUUUUACAAAUAUGCUGGAAUUAAUUAUUUAUAUAUUUUUUCGAUCUUAUUAUAAAUUUUAAUAAAUCUUUAUUAAUCAUUGGUCAGAAGGCCUCCAGUAAAUAAUAAUAUCAUAUAUUAAUGUUAUAUUAUUUAAGUAAUUUCAUCACAUGACAUUUUAAUUUGUUAUGUCAACGCUAUACUACUUGACUUGUUUAAAUUGAAGAAUGAAUUCGAAAGAGUAAAAAAUUAAAAUAAAAAGUAAAAUAGUUUGAAUUAAAAGAAAAAAUAUAUAAAAAAGAAAACAAAAAUAAAUUAUGAAAAUUCGUAAGUGAUUUAAUUGAUAUAAAAGUUUAUAAAAUAACAUAUUUAUAAAAUAAUCAAAAUAUGUUUAUAAUUAUAAAUAUUUAUUAUUAUUAUUAUAUAUUAUUAAUAUGAAUUAAUUUUUAUUUUAUUAUUUUAGACUUUUAUUAAUAUUUUAUUAUGUUAUAUAUGGUAGUCAUAAUCAUAAUAGUUCUUCUUAUUCUUUGAACGCAUAAUAGUAAAUCACUGGCAAAAUUCUUGACAAAAAUUAUUAAGGUUUUCAAAAAUAUAAUUUAAAAUAAAGAUAUUAAAGUUAAAUUUUUCAAGACAAGCAAAACAUAAAUUAAAUAAUUAUCUGUAUUUAAAAUAUUGAAAAAUUAUAAUAAUUAAUUAUUAUUUUUUCUUAAUUUCAAAAAAUAAUAUUUAAAUUACAUGACGCCCUUUGUUCAAGACUCCUUUUCUUCAAAUUAUGUGAGAUGAUUCCCUUGUCCUAAUAAUCACUCAUCACUUUUUCUUUUCUGAUCCAAAAAAAUAUAAGUGAGGGAUGACUGGAUCAAGUGAGGUCAUAACUUAUUCUCUUAUCAUCUUUAAUCUCUCUUUCUUAUAACUUCUUCAUGGCUGAUCGUAAAUUUGAAUGGGAGGUAAUGCACUGAUUUUUAACAUUGGCAAUAUCCAAAUAUGUAACAUGGCAAUAGAAACCAUUCCAUGUUAGAAAUAUCAUUGUCCAACCACCAACAACAUUGAAGAGACUAAUAUGUGAAAAAGGUGAUGAUAUUUUUACACCUGCUCUACUUACAUUCACAACUAAAUAUUAAUAUUUGAAAUAAAAGAAAUUAAAAAAUAUUUUUUAAAAAAAUGUAGGUAAAAUAUAAAAUGUUAAAAUAAUUUUUAAAAUUAAAAAAAUUUAAAAAAAUUAAAAUAUUAAUAUUUAGUGGGUGUAGGGUGGAGCAUGAGGUGUCAAAAAACCAUUUUCCUAUGUGGAAAGGGUGAUGAUAUUUCGACACUAUGCUCCACUUUACAUCCACAACUAAAUAUUAAUAUUUGUAAUAAAAAAAUUAAAAAUUAAAAAAUAUUUUCAAUGAAAAUAUAGGCAAAAUGUAAAAUGUUAAAAUAAUUUUCAAAAUUAAAAAAAAAUUAAAAUAUUAAUAUUUAGUGGGUGUAGGGUGGAGUAUGAGGUGUCAAAAAAUCAUUUUCCUAUGUGAAAGGAGUGAUGAUAUUUUGACACCUCUGCUUCAUUUUAUAUCCACAACUAAAUAUUAAUAUUUAUAAUAAAAAAAUUAAAAAAAUAAAAAAAUAUUUUUAAUGAAUAUAUAGGAAAAAAAAAUGUAAAAUGUUAAAAUAAUUUUUAAAAUUAAAAAAAUUUUAAAAAAAAAUAUUAAUAUUUAGUAGGGGAGGGUGUAGCAUCAAUGCUUCCUUUUAGAAAAGUAAGAGAUUGUAAGAGUUUUUAUGUGUGGUUUAGUAAUGUAGUAAACUAUCAUUCGUUCAGUCAGAUGUUAGUGAGUACUAAGCAAGAAGUGCUUAUCGAGUUCACAGUAAUAAUUUUAAUUAAAAAAUAAUAUAAAAAGUAUUAAAAUAUUAAUUUAUUACUAUGUAAAGGGUAUGUUUUCAUUAUUGAUGGUAACACAAUGUUAUAAAAAAGGUCAUAACUUACAUCUUCAUGCAUACCCUUCUCAAUCUUUAAUCUCUUUCUUUUAGCUGUGGUUAAAAUCACCUUUCAAUAAUGCACUGACUUUUAACAUUGGCAAUAUCCAAAUAUGUAACAUGGCCAUUGAAACCAACCCUGUUGAUGGCCUUGUUGCCUUCAUCUUCUUUGUACUUCUUUGUUUUUUAUGGGUAAUGUUAUCAUUAUAAAAACUAAACUUGUAUAAUUAUAUAAAAGAAUAAAAAGUAAAAUAGUACAUACAAAAUGAUUAUAAAAAUUUAUUAGUGUUAAAUAUCAUUGUCUCAUUUUAUAAUAGAAUUUUGAUUUCAUUUAUUACACAUAAGAUUAUCAGAAUUACUAGUUAGAAAAUUAAUAAUUUUAAAAUAAUGGUAAUAAAUAUAAAUUAAUAAUAAUUAAAUAAAUUUAUUAAAUAAUAAAUUUGUAUCAAAUAUUUUAUCAUAUUAUUAAUAAAAUAAAUAAAUAAAAUUUAUAAUGUAAUAAAAGAAAUAUAGUCAUUUACAAAAUUUUAAUUAAUUUAAAUAUACACACAAAUUUUUCAUAUUUUAUUAUUCAAAUGUUUUUAAAAAUAAAAAAAUGAUUAACUUAUAUUUUAGAUCAUUUAAAAAAUAAAAAAUAAAAUCCAAAUACACUCUUUCUUGGGACUUUCCUUUCUUGAUGGUAUUUGUUAAAAGAGUUCGGGGGAAAACAUUGAAAAGGCUAAUAUGUGAAAAUUUAUAGGUUCAAUCAGUCGUCAUGCGUCUUUUAGUAAAGGGAGUUGUCAUGGGUCCUUUAGUUAAGAGUAUGCGUCUAGUAAAGAGUAUGCCCUCACUAAAGAGAGGUGUUAGUUCUUUAGUAAAGAAAAGACUAUGUGUUUAGUAAACGCGUCCUUCAGUAAAGAGAGGUGUGAAGUGAGUUAUUUUAAUUCCAUAAUUUUUUUAUUAAAAAUAAAUCAUGGAAUUAAAAUAAAAAAUAAAAACAUACAGAUCAAAGUAAUAAAAGAAAAGAUUAAGAAAAAAAUAUUAAAAUAAAAAUAAAUACAAUAAACAGUAAUAAAAACUCACUUUACAAUCUAAUAAAUUAAUAUUUUAAUUACAUUUUUUAUUAUUAAUUUAAAAUGUUAUUAUAAAUGAUUAUCAAUUACAUAUGUUGUACUUUUUUUUGGGAUGAAAAAGAAAGUUCAUUUUUAAUAAUUUAAGUUAAUUUAUUAUUAUUAAAAAAAUGUAAUAAGUAUUUUUUUUCUUUUAAAAUAUAUAAUAAUUAAAUUUGUAAUAAAAUAAAAAUAAUUAAUAAAAUAAAAUAAAUUUAAUAUUUUGUUAAUACAUAUGUUUUAUGUGAAAUAAAUAAAAUAAAAAUAACUAAAUAUUAGUGAUUUAGUUUAAUUUAAAAUAUUACUUUUUUAUUUAUUAAGUUUUUAUAAUAAUUUUUGUUUUAAUUUAAAAUUUAUUUUAACUUUAAUUUAUAUUUUUAAAAAUCUGUUAAAUAUAUUAUAUGUUUUUUUAUAUAUGUUUAUAAUUUUUAUAUUAAAUAUAUUAUACUUUUCUGUUAUUAUUAUUUCAUUAAUAUUUAUAUUUACAUUUAAUAAAAUAAAAUAAAUAAAUUAUAUAAUAUAAAUAAUUAUUAUUAUUAAAAUAAAAAUUAAUAAUAUGUAAAAUAAAUAAAAAUAUUAAUAAUAAACUUAUAAAAUAAUAAUAUAUAAUAUAGUUAAAUCAGAUAUUCCAAGCAAGGAGGGACAUGAACUUUGGGGGAAAAAAAAAAGAAAGAGAGAAAAGCUUGUACAUUUUUUUUUUCAUAACCAUUUUUUAUUUUGAGAGGCAAAGAGAGUUCUUAUUGUGUCUCUGACGACAAUACACAAGUGACGCAAACUUCCACCCUAGAAUUUCCACACCCCAUCACCAAAACCCUUUUCCCUCUUAACUCUUCUCCACUCUUAUACAAACUCAUGUGUCUUAUGGGCGCUCCAAACUCUUCUACACUUAGAUAUAACAUAGUUAAAAUAAUUAUAAAUAAUAAAAAAUAUUAUUUUCUCUCACACUAUACCCUCUGAAUCCACUUUAUUUUAAUCCCAACGAUACUUUCAUUCUUGAUGGUAACACCUAUAAAAAAGGUCAUAACCCUCAUGCAUAUACCAUUCUUAAUCUUUAAGCUCUCUUUCUUUUAGCUGUCGAUAAAAUCACCUUUCAACUUCUUCAUGGCUGAUGGUGCAUUUGGAAUGAGAGGUAAUGCACUGAUUUUUAACACAGCCAAUAUCCAAAUAUGUAACAGGCCAAUAGAAACCAAUCCUGGUGAUGCCCUUGUUGCCUUCAUCUUCUUUGUACUUCUCCCUUUCCUUCAACUCAGAUAUCCUGAAAAUCCCUCCCCAUUUCACCUCCAUCCAAACACCAUUUGGCUUUCCAUUCUUAGCUUUCUUCUUUAUUGCUUCUUCACCUUCUCGAGUAACCUCAACUUUGGUAUCAGAGUUAAUCACUUUCAAACCCUCAAGCGUGUCUUCGCUUCACUCUCAUUGCUUUGCUUGCUGGUGAUGUUGCUACCCGACACUUGGGAAUGCUUCGCUUUCCUUCUUUACAUUUUAUGGUUCAUGAUCUGGUUCAUCAUUCAUGUGCUCCCCGCCAUCAAAACUCACUUCAUGGAAGCAAGGGUGCAACGUCCAUAUACGAGGAGGGUGGUGCGUCGUCCACUGUUACCAAUCACUUCAAUGGACUUUAAUUAACUCUGCUUCUGUUUGGGAGAGGGCAUGAGGACGGAAGUGGCAAGGUGAGGGCAUGAGGACGGAAGGCCUGUAAUAAAAUUUAUGUAAUAUUACUUUAGUUAUCCAAGUAUCUAUGAGAUUAUGAAUUAUGUAACAGUAGCAUCACUUUCUCUCUCUAUUGAAACAUCUCUAAUAUGCACUCAUGAAUCAGAACUGAGCUUCAUAAAGAAACAAACCGCACAGGUUCGGCAGCAUGCGACAACAACAAAAGUUGCUAAUCAACAAAAACAACGCCGAUGAAAGAUUGAAAAUGUGGUUAGAAUGAAAAUAUGAAACCCACGCUGUGGAAUCACAACGGGGACUGCAGCAGUUUCUUUGCACUGUCUUGUGAAGACUCUUGCAACUAAUUGCAACUAAGCUGAAAAGCAGUAGCUGAAAAGCACCUUCGGACCGAACUAACUUUAAAACAUAUUAAAUUUAUUCAUCAUCUAAAUACUUGAAUUAGGGUGAAAAAAACAUGAGGAUGGUUGUGCGUCCAAUGAGGAUGGAAGUGGAAAGAGAAAUAAAAGAGAAGAAUAGUGGAGAGUUAACUUUUGAAUUUUAGAGAAAACGAUUAUAUUUAAGUCAAAUGUUACUACAUAGACAUGAUUGAUAAAGAGAAAUGUAAAAUAUUUAUAUAAAAUAUUUUUUAAAGAAUAAAAUAAAAUUAAAAGGGGUACUUAAAGUGUCCCAACCAUUCUAAUACUACUUAUGAAAAUAUCUUUGAGAUUAUAAAUUAUUUAAAUUAAAAUAAAAUAUCAAGUUUUCAUUUUCUUGUUAUUUUUUUUACUUUGUUUCUAUUUAACAGAGUUUUAUAUAUAUACUGUAUUCCUUUUUAUAUGAAAUAAGAUAAUAUAAUUCUUUUUCUUCUCUUACUUUCUCCCUUUUCCUACAUAGCACUGCUAUCUGUCAUAAAAGGCUAAUCACACACAUAAGAAGGUUGCUGCACAUAGUGUGAUAAGAAGGUUGCUUCACGGGGAUCAUGAAAACCAGAAUUCAAUAUAAAAAUAAAUCUUUAUAUAUAAUAAAGCAAACGUGACCAGUAACAUCAAUUUCUGUCUCUAAAUCCACUAUGAAUCAUGCAUGUAACCAGAAAAAAAUUGCAAGAUAAAAACUGCACCAGAUCCUAUUACGUACAAAAAAAAAUAUGCAGCAGCUUGAAACAUCAUUUAAUAUACACUCAUGAAUUAGAACUGAGCUUCAUAAAGAAACAAACACGUAUAGGUAGGUGCAGCAACGAAAGGCUAAUCGUUUUGGUCACCACUUGCUAUCUAUGGUGGCAACUGCAAGUUCAACACCAGUAAUCAACAACCACAAAAACAAUGAACUCUAUUAUUUUAAUAUCUUUUCAUAUUAUUUAAUUAAUUAUAAAUUUAUUUUUUUAUUAUAUAUAUUUAUUUCUAAAUCAUCAUAUUAAUAAUUAUAUACAAAUUCAAAAAUUAUAAAAAUAUUAUUUUCCUGUUUUUGUGUGGUACUGGGGCUGGAACACUGUAUUUUUAAAACCUAAAAUAUAUUAAAUUUAUUCAUCACCUAAAUACUUAAAUUAGGGUGGAAUUUUUUUUUUUAAAAUCUCUCAUUGAAAAAAAAUAGAUAUUCUUCUAACCUUUACUAAAUUUCAUCUACAUAGUAAAUGAUAGAACAUAAUUCAUCUUCAUCUUUUAAAAUUAAUUUGAGGGAAGAAUAUUAUCAUGAUUCUAACUAGCAAUAUUUUGAUUAUAAUUAUUUAUUGGAAACGCUUGUACAGAUUAAAAAGUUAAAAUUUAUAAUAUUAUUAUCACAAGUAUGUGUCAUUUUUUUUAUCAGAAAAAAGAUUGAAUAACGGGAACCAUUUAAGGGGUGGUUCAACCCUUAUACAUACCUAAAAAAAAUGAGACAAUUUCUCGGUUUUUUGACCAUCAUGGGGUUAUUUUUUUUUUUUUUACCAAAAUGGGGUCCGUUUAAAAAAAAUUACAAAUUUAGGCAAGUCGUGCCAAUUAGGCACGACUUCAUAUGCACAAAUCGUUCCAAUUAGGCACGACUUCUGUCUUGUCAUACUGAAGUCGUGCCACGACUUCAGCCACGCCAUAAUUUUUUUUAUUUUAUUGUUUAUAUAUUGGGUAGUAAAUUAUGUAAUGUUAAAAAUUAAUUUGAUACAUAAUUUUCUAAGAGUGUUAGUUUUAAGGAACAAAAAAUUGGAAUAAUUUACUUCUAGUUCAACUUUAUAUUUUUAUUUUAUAUCUUGUAAUGAAUCUUACUAAGUUGUUUAGUUCUAAUUAAUCUCUUAUCAUCAUUACGUGUUUUGUAAAAUCAUUACUUCUCAAAUUAUUUAUUUUGCAAAUUCACAACAAUAAUUCUCUAUUUAUUUUUCAAAUACAAUAAAUUUUCAUUUAUCUAUUUAUUUCCAAAUUCAAUAACAAUUUUCUUCAUUUUUUAAUUAAUCAAGUUAUUGUAUUACAUUACUGUCAAACAUGAUUCAUACACGAUUAUCCAAUUUUUUGUUCCUUAAAACUAAUACUCUUAGAAAAUUAUGUAUCAAAUUAAUUUUUAACAUUACAUAACUUACUACCCAAUAUAUAAACAAUAAAAUAAAAUAAAAAUAUGACGUGGCAGAAGUCGUGCCAACAGUAUGACAGGACAGAAGUCGUGCCAAGUUGACACGACUUCAGUAUGACAAGGCAGAAGUCGUGCCUAAUUGGGACGAUUUGUGCAUAUGAAGUCGUGCCAAAUUGGCACCACUUGCCUAAAUUUGUAAUUUUUUUAAAACAGACUCCAUUUUGGUAAAAAAAAAUAAAAAAUAAUCACAUUAUGGUCAAAAAACCCAAUUUCUCUGGUCUCCCAAACCAACAAAUAGAGAGACAAACAAAUCUACCACUAAAAACCGUACAGCCCGUACACUUUCAAGGCUAACCCGUACAAAUUCAAAACUAACCCGUACAAAUUCAAAUCUAACCCGUACAAAUUCAAAUUUAACCCGUACAAACUCAAAACCAAACCCAAUACAAGUUCUUUGCAACCACAACAAGGGGCAAAAAGAACAACAGAAGCUUAGAACAACAAACAACCCAAUCGAAGGAGUAAACUCACUUUAUUGAAAACAUACAAGCCCUAGGAUCAAUGCACCACCCAGAGUAGGUAAAACUAGCAGAAACAAUUUUAGAAGUUACCCAAGACCAAGUCUUUAAUUGUGCCAAAGUGAACACUUCCGAAGGAUUUAUCACCCCUCCUUAUAAAAUAUGUUUAUUCAUGUGCUUCCAUAAUUCACUAACUACAACUAUCCAAACACAAUUCCAAACUACAUUAACCUGAACAGGAGCAUUUAGCAAAAUAAAAUGCAAGAAGUGAGUUGUUGGGACAACAUGGUCAACCGACGUAUAGCACUGAUUCCAGACUAACCAAGCAAUCCUGCCAUAAAAAAACAUGUGUUUCGACGACUCCACAGCCAUCCUGCAAAAACAUGUGUUGUGUCAUACUAUUUAUAUUCUAAUUAAUAAAAAAAAUUAACUGAUAGUUAAAGUACUUAUCCGGAAAUGAAUAAAUACAUGUAAUAGUUGAUAAAUGUUAAUUAGAUUAUGGAAAAAACUGUACUCGGUAUUUACUCUUUGUUUAUUUUAGAUAAAUAAUUCUCAUUGGUUUUAACUUCAAAGUUGAUAUAUACUUAGAGUUUUAACUUUAACAUUUUACACCUCACAACUUCAAAUACAAUUCACUCAAGAUUAAUCCUUAAAAUCCACCCUUCUUAGACAAUUCAUAAAAAACUAAUUUAAAAAUAUUAUUAAAAUUUAUAUAUAAAAGUAUAUUUUAGUUAGAAGAAAUCAAUUUCUUCCAAGCUGAAGAUUAUAUGACUAAGUUCAAUUUUUUUAUAAAUAAAAUGCUAAUCCUUAAUUGAUUACUUAAAAUGAAAAGUGAAAUAUUAUUAGAAAUUUAUCAUAUUAAAUAAUAAAUAUUAAUUGCUCUAAAUUUAAAUAUAUGAGAUAAAUAUUUAUGUAAAGUGGAUAAAGAGCAUAACAUGUCUACGAACUAAUUAGAAAUGAUUAUUAAGAUUUUUUUUAUAGUUAAGAACAUAUAUUUAUGUAUUUUAGUAUAACUUAAUUAAAAUUCAAUAUUUUUACCCUUUUUACGUAAGUAACAAAGAAUACCCCACAUGUGUAUAACAAACUUUUUCACCCAAAUGACAACGGCAUACUUAUGAGAAUUAAUUUUAUGGAUAACAUGACACUAUUUUAUAUUUAGUUUUUUGAUAGCACCAUUUUUUUCACGGAGAGAAUUCAGUUUCCAGAACCUUUAUCUUUUAUUUCUGAAAAAAAUAUAUUUUCUUUUCGGAGAGCUGAAUUCUGAGGAUUUUUUUUUUUUUUUAAUAAUGAAUAGGAGUGGAUAAAGGUCUAUCGGUGGGUCAUCAAAAUGGAAUUUCUGAACAAUAUACUCUCAGACUUUCAGUUUUUAACUUUGAUUAAUGUAUGUUUAUGUGAAAUUAAUUAUAUGGUAACUGAAUUUUGAGAUAAUCUUUUAGAUUUUUAGAUCUUUUAGAGGAGAAAAGUAACAAAUUAUACAUUUUUCGUUUUGAGAUAAUCUCACUUUAUUACUUAUACAAUAACACGUAUUUUCAUUUUUAAAAACAAAAAGAAUGUUAGACAUACACGUCUCUCUAUAAAAAUAGUUUUCUAUAAAACAUACAAAAAGUACAUUUUCAAAAAGCAUUUCUCUUGAAAAUAUUUUUUUUUAAAUAAACCAAAUAAAAAAACAUUUUGAACUUCAAAUUCAAGAAAAAUUUAUUUUUUCUCCAUAGGUGAGACACAUAGUAGUCACGUGAGAGGGAAUUGAUUAAGUAAAGAAGAGUCGUUAUUUGGUUUGGUACAAUGUGAGAGAAAAUUUAAUAAAAUUUAUUUUUGUAUAUUAAAUAAAAAUAAUUAUAAUUCAGUUUUUACACACACCAUAAGCAAACACAAGAUUCCUAAUAAAUAACUGUUUUCACCUUUUAUAUGUUUAAUUCUUAAAUUGGAAUCAAGUUUUGCUUCUUCUUCUUUUUUACCAAUUUACUACGUUUUGGUUGAAAAGAGACUUCUGAGUCAAUCUAACAUAACACGACUUCAUAAUAUUUGUUUUUUAUGGGUAAUGUUAUCAUUAUAAAAACUAAACUUGUAUAAAAAGUAAAAUAGUACAUACAAAAUUAUUUUAAAAAUUGAUUAGUGUUAAAUAUCAUUGUCUCAUUUUAUAAUAGAAAUUUGAUUUCAUUUCCUACACAUAAGGUUAUCAGAAUUACUGGUUAGAAAACUAAUAAUUUAAAAAUAAUGGUAAUAAAUAUAAAUUAAUAAUAAUUAAAUAAAUUUAUUAAAUAAUAAAUUUGUAUCAAAUAUUUUAUUACAUUAUUAAUAAAAUAAAUAAAUAAAAUUAAUUAAAUAUAUAUAUACCACUUUCUUUGCAAAGUUUGCAUGGAAAUGAUUUUUGGAUUUCUGUGCCUUUUUUUUGUUGUUGUUAUUAGGUGGAUUUCUGGCCUUUUCAUUGCAAAUAGUAUUUCUAUGCCUUUCUCCGCCUGGAUACAAACACAACCUUAAAGAUGACGUCCAAUUCAUCCAGUUUUUUUGCGGUCAACAAGUUCAAUGCUUUCUAGAUCUUCGGUGGAACGGGAAGUUUGAUACCGGGGUUGAGGCAACCAAUACAAAGGAAAUCCUUUCAAGAUGUCUAAGUUCUAAUCUAAUUCUUGCACUUUAAGGAACUUGCCUUUGAAAGAUUUAUAGGAAGAUUGGAAAAGAGUUAAGAGGCCUCGACCGGAGACCCCACUAAGAGAAGCCCAAGAGGAUCAUUUUGAAGGUUUAUACUCAAAAAAAUAAAAGAAGACAUUGGUUGUCAGAGUAACAUCAAAAUGAGCACACAGAAUAUAGGAUGAAGUUGUGCAAGAGCAACAUUCAUCACAUUUAAGAUACUUUUCUCAAAGAAAGACAACGAUCGAAGAACACCGAGCCUAGUAAAGAGGGUUUCAUAGAAAAAACAAAAGGGUUUUUCAUCACGAAAAUCUCUACAAACUGGUUCAUCAGGAACACAAAAGAAGGGGAAAUCAAGGGAGCGAUGUGGUAAUGUGAAGGAUCAAAGUGUCCUGGGCCUGGCGGGUUCAAUUUCAACUUCAUUAGGAAAAACUGGGUAUACAUAAAAGAUGAGUUCGUCAAAGCAAUGACUUUGUUUCAUGAGACAGGUUCUAUACCAAAGGGGUGCAAUGCAUCAUUUAUAGCCUUGGUACCAAAAAUUAAGGAUCCAUCUAAGUUGGAGCAAUAUCGACCCAUCUCUCUAGUGGGGGCUAUAUAUAAAGUCAUCUCAAAGGUGUUGGCUGGUAGAAUAAAGAAAGUGCUAAGUUCUGUUGUUGAUGAAAGUCAAUCUGCAUUUCUAAAAGGAAGAGGGAUUUUAGAUAGCGUGCUCAUGGCCAAUGAAGCGAUAGAGGAUUUUAGAAGGUGUGGAAGGAGCGGGUUAUGCUUGAAGGUGGACUUUGAAAAAGCCUAUGACUCGGUUAGGUGGGAAUUUUUAUAUGACAUGCUCUAUAAGCUGGGUUUCAACAACAAAUGGGUUAUGUGGAUGCGAGGGUGCUUGGAAUCGGCUACAAUUUCGGUACUCGUUAAUGGGAGCCCAACGGAGGAAUUCAAACCAACAAGAGGCUUGAGGCAAGGUGAUCCGCUUGCCCCUUUUUUUUUAUUGUGGUAGUUGAAGGUUUAGUUGGGUUAGUAAGGAAAGCUAAUAAGACCAACCUGCUAUCAGGAGUUAAGAUUGGUAGAGAGGAAGUGGAGCUUAGUAUCCUGCAAUUCGCAGAUGAUACCCUUUUUUCUAUGUGAGGAGUACCAUAGUAAUGUGGUAACCGUGAAGGCGAUACUAAGGGGGUUUGAGCUAGCUUCAGGCCUAAAGAUAAACUUUCAUAAGUCUAAGAUUGCUGCAGGAGUAAAUGUCGAUAGAAACGCUUUGGCAAGCUAUGCAAAGACACUGAAUUGUGCCCAGAUGGGAGUUCCAUUUAAGUAUCUGGGCUUAGAAGUGGGAGGGAACCCAAGGAAGGUUAAGUUUUGGGAGCCUGUGCUAACCAAACUAAAAGAUAGACUCAACGCUUGGAAAGGAAGAUUCUUAUCCAUGGCAGGGAGAAUAUGUCUAAUUAAAUCAGUCAUCACUGCGGUUCCACUCUUUUACCUUUCCAUCUUUAAAGCGUCAGGCUCUAUCUACCAAAGCAUAAUCAGUAUUCAACGGAGGUUCUUGUGGGGGUGGGGGAAGGAAAAGAGGUCGAUAUCAUGGGUUAGUUGGGAAUACGUGUGUAAAUCGAAAGAGGAAGGUAAUUUGGGGAUCAGAGAUAUUCGAAAAUUCAAUUACGCUCUUCUGGCCAAAUGGAGGUGGCGGUUAGUGUCGGAAGAGAAAGGGAGGUGGAAGAACUUACUAGUCUCAAAGUAUGGGAUGGAUUCGGACUGGUAUCAAAUUCCAGUGAAAUUUUAGUCAUGGUGGAGAGAUCUACAGAAAGUUUGUACAGAGGGAGAAGGAGGAGGUUGGUUCCACCAGCAACUACCAUAGAGAUUAGGAGGUGGUGACAAAGUGAGAUUCUGGAAAGAUGUGUGGAUUGGUAAUAAAAACCUUAAAACUCUGUAUCGGAGAUUGUUCUCAUUGUCCCUAAACCAGGGUCUAAAGGUGAAUGGGGUUGGGGAGUGGGUAGAUGCAGCAUGGCAGUGGCAAUUAAGGUGGAGGAGGGAUAGAUUUGAGUGGGAAUCUUUGCUAGAAGCCAAUUUUAUCCAACAUAUAUCCCGGACAAGCUUAACAAGAGAACAGGAAGAUGUUAAGACGUGGGGGUGCAAUGAAAAGGGGUCCUUCUCUGUCAGCUCAGCAUAUGAGUGUUGAAGCUGGAGGAAGCUUCUUCCCUACCAAGGCUUGAUGUAUGUUUGAUGAAGAAAAUGGCUUGAGUGCUUUGAAGAUUGUAAUAGGCUUUUAGAUUCAUAUGUAAUUAGGCUUGUAAGUGUGUAUGAUUGCCUUUUGCUGUGUAACCUAUCCUAGAUGCCUAACCAAGUCUAGAUCAAGCACAUGGUGUGGUUAAAUGGUUUUUGAAAAGUCUUUUGAAAUGUUUUUAACAGUUUUAAAACAGUACACAAAUAAAUCUGUUUUAUGGAGAAAGAAUCUGUUUAUUUCUUCUCUGUUAAAAAGGCUUUCGUUUAAUGGUUUUUGAAAAGCUUUUUAAAAUGGUUUUAACAGUUUUAAAACAGUACACAAAUAAAUCUGUUUCAUGGAGAAAGAAUCUGUUUAUUUCUUCUCUGUUAAAAAGGCUUUUCUAAAUUUCUGUUAAGGCACCAAGGGAAAACUCAGUUCGUUAUUUCAGUUAAGCUGAGCUGGCCUGUGCGUUAUACUUUAAUCUGUUUCACUGAGAAAGAACAGGUUUAUUCCUUGGUGAGUUGAAAGNNNNNNNNNNNNNNNNNNNNNNNNNNNNNNNNNNNNNNNNNNNNNNNNNNNNNNNNNNNNNNNNNNNNNNNNNNNNNNNNNNNNNNNNNNNNNNNNNNNNAUGGUCCAAUAAACUUAGGAGAUAACUUCCUUGAUCUGAUAGCUCGUCCUACACCCUUGGUUGGUGUCACUCUCAUGAACACAUGAUCUCCAACUGCAAAUUCCAAAGGCUUUCUCCUCUGAUCUGCAUAUGAUUUCUGCCUACUUUGAGAAGCUUUCAUUUUGUCUUGUAUCUGCUUCACCUUCUCAGUAGUUUGUUGAAGUAACUCUGGCCCAACCAAUACUUUCUCACCAUCCUGAUACCAACAUAAAGGAGUUCUGCACUUCCUCCCAUACAAAGCUUCAUAUGGUGCCAUUCCAAUACUGGAAUGAUAACUAUUGUUAUAAGUGAACUCCGCCAGAGGCAACAUCUCAUCCCAACCUCCCAGAUGAUCCAAUACACAUGUCCUCAAAAGAUCUUCUAAGGAUUGGAUCGUUCUCUCGGACUGCCCAUCUGUUUGAAGAUGAUAUGCAGAGCUCAUUCUCAAUCUAGUUCCCAAUGAAUCUUGUAGAGUCUGCCAAAACCUUGAAGUAAACCUGGGAUCUCUAUCUGAAACAAUACUAGAAGGCACUCCAUGUAAUCUCACAAUCUCUUUGAUGUACAACUGUGCCAACUUGGCCAUAGAUAUCCUCAAAUUAACUGGGAGAAAGUGAGCACUCUUUGUCAGUCGAUCAACUAUUACCCAGACUGCAUCAUGACCCCUUACCGAUCUUGGUAAAUGAGUAACAAAAUCCAUAGCAACGCUAUCCCAUUUCCACUCAGGAAUAUCUAACUGCUGCAACAAACCACCAGGUCUCUGAUGCUCUACCUUUGCCUUCUGACAUGUUAAGCAAACAACAACAUAUUGAGCUAUUUCUUUCUUCAUGCCUGACCACCAGAAGGACUCCUUCAAAUCUUGGUACAUCUUAUUCAUACCAGGAUGUAGACUAAGAUGACUCUUAUGACCCUCAUCUAGAAUCAUUCUCUUCAGCUCUUCAUUUGCAGGUAUGCAAAUUCNNNNNNNNNNNNNNNNNNNNNNNNNNNNNNNNNNNNNNNNNNNNNNNNNNNNNNNNNNNNNNNNNNNNNNNNNNNNNNNNNNNNNNNNNNNNNNNNNNNNNNNNNNNNNNNNNNNNNNNNNNNNNNNNNNNNNNNNNNNNNNNNNNNNNNNNNNNNNNNNNNNNNNNNNNNNNNNNNNNNNNNNNNNNNNNNNNNNNNNNNNNNNNNNNNNNNNNNNNNNNNNNNNNNNNNNNNNNNNNNNNNNNNNNNNNNNNNNNNNNNNNNNNNNNNNNNNNNNNNNNNNNNNNNNNNNNNNNNNNNNNNNNNNGAAAUCAUAAUCCUUCAAAAACUCCAUCCAUCUUCUUUGUCUCAUAUUCAACUCUUUUUGAUCAAAUAAGUAUUUCAGGCUUUUAUGAUCACUAAAUACUUGAAACUGAGCUCCAUACAAAUAAUGCCUCCAAAUCUUCAAAGCAAACACCACAACUGCCAACUCUAAGUCAUGAGUAGGAUAGUUUCUCUCAUGAACUUUAAGUUGCCUUGAAGCAUAUGCAACUGCUCUUUUCUCUUGCAUUAAGACACAUCCUAAUCCCUGAAGUGAAGCAUCACAAUAAACCUCAAAAGGUUUUCCUGUAUCAGGAAUCACUAACACCGGAGCACUAGUUAACCUUUUCUUCAGCUCUAUGAAACAUUGCUCACAUUUGUCUGUCCAAGCAAAAGGUUGAUCUUUGCGAGUUAACUGUGUCAAAGGAGCUACUACUCUGGAAAAAUCUUCAAUGAACCUCCGAUAGUAGCCAGCUAGACCCACAAAACUCCUUAUUUCAGUCACUGUCUUUGGGCGUUCCCAUUGAAGCACUGCCUCCACUUUGGUUGGAUCCACAGAGAUCCCCUGAGCUGAUAUUACAUGCCCUAAGAAGUUGACUUCCUUUAGCCAAAACUCACACUUAGAGAAUUUAGCAUAUAAUUGCUUCUCCCUCAGAAUCUCCAACACUGUCUUCAGAUGUUUUUCAUGUUCUUCAUCGGUCCUUGAAUAAAUAAGUAUGUCGUCUAUAAAGACUACAACAAACUUAUCCAAGAAAGGACGGAAAAAUUCUAUUCAUGUAGUCCAUGAACAGAGCUGGAGCAUUUGUUACUCCAAAUGGCAUCACCACAUACUCAUAGUGUCCAUAACGAGACCUAAAAGCUGUCUUCUGAACAUCUUCAGCCUUUACCAAAAUCUGAUGGUAUCCAGAUCUCAAAUCAAUCUUUGAGAACACUNNNNNNNNNNNNNNNNNNNNNNNNNNNNNNNNNNNNNNNNNNNNNNNNNNNNNNNNNNNNNNNNNNNNNNNNNNNNNNNNNNNNNNNNNNNNNNNNNNNNNNNNNNNNNNNNNNNNNNNNNNNNNNAGAAGCACCGGAGCCCCCCAUGGAGAUACACUUGGCCUGAUGAAUUGUUUUUCCAACAAAUCUUCAAUUUGUUUCUUUAGUUCUAUCAACUCAGCUGGAGCCAUUCUGUAAGGUCCCAUUGACACUGGUCCAGCUCCAGGUACCAAAUCAAUAGAGAAUUCCACUUCUCUCUUAGGAGGUAAUCCAGGUAUUUCUUCUGGAAAUACAUCUAUGAAAUCCUUCACCACAUGUAUACUACUCAUUUCUUCUUCAUUCUUAACUUCCAUCUGAGUUAAGAUUACAAAACAUCUUAAUCCUUCUUUCAAUUCCGACCACACAUGUUGAGCAGACAUCAUAUCUAACUCCUUGGAAUCUGAAAACACUAUUUUCUGUUGACCACAAUCUAUGAGAAUGUGAUUGGCAGAUAGCCAAUCCAUUCCUAGGAUAACAUCCAGAUCCUGAAGAGGUAGACAAAUCAAAUUCAUUUUGAACCUGCGUCCCUCUACUAUUACUGGACAUUCAGAACAAACUAUAGAGGUCAAUACUUUUCCUGAUGUAGGUGUAGAGACCAGCAGUUCAAACGACAAUUCCUUAACUGGAAGACCCAACUCAGCUACACACAGACUUGACACAAAGGAGUGUGUCGCUCCAGAAUCAAACAAAGCUUUUACACAUUUACCAGCUAUAUAACAAACACCUUGUACCAAGUUACCUGACUGAGAUGCUUCAGCUCCUGUCAUAGCAAAAACUCUCCUUGCUGCCUGAGGUCUAUUGCCUUCACUUCUAAACUGUUGAGAACCGCCUGAUAGAGUCAUCUUAUUCUUGUUAGGACAAUCUCUAGCAAAAUGUCCCAUCUUUUGGCAUGUAAAACAUCUUUUCUCUGGAGUCCCCUUGGGGCAUGUAUUGGUGGUAUGUGGUCCACUACAAUAGAAACAUCUAGGUUUCCAUGGUUGUUGUUGUUGAAACUGAGGCGGAAAUGCUCUUGCCUUAUGUUGUGGAGGUCUAGCAUAAGGCUUGUGUUGUUGAUGUUGUACCUUGGCCUUCCCACUGAAAGACCCUCCUGGGUGUGAUCUAAUCACCAUAGAAUCACCCCUUUCCAGGGUCUCCACCAUCUUCACUUUCUCCACUGAGGCAUGAAACUCCCUAAUGCACAUAGGUGCUAUGGUCUUCUUCAGUUCAUGCUUUAAACCUUCUUCAAACUUCCUACACCUCCAAGCCUCAGAGGUAGCUUGGGUGUAGAAUCUGGCUAGGUACUCAAACCUAGCAGCAUAUGCAUUUACUGACAUCUCUCCUUGCUCCAACCUGAGAAAUUCAGCUUCCUUUGCAAAUCUGGCACUAUCUGGAAAAUAUUUCUCCAGAAAUCUCACUUUGAAACUCUCCCAGCCCAAAACUUCAGCUCUGGCUUCCAUCAUUUGUUGAGCUCCCAUCCACCAGAACUCUGCUUCUCCAGACAAUAAAUAUGUAGCAAAAACCAAUUUCUUAUCCUCGGGGCAGGAGGUUGCCCUAAAGAUCUUCUCUAACUCUCUGAUCCAUUGGUCUGCUUGGUCAGGAGUGGCAUUCCCACUAAACUUGGGCGGGUUGUGCCUCAUGAACUCUGUCAGCCCCAUCUGCUCCUGCGAUUGACUGACAUGGGAAGCUGCUGCAGCNNNNNNNNNNNNNNNNNNNNNNNNNNNNNNNNNNNNNNNNNNNNNNNNNNNNNNNNNNNNNNNNNNNNNNNNNNNNNNNNNNNNNNNNNNNNNNNNNNNNAGCAAAUUGAACUACUGGUUUUGAGUUCUUGCAUCUUCUUUUCAGGUGUAAUCUUUCCUUUAUUCUGUUUUGUAAAGGUGUAAGUGUUAGUCACUCCUUGAUAGGGUUUCUUGGAGUGCAAGGUGUGCUGAAAUAGGGUUUUUCAGCAUUGUGUGUGGUGUUCUUGUAGUGUUCAAGAACUGCUGGUUUUGUAAGUGAUUGACACUGUUUUUUAGUGAAUUCCACCUUGGGGUAAGGUGAGACUGGAUGUAGCUCUGUAUGAGUGAACCAGUAUAAAAACGUGUGUAUCUUGCAUUCUCAUCCCUGCACUCUUUUCUGUUUUCGCUUAAUUCUGUCAAGAACUAAAUCUGUUCUUUUUAAAUUGAAUCUGUUAAUUCUGGGUUAAGUGAAAACUGUUCUUCCUGUCUUGUUAAAGUUUUAUGAUCAUAAACAAGGUUGCUGCAUAUAAUGGCUUAAGUGAAUUGUGAACAAACUGACCAUUCAUUAAAACCUAUGAAAGGAUCUUUUUUCUUGAAAUCUUGUGUUGUGUAAUUUUGGUUGAUCUCUAAGCAUAGCUAUAUCUUUUAUCCUCACAAAAAUAAGCUGAUCUGGUUCUGUUCUGAUUCUCUGUUGAUCACAAUUUUACAGUGAACAAUAUUCAAAUUGUGCCAAUACUGCUCUGAAAAAUCAAUCUGUUUCAUGUAAAAACAAUCUGUUCUUUUUGCCUCUGGAAUACUGAAAAAUUGUGUGUUCUUGCGAAAAUUUUAUAAGCUCAAUUCACCCCUCCCCUCUUGAACUUAGACACUAAUAGACCCAACAAUGAGUUCCUAUCUAAGUAGGUUAGCAACCCUCAUCGGGAAGUGUUUAAGAACCUGUGGGAAAUCAAAGCGUUCCCCAAUGUCAUAAGCACAGCUUGGAGGGUUCUCCUAUGCAUAAUCCCAACUAGAGUGUGUCUUAGUAGGAGAGGGAUGAUGUUAAACACAAUAUUGUGUGCUUUAUUCAAAACGAAGGAUGAAUCAUGCCAACAUAUUUUCAUAGAAUGUCAUUAUGCCCAGAGUAUGUGGACACUGUGUUUUAAAUGGAUAGGUAUAUCGUUUGUUCAAAACAAUGUAUUAUUGAUGCAUUUUGAGAGCUUAUGCUUGUCACAAGUAAACAACGAACAAAAUCUCCUAUGGGCAACUAUUGUGAGGUGCAUUUGGGAGCAUAGGAAUUCUAUUGUAUUUAAACAAGGUGUAGUAGAUGUGGAAGAGAUCUUCUAGAUGGUUCAAGUUAAGUCAUGGCAAUGGCUAAAGCACAAGGGACAACCUUUUAACUACUCACUUGUAGAUUGGGUUCUUAAUCCUUUAAUAUGUAUUAGAAGCUUUAAGUAAUUGAAUAUUGAUUAACACUUACAAGGGAACCUGCAAAUUGGUAAGGUUUGUUGCUGUACUGGAAGCCAGAAAAGGAGAAGUGAGCAAUUCCAGGGGCUCCAAAAAGGAUUGUUGGGAGAGGUUUUGAGGUGAGUUGUGGAUGCAGAAUGGAUGUACUGGAAGAUAUACUAUGUCCAGUGAUAACUCUAAAGAGCUGGUAAGGGUGAAAAGUGUGAUUAGAGGUAGAGGUGCUACUAUUAAAACCAGUUGUUCAUUAGAAUUGUUGGCGUGUGGUAGUGAGAUGGAGUAGUAAGGCAUGUGUAACACUAACUUAUCAGCACAAUAUAUGGGGUCUAAAAUUGUUAUAGAGAACCUAUAUAGGUUGCUGCGAGUUAGUCCAUCAUUUGUCCCUAUUCCUCAUCAUGACAGCAACACCUUUCCUUAUAUUCCCAAAUGUUGGCAAGGUGGGGGUCCUAUUGGCUUCUAUACACAAUCCAGUAUCUAAUUCAUUCGUAUAUAACUAUCUAAGGAAAUGGCUUUGUGUGAGAGCAGAAUUGAUGUUUGUAGUGGCAGGUUUAAGGCCUAGUAAUGUAGAGAUACAAGGGUUUUUUUUUACCUCUGUUUCAGCUUGAUUUGGGUGAUUAAGCAGGGCAAGUUUUUGAUUUUGUUGUGAUCAUGCUGUAAAAAACAACUUUUAUUCUCUCACCAUGGAAGAGCGUGGCUGGGGGAUUGGAAAGGGUGGCUACAAGGACAUCUUUGUUAGUUAGCUAAUAUUGGACCAUUAAUUAUUAAUCAUGAUGGUGGUAACAAUGAUGGUUGAACCAAUCAGACCAUCACAGGUUUGGUCUCAAGGAGUUUUGAUGCAGGGAAGAAAAUUUGUGCAUUCUGAAUAUAGAAAGGUAUGCAAGGAAAAAGGAAAACAAAGUUGGAAAAGUAGGUAUGCUGGAAUGGAAUGUCGAAGUGCAAAUUGCAAAGCUAGAAGUAGGCUUCUUUCUAUUGUAAUUAGCUAAGCCAUGCACCAAUGUUUUAAUUUUUAUGCAGAUGUUUUCCAACAGUAUGAUUAGCAAGCAUGGUGGGUGGGUUGGUGGUUUUUUGUGUAAGGGUUGAGCCACCUCUGAAGUGUCCCCUUUAAUUUUAUUAAUUCUUUGCUGAUAAAAAAAAACACAAGGCACAACACAUACAUUUAAUUCAAUACCAAAAAGGCUUAAUGUUUGAGCAUGACAUAAUUGCUCUAUGCACUUGGCAAAAGUAAAAAAGGAGGUCUCAUGAAGGACAUCACGUCUGACUCAAGUAUAUACAAAAUUAUAAUCCAUGAAGUUAAAAUGGAGGACGCGAAACAAAGUAAUGUUUGGUUUAUUCACAAUAGAAGGGCAAUCAAGUGGAAGAAAAGACACACAUAUAAGGAAUAGAAUAGUAGAAUAAAAAGGGCAAGUCGUACCUGAGAGCAAGUUGAGUUCGAAGGGAGCAGAGUGAAUAACGAAGGAGAUGAAGAAUGAAGAAGAGUGAAGGGUGGGAAGAGAAAAGGGUGAAAAAAGAGGAAUGGAAGGGAAUAGUGUGCUAAAACGUUGAAUGGAGAACCCAUGAAGAGAUAGGAAGCAAUCUGCUAGGUUUCCCGAGCCCAAUAAGAAUUUAUUCAACAAAAACAGAGGCCAGGCACUGAAACACGUUUGCAUGGCAAGUGUUCAAACUUUUAAGCCUCAUUGGCUUAUGCCAGAGACUAAGGGACUGUAUGGUUAUGGGUCGAUCCCAUACAAGAUAAAUGAUGGUUGUUUCAAGAUUUUAAGCCUCAUUGACUUAUGUCUGAAGCUGAGAGGUUAUAUAAUCAUGGACCGAUCGAGAUGAGUCAUGGGUCGAUCCCAUACAAAAUGAAGAUUGUUGUUUUAAGAAGUUUUUAAGUUUCAUUAACUUACGAAAAGCUUUUCGAAUUAAAAAAUAAUAGACUAAUUCAACACAACAAUAUAGGACUAGUAAGGAAACAUCCCUCACUAUAACACAUGUCUAAAGAGUUGUGUAACUUGAUUGAUGGGUAUUUUGCAAUACAAACACCUGUUUUCUUUUUUUCGCUGCACUUUCCCAGGUUUUGGUUGUAGCCAGACUUUACAUUUGACUAUGGAAACAUAACACAACUGCAUAAUAUAUGUGUUUAAAUUUUUUUUUUGUAUAAUUAAAUAAAAUAAAAAGUAAAAUAGUAGAUACAAAGUGAUUAUAAAAAUUUAUUGGUGUUAAAAUAUCAUUGCUUCAUUUUAUAAUAGAAAUUUGAUUCUAUUUACGCAUAUAAGAUUAUCUCAUUACUAGUUAGAAAAUUAAUAUUUUAAAAAUAUGCUGGAAUUAAUUAUUUAUAUAUUUUUUCGAUCUUAUUAUAAAUUUUAAUAAAUCUUUAUUAAUCAUUGGUCAGAAGGCCUCCAGUAAAUAAUAAGAUCAUAUAUUAAUGUUAUAUUAUUUAAGUAAUUUCAUCACAUGACAUUUUAAUUUGUUAUGUCAACGCUAUACUAUUUGACUUGUUUAAAUUGAAGAAUGAAUUCGAAAGAGUAAAAAAUAAAAAUAAAAACUAAAAUAAUUUGAAUUAAAAGAAAAAAUAUAUAAAAUAAAAGAAAAAUAAAUAAAUUAUGAAAAAUCGUAAGUGAUUUAAUUGAUAUAAAAGUUUAUAAAAUAACAUAUUUAUAAAAUAAUCAAAAUAUGUUUAUAAUUAUAAAUAUUUGUUAUUAUUAUUAUUAUUAAUUAAUUUUUAUUUUAUUAUUUUAGACUUGUAUUAAUAUUUUAUUAUGUUAUAUAUGGUAGCCAUAAUCAUACUAGUUCUUCUUAUUCUUUGAACGCAUAAUAGUCAAUCACUUCAAAAUUCUUGACAAAAAUUAUUAAGGUUUACAAAAAUAUAAUUUUAAAUAAAGAUAUUAAAGUUAAAUUUUUCAAGACAAGCAAAACAUAAAUUAAAUAAUUAUCUGUAUUUAAAAUAUUGAAAAAUUAUAAUAAUUAAUUAUUAUUUUUCUUAAUUUCAAAAAUUAAUAUUGCAAUAUGAUAAACUUUUUUAUAAAUUAUGUAUACUAACCUGUGGCAUUAUUAGUUUGCAUAAGACCAAAUUCAUUAGUUAAAAUACUUCAGUGCCUUCCCACCCCCAACAUUUCCUUUACUUUACCAGACUGCCGACCUUUGUCUCACGUGGGUGGGUCCUGUCGGCACAAUGACAACAGUUCCCUCUAUAUAUUCUGUCUUUCCUCAGGUUCCGGAUCUAUUCCUCUAUCUCUUCUCUAUCUCAACUUUUCGGCUUCUUUCAACUGUCUUCAACACCACCUAAAUGUUUUUCAUGGCUCAUGUUCUAAGGCAAAUAUUUUAUUAUAUUAUUAAUAAAAUAAAUAAAAAUAAUAUAAUGAAAAUAAAUAUAAUUAUUUAUAAAAUUUUAAUUAACUUAAUAUACAUAAAAGUUCCUCAUAUUUUAUUAUUCAAUAUUUUUAGAAAUAAAAAUAAAUUUGUAUUUAUAUUUCACACUUUUUAAAAAAAAUAAAAAAUUCUAUCACGUUAAAUCCCUUCUAACCAGCAAAAUCUAAACAGUCUUUCUUGAUUAUUAAUUCUUAAAUUCUCAAACAUUCACUAUCACAAAUGUUAGAAAAAUACAUUCCAUUUUCUACCGAAACACAUCUUUUCCUUUCCCAUCAAAUCACAUUAUGUGAGAAAUGAUAAGGUAAGGGAACUUUCGUGGAUGUCUCAGCAUAACUCAACUUUGAAUAGGAAAAGAUUUCUUUAACCCGAGAAAAAGUAAAAUCACAAAGACGACCCAGUGAUAUUAAAUGACCCAUGGACUUGAUCCUCAUGCGUACCCUUGUCUCACUCUUUAAUCACUCCUUCUUUUAGCUGUCGUCAAAAUCAGGUUUCAACUUCUUCAUGGCUGAUCGUGCAGUUGGAAUGAGAGGUAAUGAACUGAUUUUUAACAUAGGCAAUAUCCAAAUAUGUAACAUGGCAAUAGAAACUCACCCUGUUGAUGGCCUUGUUGCCUUCAUCUUCUUUGUACUUCUCGCUUUCCUCCAACUCAGAUAUCCAGAAAAUUCCACCCCAUUUCACCUUCAUCCAAACACCAUUUGGCUUUCCAUUCUUAGCUUUCUUCUUUAUUGCUUCUUCACCUUCUCUGGUAACCUCAACUUUGGUAUCAGAGUUAAUCACUUUCAAACCCUCAAGCGUGUCUUCGCUUCACUCUCAUUGCUUUGCAUGCUGGUGCUGUUGCUACCCGAAACUUGGGAACGCUUCGGUUUCCUUAUUUACAUUUUAUGGUUCAUCACUCAUGUGCUCUCCUUUAUCAAAACCCACUUCAUGAAAACAAGGGUGCAACGUCGAUACUCGAGGAGGGUGGUGCGUCCACUGUUACCAAUCACUUCAAUGGAUUUUAAUUAACUGCUUCAUCACUGGGUCUUGCUUUGUUUGAGUUUUGGAAGAGUGUGCUGUUACUCCUUUUUUAUGUGUCUGGCAUAGGGAUAUUAAUUUACAUCAAACUUUACUAUCAAAGCACAACAAGGAGAAUUAUCCCUCACUUCUAUAAGUUUGUCAUCCAAAUUUACACUGUCAAUAGUUUUACGUAAAGUUAAUAUAUAUCAAUUAUAUAAGGCGUAAUUAAGUUUUUGUUGCUAGAGGGAAUAUUUUAAGUUUUUAUCUCUGGUAAAAUGUUUUAUGUUUUGGACGAUACUUCUAUAUUGAAACAUAAAGGAUGUGUUAGGCUUUUGCUAUUGUUAUUCUAAAAUUAGGGUUACCAAAAACUGUCUUCUUUGAUAUUGCUUAGUCCCCUAUAAGGGUAAAAAAGGGAUCAUGGUCUUAAAAAAAACCCUUUCAAUAAUAACAACAUAAUAAUAAUAAAAUGGCAGACAUUUACUAAAGACACAUGAGUCUAUCCUAUUACAAAGUCCUUCAUCCAAUUGGGUUGUCUUUUUGGUCUUGUGCUUGUGUAUGGGCCCAGUCUAACAUUACUAUCCGCCCCACUAGACACUUUGUCCUCAAAGUGGGAUUUUGGAAUUAGUUGGGUCAUUGGACGGUUAUUGGGCUGGUGUUGGUUCUCGUGAGUUUGGAUAUGGGGUGGGGUGUAUGCAAGCUGGCGCGGGGGUGCAGGAAUUGGAUGGGCCAUUAAGGAUGAGUUGGGUUGGGUAUUGGUUGUUGGGUCAUUAGGGUUUGUAGGGAGUGGUGUUGGGGCGUUAGGGUUUUGAGGAAGGGGCGCCGUUUGAGGUGCUUCAGAAUUACGGUUUGUAUUGCAUGGAGUGCUAGCGUUGGGCUCGAGGCGUGGGGAAGCUGCACCAUCAGUGAGUGGGACACGCGGCUCGAGGCGGGGGAAGCUGCACCAUCAGUGAGUGGGACACGCGGCACACUAUUGUUGGCUCCGUCAGGAAGCGCGUUCAGGCAAUUAAUGGGCGUGGGAAGGGUUUGCUGGUGCGCGUGGGGCUCGAGGCGUGGGGAAACUGCGCCAUCCGUGAGUGGGACACGUGGCGCUCUGCUGUUGAUUCUAUCAGAACGUGUGUUGAUGUGAUUAUGAGGCGUGGAGAUGGCUUGCUGGUGGGGCACGUGAGCGUGAGGCUCGAUGCCAGCUAAGUCCGUGUGAUUUGUGAGUGUAACACAUGGCGUGUUGUCAUUGGUUUCCUGGUACGGUGAGUUCAGAGCGUUCUGAUUUGGGUUGGGAGAUGAGUUAAGUGGUGUUGGAAGUGCCAAGUUCUUGGAUUUGGUAGAAAGACCCUGGUGUUCUCCCGCAGGUCCUUUGAAAGGUCUGAGCAGCGAAACGUGAAAAACUGGGUGGACUCGCGCCGACGGUGGCAGUUGAAGCUCAUAUGCGACGGUGCCGAUGCGGCGUAGGACCUGGUAUGGGCCUGAAAAACGUGGGCCAAGCUUUUGGUGUGUUCUUCGUUCCAAUGAGUGUAGCCGGUAGGGUUGGAGUCGUACACACACCCAUUCUCCUGGUUCAAAACUACGGUCUGUGCGGUGGCGAUUAGCUUGGUCACACAUGCGCUAGCGUGUGCGACGCAAGUGCUCCCUGAGGUCGUGGAGGAUGACGAUGUGCUCCGACAGUGUCUCGUGGAUGGAGGUUCCAGCGUUUGGGACGCUUAAGAAGUCAACUACUGUGGGUGGUUGUCGACCGUACAACGCAUGGAACGGGGAGGUUCCAAUAGCCGAAUUGUACGUUGUAUUAUGCCAAAGUUCUGCCAAGUGAAGAUAUUUGUACCACUUGUUUGGUUGGUUUCCCACAAAACAUCUCAGGUAGGCCUCUAAGCUGCGGUUCAGUACCUUUGUUUGACUGUCCGUUUGGGGAUGGUAUGACGAACUAAAUUUUAACGUUGUUCCUUGUGCUUUGAAUAGGUGCAGCCAGAAAGUGCUAACAAACAAAGGGUCGCGAUCUGAGACGAUGGUUUUUGGUAGUCCAUGGAGGCGACAGAUUUCUAUUGAGAAACGCUUGGCUAGUUGUUGGGUCAUGAAGUGUGUGGGCAGAGCGAUGAAGUGCGCAUAUUUUGUGAGUAUGUCGCACAUGACCCAAAUGACUGAGUGUCCGGAUGAGACUGGAAGGUGAGUAAUAAAAUCCAUUGAUAUGUCCUCCUAUACUUGUUUUGGAAUUGGUAAUGGUUGCAGUAAACCCUGAGUUUUGGUUGGCAUAUACUUAUUUUUUUGGCAUGUGGAGCAUUGUUGGACAAAACGAUGGACGUCUCUGGUCCAUUUCGGCCAAUAGAAUGAAGCGGCUAUGCGCUUGAGAGUUGGUUUGAUGCUGGAAUGGCCGCCAUAAGGGGAAGCAUGGAACUCUGUCAUAAUGCGCUGGCGGAAAUCAGUUGAUGCUGGCACGAAUAUCUGAUGGCGAAAAAAGAGUAAAUCGUGGCUAGUGGAGAACAAGCUUGGUUGUUGUUGACUGCUUGUGCAAGCAUGGACCACUUCCUGGCCUUCUGUGGUGGCAAAAAAAGUUUGGAGUUCUUGAAUAAGCUGUGGGAUUGGGGACGACACUGCAAACAGUAUGAUAGUGGAAUCAUGACCUUGCCUUGAAAGAGCAUCAGCCACGGCAUUUUCCUUCCCAGGUCGGUAAAUAAUUUAAAAAUCAUAUCCUUGCAAUUUAACAAUCCAUUUCUGUUGUUCUGGGGUCUGAAUGGUUUGGGAGAGGAGGGUGUUUAGGCUCUUUUGAUCUGUUAUGAUUAUGAAAUGUUGUCCUAUGAGGUAUUGACGCCAUUUUUUUACUGACUCUGUUAUGGCAUACAUCUCUCGAACGUAUAUGGAGGAAGCUUGAAGCUUGGCAGUCAUCUUUUUGUUGAAAAAAGCUAGUGGUUGCCCUGAUUGGCUGAGGACGACUCCUAUGGCCACUGCUGAGGCAUCUGUUUCGACCACAAAGGGCAGCUUAAAAUCUGGAAGGUGUAGUGUAGGCAUUGUCUUCAUGUGUAAUUUUAAUUUUUCGAAUGCUUGCUGCGCAAGCUCAGUCCAUGUAAAUUUGUGGUGUUGUAAUAAGUCGAUGAGAGGAGCGACGAGAGUGGCGUAGUGCUUUAUGAAUUUCCUGUAAAAUCCGGUGAGGCCGAGGAAACCCCGUAAUUCCGUGAGUGAUCGUGGCUGAGGCCAGUCGUGUAUGGCUUUGACUUUCUCUGGGUCUGGUUGGACUCCCUGUGCAGAAAUAAUGUGACCCAAGUAACUAACUUUCGCGGUUGCGAAACUGCACUUGGAAAGCUUGGCAAAAAAUUGCUGAGUGUGUAGCACUUCCAAUAUAGUCCUACAAACUUGGACUAUAAAUCAAAAUAUCAUAAAAAAGACUAAGACAAACCGGCGGAGGUAUGGUCUGAGAAGAUCAUUCAUGGCUGCCUGAAAAGUAGAAAGAGCGUUAGUUAAACCAAAUGGCAUGACCAAGAAUUCAUAGUGGCCAUCUAUAGUGCGAAACGCUGUUUUGUGAGUGUCUUCUGGGAGAAGCAGUAUUUGGUGGUAUCCUAAGUGUAGGUCUAUUUUAGUAAAAAUAGUAGCUGAGCCUAACUCAUCGAGCAGUUCAUCAAUUGUUGGAAUGGGGAAGUGGUCACGAAUGGUGGCUGCAUUUAAGGCUUUGUAAUCCACACAGAAACGCCAUGUUCCAUCUUUUUUUUAUUAAGAGCACCGGUGAAGAGAAUGGGCUUGUACUAGGUUGAAUAAUGCCCUCUUGCAGCAUUUCUGCGAUCAGUGUUGUAAUAACUUCCUUGUGGUGAUGUGGGUAGCGGUAUGGUUUCACUUUGAUUGGUGGGGUAUGAGGUAACAGGGGAAUAUGGUGGUCAUGUGGUCUCUGUGGAGGUAACCCUCUUGGUUUUUGAAAAAUACCUUGGUAUUCCUGAAGAAGGGAUUUGAUGGGUUAGGGUAGGUGAGAUAAUGGGGAUGCAGGAUUAUCAAUGGUAGUGGUUAAGGUUGUAUGGGAGCGGGGUUGGGUGUCCACCGAUAGAAGGUGUAAAGAGGCAAUAGAGUUAUUGGAUAGAUACUGGCAAAAUUGGUGAUAAGUGGUAGCUGAUGGGUUGGGUGAGUGGGCGGCUUGCAACGUAAUAUGUUGGUUGUUGUGGGUAAAUUCUAUGCUGGGAAUUGAGAAAUCUGCUUGGAUGGACCCUAGCGUGCUCAACCAUUCCACGCCCAAAACAACAUCCGCACCUUCAAUCGGAAGAAGGUAAAAGGGAAUAGUAAAGGUAGAGUUAUGGAGAGAUAUGUCCACCAAUGGACAAACACCCUAGCACUUAAUGAACGCCCCAUUUCCAACCAUUACCGAGAGGGGUGGGCUAGGGGAUAUGGCUAGGUUUAAAUGGUGGGCAAUACGUGGUUGAAGAAUGUUGUGGGAGCUUCCCGAGUUAAUGAGGACGGUAACAGGGAGGUGAUGAAUUAGACCUGUGAAUUUGAGGGUUUUUGGGGAAAUAGUACCAGAUAGGGCUUGAGGUGAAAGGUGGAAGUGAAUAGUGUUGGUGUGGUCAUGUGUGGGGGAAAUCUCCUCGUUGGCUUCAGCUAGGAGUUAUGGGUCAUCUAAAAGGAGCAAAAAUCGAGAGGAAGUGCAUUUAUGGCCAGGGAAGAAUUUUUCGUCAUAGUUGUAGCAUAACCCUAGGGCUCGUCUCUCUUGCAUUUGUGAGGAGGAUAAACAUUUGAUGGGCAUAUGGGCUGGGGGUGGAGUGGGUGUGCUGGUUCUGUUAGUGAAUGAGGGAGUGGGGUUAGGGUGGUGAUAGGUAGGUGCUGGAAAUCGGAUUUGUUUAGGUUUAGAAUCCCUGAGUUUGUCCUCAAUAAGCUUAGCUAGAUCUAUGCCUUGGGCUAUAGAAUAUGGGUUCAAUAUGGUAAGUUCUCUGCAGAUUUCAACAUUCAGACCAGAAAUGAAACAAUUAAGUAUAGUUUCAAGAGUGAGACCCACCACACAAUUGCAUAAGCGUUCAAACCUGCCUUGGUAUUCAAUGACCGAUGUGGUUUGCUGGAGUUUGAACAACUCCACUUGAUGAUUGAUAUAUGUGGAGGGGCCAAAACGAAGCUCUAAAGCCCUUGUGAAGGAGUGCCAAUCUGUGAGUAGGUGGUUAUUGUGCAGCCAUUUAAACCAUGAGAGAGCGUCUCCCUGCAUAUGAAAUCCCACCAUAGGAAUGUGUUGGUCCAACGGUAUUUGAUAGAAGGAGAAAUAUUGGUCCGCUUGAAAAAGCCAAUCUAGUGGAUUUGUACCAUCAAAGAAAGAUAGGUUGAGUGUGGGUGGUCGUAUGGAAGGGGUGGUGGGAGGUUGCUGGUUUGAGUGAUUGGAAUGAGGGCUACUUUGUUGGUUCAUGUAUGGAAUUUUAGUCUCCGUUUGAGUCAAGAGAGCAACCUGAUCCAGGAUGGACGUGAAGGUAGAGUGAAAGUGGUCAUUCUGAGCCUCUAAGGUAGAUUGUCUGCUAGUGUUUUCGGCCAGUUGGCUUUGGAUGUUGGUGAGAUUUGUUUGGAUGUUGGCUAAGGCCUCGUUCAGAUCUUUUGAUGGAGGUUGGGGAGCCAUGGUAGGAACAAUGAAAGCACCAAAUUGUUAGGCUUUUGCUACUGUUAUUCUAAAACUAGGGUUACCAAAAACUUCUCAGCCUUCUUUGAUAUUGCUUAGAACCCUAUAAGGGUAAAAAAGGGGCCAUGGGCCUUACAAAAAAACCCUUUCAAUAAUAACAACAUAAUAAUAAUAAAAUGACAGACAUUUACUAAAGACACAUGAGUUUAUCCUAUUACAAAGUCCUUCAUCCAAUUGGGCUAUCUUUUUGGUCUUGUGCUUGUGUAUGGACCCAGUCUAACAGGAUACAAUGACAAGAAGAUUAUGAACAGUAAAAAUAUAGAAACACUUUCAUUUCUUUAGGUAUGGAUCUUACAACAAAGAAAUAAUAAAUAAACUUAAAAGAAGGAAUUGGUUAAGGUUCAACAAAGUAUAGCCUAUUCAUCCAACUGUCUACUAUAACUAUUGAGAGACUAAUGAACUAAAAACAACAAUAUAGAUGAUUAAACAAAUUAAGCAAAUUGUCCUUCUAGACCGUCUAACGAGAAUUUUAAUAACUUUAAAAUUAAGAAGUAUUAACUAAAAUACGUUGCUUAAAGUUAUUAAAAAAAUAUUACCCAAACAUUAAAAGAAAAAUGUGGCACAUUAUUUUUUAUUGACAAAGAAUAUACACUAAAAAAAAUUAUUAAAUCAACUAAUUUUAAAGACCAAAUAAUUAGUUACUAUUGAAUUAAAAUAGAGAUCAUUUUAGAUACUAAAAACAUUAUUAGUAUUUAAAGGAUUUUUUUAUUUAUAAAAAAUUAUAAAAUAAUUUUUAAAUUACUAUUUAAACAUUAGUUACCAAUAGUUAUUGAUAUUUUAAACAUUAAACUAUAAUGUUGUGUUACCUAUAAAGCUUAGACAUUCCUCUUAAAUAUGAUGUAUCAAUAACUAUGAGAAAGAAAAAUUAAUGUUGGUACUCCUUUGGUUUUGGAUGAGAAUACUAUGAGAAAGAAAAGGGGUAUGUUUGCUAGAGUACUGGUGGAUAUUGAUAUGUUGUCCCCUCUUCCUGAUCAUCUCUGGGUUGAACGCUCAGACUUUACCUUUGUAGCUGGUGUGGAAUAUGAAUGGCUCCCUCCGUUUUGUUCUCACUGUAAGGUGAUAGGCCAUGAGCUUGCUCAGUGCCGAGUGAUUCAUGAUCAGGGUCGUGCUCCUGGGUCUCAACAUAAAUCUUCUCAUAAGAUAAUUGAACGAGAUCAGGGGAGGACUGAGGUCCCCAAACAACGUAAAGAGUAUCGUAAAAAAGAUCCGCAGCCGAAGCACGUGGAAGGUUACACUGAUAAAUUGAACAUUAAUGCUUCUGCCGGAGCUAAAGCAGGGUCACUCUUGGAUUAUACUGCUCUUGAUAAACCAGGUGGAGUGGAGGACGNNNNNNNNNNNNNNNNNNNNNNNNNNNNNNNNNNNNNNNNNNNNNNNNNNNNNNNNNNNNNNNNNNNNNNNNNNNNNNNNNNNNNNNNNNNNNNNNNNNNCUAUAUCUCUAGGACUCUGAUCUACUAAAGACUAAUCCUAAAACUAAAAGAGGCACAUGCAUACACUUAGAUUGAGAUUGAUCUACAAGUUCAAAACUUUGACUCAGAAAAGGGUAAAAAUUGAACUUACUCUAUAAGAGAUUCUGAUCGGGCAAUCUUAUAGGAUUCACUGCCAGGAGUCCAAUGGCAGACUCCGAUCGUCAAACUGAUAAGCAAGAAGAUCAGAAUCUUAGAGAGAAUGGAGAGAAAAGAAAAAAGAGGAACAAAACUGAACUUACUCUAUAAGAGACUCUGAUCGGGCAGUCUUGUAGUCUUCGCUGCCAGGAGUCCAACGACAGACUCCGAUGGCCAAACUGAUAAGCGAGGAGAUCAGAAUCUUAGAGAGAAGGGAGAGGAAAGGAAAAAGGAAACUUUUAGAGAGAUGGUGGUUCUUUUAAAAUGAAACCUGAAUAACUGAAUUUUCUAUUUAUAUGUCAUUUCAUUUUAAUAAUAAAAUAUUCAGGUAUCAUUUAAAAUAUACCACUUCUACUCUAAGGUUAUUUUUUUUAGACCCUUACAAGUUCUUUCAUAAUAGACACGUGAGGGAUUUUUUUAAGUUGUCAUAGUUAAUAAACAUAAAAAUUUGAUUUCCAAUAAUUAUAAUGUACAUAUUAAGAAGUGGACUUUAAGUCUAACUCAACCCAUAAAACCGGCUCAACUCGUGUGUGACACUAUAUAUUAUGGGUGGUCCAAUAGCGGCCUGAUAACGGGUGGCACGAUAGACCCAACACAAACAAUCGCUAGAAUAGACUCGAAAUGACUCUGAUACCAUAUUAAGAAGUGGACUUUAAGCCUAACUCAACCCCAUAAAACCGACUCAUAGAGUUGAGGUUUGCACCCACUUAUAUACAAUGAAAUGCUUUAAUCUCAGUACAUAUAUAAUAUGUUUCGUAACUAACUAUAAAUAUGUAAUUUUAUGUCCUACAACAAAUAUAACUAUCAUGUUUUUUCAACAAUAUUUAAUACAUGUAUUUUGAAAUGGUGUGAUAAUACUUUAUGAGUUAUAAAGGGAUUGGUCAUAAAAAAAGACAUCUGAGACUUUUUUUAAUUGAUUUAAUUUUGAAUGAAUUCGUCGUAAAAAGAAAAAGAUGGUGGUAACAAUUUUAUAAUUAAUUUAAGGUAAAUAUAAUAAAUUUUUAUGAUGGUUUUAAGAUAAUCGCUAUCGUUUGUUCAUUAAAUUUUCAAUCUAUUUUUUUUUCAACUUUACUUAGUUAUUUUUUUUUCAUAUGCAAUUACGAAAUUUUUUAUAGUCACCACUCAUUAUUUCUAAUACAACACAAUUAUAGUCUCUUUUCUAAAAAAGAAAAAUAAAUAAUUGUGUCCGUAGUCUUAUGGGUUGAGUCCGAUCAAGCACAUUAAGUGAUCGUUUUUUAUAUUGUUAAUAAAAAAUAUUAAGGCUCGAUAUUAUUAGUAGAGAGAAUUGAUUGUUGUAGUGGCGCAAAUCUAGGGAUAUUAAAUAAAUAGUCCUUAUGAAUGAACUUAGGUCAAUAACACGAUCAGAUAUAGGAAAGAUAGGGGAAAACUCCAGUAUAUAUAAGAGGAAGGGCAAGAAAGGAAGACGGGUCACACACUCGGCUAAGUUAAUACACUUAUUCUUAACUUCCGAAUGUUUUAGUUUUAGAGAUCGUUCAUACUCUUGUCCGAACGUGUUAUUGUUGUGUUACCACGGUUAUCUUCAGUCUUUUACCACUAAAUUAAUAUAUAUUAAAAUAUUAUUUUUUUUAUCAACAAAGCAAUUAGAAAUAAUUCAACCGACUAUUUUGGAGUAUAGUUUUGUUCCAACAAAUUGUAUCUUUUAAUUCAAUAUAAUUAUCAUAAUUCAGCUUAUUUUCUUGAAAUAUUAUAAAUAAAAUUACAGAAAAGAAGAAAAGAAAAGAAAAAAAAUGAGGUGCAAAAGUCGAUGGAAGAAAAAUAAAUGCUAUUGAUAACUCUUCCCGUGACUUUAAAAAGCACAGACAUGGUGGGCUUUAACAAAAUGUUAGACUUUAAAAAGAAAAAAACUAGCACCACUAUUGAUUUUUUUUCAAUUUAGACAAUAAAAUGUUUCCUUUUUCAUUUUCUAACUGUAUUUUUUAGGCGUGCAUGGAAAAAGAUAAGAAAAAACAAAUAUAGAAAGAAUACAUGCAGUAAAGUGUAAUGCAUGUGCGAAUUCAUUGAAGUAAAAUAUAAUACAUGUGGCAUUUGAGUAAAGUGUAACAUCAGCUUACUAUUAAAUCUGAUAAAUUAGUUGCAUACCUACAUUAUUUCAUCGGCUAUAGUGUUUGUCUCUUUUGCUUCAAGACAACAAUAUUGUUCUUUUACUUUAAUCUCCAUUAAUCGAAUGUCGGCAUUCACUUAUCUAAACUCUUUCUUUUUUUUUUUAUUUCCUUCCAUACACAACAACAAAGGAUUAAUUAUUUUUUAAUUGAUUUUACCGACGUUAGGGAAAUAACCUGGCUUAAUUAAUGUGUAAAUAAAAGGAACACCCCUUCUGAUUUUUAUUAUAUUUUUUUUUUCAGAAAUAACCUUACAAAUUACAUUUAAAAGGAAAGUUGGGCAGCAAAUAGGCACGUGGAUAGUAUUAAUUAGUGAAUUAGACAACGAGCAUGUGGAGGGCUUUAAUUUUUGUAUUAAUUCGAAAAAUAGUGUAAAAAGAAAGGAUAUAUAUAUAUUCUCACUGAAAAAAUCCACCAUAUAAUAUUUUAUGUAUAUUCAUCAAUUAAUAUUCAUAUAACGAAUAAAUAAAAAAACUUUAAAAUAUUGACUUAGUUAUAGAAAAUAACAAAAAAGUAAAACUCGCUUCCUCAUCAAAAUAAUAUCGAACUAAAUUUUAUUAAUUUUCUAAUUAAUUAAAUUAAUUAUUUAUCUGGUUUAAAUCAUAUUGGUCUCUUAACCGAUGAAAUCCAGAAAGUACAAUAUAAAUAUAUAUUUAUUUAUUUAUUUAUUGAUGCAGUGAUGUGGGGACUACCCAUGUUCAAGUCCUGUCCUGAAACCAAUAUGGGAUUUGCUGAUUGUCUCGUCGCCGCAAAACAUGCGUUUUCAUGUAUUUAUGAGUGUUGGAUUGUUCCGUUGUGGUUAAUCCAUAUUCAUUUUCUGAAUGCUUCAACUUGGCACGCUUCUUCACACUUACUUUCUAAUUCAUGCAUCUUUCUUCAGUGGUGCUGCAAAUCCUGAAUAUCAAAUUAGGGAGAAGCCAAGUUAGGCUUUCCUUUAUUGGAUUGGAGGCGUUUAGCACACUGGAUAAUAAUGUCAAAUCACUCAUGAUUUUCUAGGUUAAAUAAUUUGGGAAUUCUUAUUACAAUAAUGUCAUUAAUUAGUGGACAACUUGGACUGCCGACUAGUUAACUUCCUCCAUGUUGGGCAGUUAGGUGGACCCCACGUUUUCUUCUUCACCUCAUUUUCCACCGUUCCUUCUUACUGUUACAUGAUACAUUGAAUUCAAUCUAUCAAUAUCCUUAUAGAAAUACAAGGAUGAAAAAUACAAACUACCUGGUUAGGGCUUUAUUUUAUCAAUUUCUGUAUAAGCUCUCGGUUCUUUUGUGAGGGUCGACAAACCUAGGCUAAAAUUUGUUUCUCUUUCUUCUUCUUUUCCUUCGAAAGUGUUUUUGCAAGUUCUAUACGGGAGAAAAAGAAAGAUCCAGAAACCAAACUAGAUCAUGUAUUCACUUGUGUUCUAAGUGGAGUUAAAAAGGGAUGUCAGAUAUUUGGUGAUGAUUAUGAUGAAUCUUUAUCUCGAUGAUAAGGACCCAACAUCUCAUACACAUUACCAAUUCAGCCGAUUCAUAAUAAUUUAUGCUUGAACUUCAUACUCACAUUAAGCUUAUUUAUCGAUUAUCACUAUCUCGUUCCAAACUAGCCAACAUACAAAUGCAUACCAUACAAUACAACAGUAUGAUCAAUGUACUCACAAAAGAAUGGUUUCUUAAAUCAUGAAAUAUAUAUCGAAUGAACAGAUUUUGUCAAUCGAGUUAUUUUUAUUUGAUCUGUUAAGGAAUUUGUUUCUACCUACUGGCUUGUACCUACCCAUGUUAAGGAAUUUAUCCUUGAUGGAUGUACCUGCAGGAUUUUCAUAUUGUUGUUAGUGUAACGUUCAAUUAUAAAUCGAUCAUCUCGUCGUCCUUAUCCUUUUGGAUCAAUUUGAGCUCAUUAAUCAUUGCAUGCCGUCGGAGGAAAAGUAACCACCGUCUUUCAGAAAAAGAAAGAAAAAUCCUUCGUUAACCUUUAUUGGUUUUGCUUAGUAUUUGGAUUGUUGCAGGUUUAAUGACUGAUAAAUUGUUAUCAGUCUCUUAUUGAUUAUAUAUAUAUAUAUAUAUAUAUAUUUGAGAUGAUUUUUUUAUUGGUAUUUAUAGAAGAAAAUCAUUGAAUAUAUGCACAAUAUAGUUAUUUGUGACUAAGUAGUUUACAUAAAAGAAUUAUAAAGAUAAUUUUUUAUAAGUGUUAAUUAAAGUUAAAAUCAAAUUUAAAUCAAAUAAAAAUUAUUAUAAAAUUUUAAUAAAUGAAAAAAAUAAAUUUCACAACAAAAAUACCUUAAAAUAAUUUAUUAAAAUUUAUAUUAAUUCAUUUUUCAUUUUUUAUUUAAAUUAUUUAUUCAUUUUAAUAUAAAAAAAUAGAUUAAAAAAUUGAAUUUAUUUAAUUAAUUGUUUUAAUAUUUUAUUUCAUUAUUCAUUUUAUUAUAAUAAUAAAAUAUAUUUAGAAAUAUUUAAUUAUUAUUAUUAUAUAUUACAUACCAAGUUAUAAAAUAUUUAAUAAAAAUUAAUUUAAAUUUUGAUUGAUUAAAUUUAUUUAUUUAUUUUCUUACGAGAUUAAUUAUUAAAUAUUAAAAUAGUUUAUUUUACAGAAAUGUUAAAAUUGAAAAUAUUAUAUUAUUUAUUUUAAUUUUUUAUUAUAUUAAAAUAGAAAAAAUUAAAUAUGUUAUUAUUUAGUUUACUCAAACUACACAAACCUCUUCUGGUUUUUUUUGCUGAACCUAUGGUGCCGUACACUGAUGUUUUUGAAGUCAUUUUCAAAUCUGUUAAUAUGCAUUUGGUGGCUACGUCUCCUAUUGUUAAUAAAGCUGCUAAGCUUUGGUGUUUGUCGGUUCCUAAUUUGGUUCGAAAUUUCUUGGUAAAUGAACAAUUUAUUUCUGUAACUUGUCAUUUGCAUGAUAAAUGUUUUAGUUUUGCAGGUGUUUAUGGUGCUACCACAUACGUGGCUAGACGGGUUUUGUGGAGGGAUCUUAGUUCCUUCAUAGGGUCUUGGUGUAUUAUGGGUGAUUUUAAUGCUGUGCUCUCAGCCGAUGACUGUAAAGGAGGGGUGGCUCCUAAUCAAGUUUCUUGCAAUGAAUUCCUUGAUUGGAUUAAUACUAAUGAUCUUUCUUGUAUGCCUUUUACCGGUACUUGCUAUACUUGGUGUAAUGGAAGGAGAGGGCUCCAUAGAAUUCAUAGAAAAUUGGAUAGGGCGUUAUGUAACGAAGUGUGUUUGGAUGAAUGGGAUUCUUGUACUUAUCAGGUUCUUGUUAUAAAUUGUUCUGAUCAUUCCCCUAUUCUUACUAGUCUUGCUAGUAAUUCUUUGAAGAAGGUUAGCAAUUUUCGUUUCUUUUCUAUGUGGCUUCAAGACGCUUCAUGUAUGAAGCUUAUUCAUGAUUCUUGGGCUAAUAAGGUUGUUGGUUGUCCUAUGUUUAUUUUACAUCAUAAGUUAAAAANNNNNNNNNNNNNNNNNNNNNNNNNNNNNNNNNNNNNNNNNNNNNNNNNNNNNNNNNNNNNNNNNNNNNNNNNNNNNNNNNNNNNNNNNNNNNNNNNNNNACUGGAAUAAAAAUUCUUUUGGUAAUGUUCACAAUGCAGUUCUUCUUAAACAGGGUCUUCUGCUUGGUAUUCAACAAAAUUUAGAGACUGCUAGUAUGUCUGAUAUUGAUGGACUUCUCUGUCAAGAAAGGAUCGCUAAAGAGGAGCUUGAUCAGGCUCUUCACUGUCAAUAUUUGUUUUGGAAAGAAAGGGCUAAAAUGCUUUGGUUUAAAGAUGGGGAUAGAAAUACUGCUUUUUUCCAUGCUGUGGUCAAGAGGAGGAAUAAUUUUAGUGGGAUUCAUCGUCUACGAAUUGAUAAUGUUGUUACUGAGGAUCCUACACUCAUUGAGGAACAUAUUUUGGACUUUUAUAAAACUCUUUAUGCCGAGUCUAUUUCUCAUGAUCAGGAUGCAAACAAUAUGGAAGAUUUUAUUGGUACUUAUAUUCCUGAGCUGGUUUCCUCUGAGGAGAAUAUGAUGUUGCUUAAAUGUCCUGAUUUUUUGGAGAUCAAGAAUGUUGUUUUUAACCUUAAUGGUAAUAAUGCUCCAGGUCCUGAUGGCUUUGGUGGUGUUUUUUAUCAUUCUUGUUGGGCUAUUAUUGGGACAAAUGUUUGUAAUGCAGUCCAACAGUUUUUUAAACAAAACUGGGUUCUCCCUGGAAUGAACAGUAAUGUGGUAUCUCUUAUUCCUAAGAUUCAGGGUGCUGAAUCUAUUAAAGAUUACAGGCCGAUUGCUGUUGCUAAUUUUAAAUUUAAGAUUAUUUUCAAGAUUUUGGCAGAUCGACUUGCUCUUGUGGCUGCCAGAAUUAUUUCUCCUAAUCAGUAUGGGUUUGUGCAGGGCAGACAGAUUCAAGAUUGUAUUAGUAUUGCUUCUGAAGCUAUUAACUUGCUUUCUAAAAAGGUUCACGGAGGCAAUGUGGCUUACAAAGUUGAUAUUCACAAAGCUUUUGACACUCUAAGUUGGAAAUUUUUACUAUCAGUUUUGUCACGCUUUGGUUUUCACCCCUCNNNNNNNNNNNNNNNNNNNNNNNNNNNNNNNNNNNNNNNNNNNNNNNNNNNNNNNNNNNNNNNNNNNNNNNNNNNNNNNNNNNNNNNNNNNNNNNNNNNNNNNNNNNNNNNNNNNNNNNNNNNNNNNNNNNNNNNNNNNNNNNNNNNNNNNNNNNNNNNNNNNNNNNNNNNNNNNNNNNNNNNNNNNNNNNNNNNNNNNNNNNNNNNNNNNNNNNNNNNNNNNNNNNNNNNNNNNNNNNNNNNNNNNNNNNNNNNNNNNNNNNNNNNNNNNNNNNNNNNNNNNNNNNNNNNNNNNNNNNNNNNNNNNNNNNNNNNNNNNNNNNNNNNNNNNNNNNNNNNNNNNNNNNNNNNNNNNNNNNNNNNNNNNNNNNNNNNNNNNNNNNNNNNNNNNNNNNNNNNNNNNNNNNNNNNNNNNNNNNNNNNNNNNNNNNNNNNNNNNNNNNNNNNNNNNNNNNNNNNNNNNNNNNNNNNNNNNNNNNNNNNNNNNNNNNNNNNNNNNNNNNNNNNNNNNNNNNNNNNNNNNNNNNNNNNNNNNNNNNNNNNNNNNNNNNNNNNNNNNNNNNNUCAGUUGGUGCCUUCUUCUGGGACUGAAGGCACUAGCUUAUAGUUUUAAUUUGUAUAAAUGGCCUGUUUCUCUUCUUAAGCAAGUUGAACAGUGGUGUCGAAAUUUUAUCUGGACUGGUGAUAUUCUGAAAAAAGGUAUAGCUACUGUUAAAUGGGAUACGAUUUGUUCUCCCCUUGAGAAUGGAGGUUUGAAAAUUAUUAACCUUCACCAUGAAAAUAAUGCUUAUCUUCUUAAGCUUGCUUGGAACUUUGCUUAUAGCAACAAGCCUUGGUCUCUGCUCUUGAAAGCUAAGGUCCUUAAAUCAAAAUAUGAGUUUCGAAUGGUUUAUAGAUCGUCAUCUCUUUGGCCUGGAAUUAAGCAGUUUUAUUCUACUAUACUUGAUUAUACUUCUUGGACUGUUGAUACAGGUUCUCUUAUUAAUUUUUGGAAUGAUAAAUGGUGUGCUACUUCUUCUUUAGCAAAUAUUGCAGGAUUAUCUGAUGGUGCUAGUAUUCCGGAUACAGUCUCUCAGUUUUGGACAGGUAGUGAUUGGAGUAUUCCAUUGUCUUUACAGCAGAUGCCUCAUCUUUUUAGUCAUAUCAUGGUUAGGGCGGUACAGGAUAUUCCUAAUUGGAUUCUAGAUGAGUCUGGUCGUCUCACUCUUAAAUCAGCUAGGACUUUUUUCUUGGAUCCAGGGGUUUCUUGUGGUUGGGGUAAAUUUAUUUGGUCUUCAUAUAUUCCGCCUUCCAAAACUCUUGUCCUUUGGAAAGUUUUUCAUGGGCGGCUUCCUACAGAUCAGCAUAUUCAAAAUAAAGGUUUGCAUAUUUGUUCUAUGUGUACGCUUUGUGAAAAGCACGAGGAAUCUAUUCAACAUUUAUUUUUUGAAUGUGCUAAUGCUUUGCGUAUUUGGAGUUGGGUUCAACACAUUUUUCCUACUUAUCAUUUCUCUAAUAAGGAUGAUCUUCUUUCUUUUAUUAAGAGUGAUGGUAGUCCGUUGGUUAAAUUAAUUAAGCUAGCUGUGAUAACUUUUUCUAUUUGGAUGAUAUGGCGUAUGAGGAAUUAUGCUCGUUUUCAGGAUAAGAUUGAGGUUUCUAGGGCUAUUUUGGUUAUUAAAGACUUAACUUGUCUAGUGGGUAAUUCGUCUANNNNNNNNNNNNNNNNNNNNNNNNNNNNNNNNNNNNNNNNNNNNNNNNNNNNNNNNNNNNNNNNNNNNNNNNNNNNNNNNNNNNNNNNNNNNNNNNNNNNGCUGAUAUGCCUUCUCCUGAAGAUGCCUCGGAUCAUGAAUCCAGCCAGGGAUUGCCCACUCACACUCGAAUUUCCCAGAAACGAGGACGCUAAGGAAUUCACCUGCCCUUAUGCAAGCCAAGGGCUCCGAUCAUGUGGAGGUCUUGACUCCUGUGGUGGUAUCACCUCAAUUACGUCCCAUCUCUCCUCAGCGGGUUAAAUCGCCUGUUCAUACUACAACCCUAUCCAAUACUCCAAUUGAUGGUCAUCAUGCGGAGGUCUCUGCUAUUGUGACUGUACCAUCCCCGUCGUUGGUGCUAAAAAAUCACUUCUCCUCUCUUGAUGGUUUAGACACUACUGAUGUGGGAGGUGAUCCUUAUAUUGGUACGUCUAGUGCCAUUGUUGAACCUCAUAAGGCUAAAUCUUCUGCGGAUGUUAAAGCACUAUCGUUGGUCCUACAAAAUCACUUUUCCUCUCUUGAUGGUUUGGAAAAUACAAAUGUUCUUUCAAAAUUUUGGGCUGAUCCCAACGAGAUGAAGGAGGAUGACAGUGAUACUGGGGAGGAAAUAGUUUGCACUAAAAGAAACCCAGGGAGACCACCUAAGAAGAGUGGUAAGUCCAAAAAAACUGCUAAGGCAGUUCUCUCCACACCGUCGCAAUGGAAGUCUCUUCAUUUUUCUGGAAUGUUAGAGGAUUGGGAAACCACAAAAAUGUGGAGAUGUUGAUUAGUUUACUCAAACUACACAAACCUCUUCUGGUUUUUCUUGCUGAACCUAUGGUGCCGUACACUGAUGUUUUUGAAGUCAUUUUCAAAUCUGUUAAUAUGCAUUUGGUGGCUACGUCUCCUAUUGUUAAUAAAGCUGCUAAGCUUUGGUGUUUGUCGGUUCCUAAUUUGGUUCGAAAUUUCUUGGUAAAUGAACAAUUUAUUUCUGUAACUUGUCAUUUGCAUGAUAAAUGUUUUAGUUUUGCAGGUGUUUAUGGUGCUACCACAUACAUGGCUAGACGGGUUUUGUGGAGGGAUCUUAGUUCCUUCAUAGGGUCUUGGUGUAUUAUGGGUGAUUUUAAUGUUGUGCUCUCAGCCGAUGACUGUAAAGGAUGGGUGGCUCCUAAUCAAGUUUCUUGCAAUGAAUUCCUUGAUUGGAUUAAUACUAAUGAUCUUUCUUGUAUGCCUUUUACCGGUACUUGCUAUACUUGGUGUAAUGGAAGGAGAGGGCUCCAUAGAAUUCAUAGAAAAUUGGAUAGGGCGUUAUGUAACGAAGUGUGUUUGGAUGAAUGGGAUUCUUGUACUUAUCAGGUUCUUGUUAAAAAUUGUUCUGAUCAUUCCCCUAUUCUUACUAGUCUUGCUAGUAAUUCUUUGAAGAAGGUUAGCAAUUUUCGUUUCUUUUCUAUGUGGCUUCAAGACGCUUCAUGUAUGAAGCUUAUUCAUGAUUCUUGGGCUAAUAAGGUUGUUGGUUGUCCUAUGUUUAUUUUACAUCAUAAGUUAAAAAGGUUGAAAGUUGAGCUACGUGACUGGAAUAAAAAUUCUUUUGGUAAUGUUCACAAUGCAGUUCUUCUUAAACAGGGUCUUCUGCUUGGUAUUCAACAAAAUUUAGAGACUGCUAGUAUGUCUGAUAUUGAUGGACUUCUCUGUCAAGAAAGGAUCGCUAAAGAGGAGCUUGAUCAGGCUCUUCACUGUCAAUAUUUGUUUUGGGUCGUUUUGCAACUACGCUCGAAAAUUUCCUGCCGUAGGCUAUUAGGNNNNNNNNNNNNNNNNNNNNNNNNNNNNNNNNNNNNNNNNNNNNNNNNNNNNNNNNNNNNNNNNNNNNNNNNNNNNNNNNNNNNNNNNNNNNNNNNNNNNUUCUUGAAGUUCAGACUGCUCUGGUUGCUGAGUUUUAUGGGGUUAUACAUGCUAUGGAGGAAGCUCAAAAGAUGGGGCUUACUAAUGUCUGGCUGGAAUGUGAUUCUGCUUUGGUUUGUGCUGCGUUUACUGCUAGGACAAAUGUUCCUUGGAUGCUUCGUAAUCGAUGGAAUGCUUGUCUUAAUUACUGUGGGAAAAUUAGGUUUACAGUUACUCAUAUUUUUCGUGAAGGAAAUGCGUGUGCUGAUAAGUUGGCUAAUUUAGGAUUUUUUUCAUAGAGAACCUUUUCUUUGGUAUAAUAGGCUUCCACCUUGUCUGUUCUUAGAAUUCUUUAUGAAUAGGUAUAGUCUACCUAUGUAUCGUUUUUGUUAACAUAUGGGUUUUGGUCUAGUCCCCCCGUAUUAUUGUAUUUUUUUUUCUUUUCUUUUUUCUUUUGUUUAAUAAUUUUUUUUUUUCAUGUGAUGGUAAAUGAUUGUUGUUACUUGAGGUGUCAGCCUAGCUGAGAUCUUAAGUGGCAUAGUGAUACCUAACAUGAAAGCUUUUAUUUAAAAAAAAAUUAUCAUGUAAAAGCUAAAAAUAUAAAACAUAAUUUUCUUGAGCAAAUAUAUAUUUAGAGUAUUAAUUGUUAAUAAGUUUCAUGGUCUCAAAUUAUUCCUAAGUUUCAAGAUAAUAAUAAUAACAAUUAUUACCAAGUUUCAUGGUCAGAUAAACUCACAUACAUGACUGCUUUCCUAAUAAUAAACUCACAUACAUGACUGCUUUCCUAAUAAUUCUCUACGAAAAGUCUUUUGUGGACAACCGGUAAAACAAAUGCGGCCCAUACAACCCUGACGUAGCAGGGAUUGGUAAUGUGGCAAAAGGGCAUAUUUAUCUUUUAAUUUCAUUAAUAAAAAUUUAAAAUUAUUGGUAAGUUAUCUGAGGAGUGUUUGUAACGUAAUUCAUCACGAGAGUGGAAAUGGGGAUAGAAUAUUUGUUUUAUACAAAAUUUUAUAAUAUUUUCCAUUUACUCAUGUGAAAGAAGAAAAAAUAAUCAAUUUACUUUAUAAGACAAUAACUUAUUUAUCGAAUUCGGUAAUAAAAAAUCAUACUUUUCAAAGAUUUUUAUGAUCAUAAAAGUUUCUCCAAUAUUUUUAUAUAUAAUUGUAUAAAGUUUAUAAGUAAGAAAAUAUUCACAUUUUAUACGCAUAUACACGCCAUAUUUUUUUUGUAAUUUCUUUUGAUGUUUUUUAAGUAUAUACUUUUUAUUCUUUAAUCUACAAAAUAUAACUUUUGAUUUAAUAAAAUAAGUAUUCAACAGCUUCUCUAUUAUCUAAAAUAACUAAAUAAUUUCCUAUUAAAAUAAGUAUUACAUGUUUUAUUUUAAUAUCAUUUUUAUAAAAUUAUAUAUAUAUAUAUUUAAUUUUAUUACCGUCAAAUUGUUUGAAUUAAAAAAAUAGAUAAAAAAAAUUGUUUGGAUGAAAAGAAAGAGUAAGAAAAGUUAUAUAAAAAUUUAUAGUAGAUUUUAUUAAUGUAAUAGAAAAAAAUUGGUUGCAUAUUAAUAUAUUUUGAGAAUAAUUUAUAAAAUUAAAUUUUAAAAAUAAUUUAGAGUAAAAGAUAAAAUUUUAAAUUAAAGUUAAAAUUAUUAUAAAUUUUUUGAUAAAUAAAAAAUGAUAUUUUAUACUAAAAAUAUAAUAAAAAAAUUAUCAAAAUUUAAUUGAAUAAUUAUUUUAAUAUUUUUAUUUUAAUUAUUGAUUUUAAUAUAGUAAUAAAUAUAUUUAUAAAUAUUUAAUUAUUAUAUCUUACAUAUUAAUAUUAAAAUAUAUAUUAAAAACUAAUUUAAAAUUUAACUAAUUAUUAAAUAUAAAAAUAUGUUAUUUUAUAAAAUUUUAAAAUUUAGUUUUUUAUUAUAUCAUAUUUUAAAAUAAAAAAAAAUUAUUUUAUUACACACUAAUAAACAUUAUACACACUGUACUUGAGAAACAAAUAAAUUAAUAUUUUAAUUAUAUUUAAUUUAUUUUUUAAUUAAAAAUAUUAUUAUAUUAUUAUAAUGGUUUUUGAAGUAAAUAUAUUUUACUUUUUAGUGUUAAUAAAAUAUUUUCCUCUACAGUUUCUUGAUGAUCCUAAUAUUAUUAGCUUUUAAGUUUAAGUUUCAUGCAUUGAACUUUGACAACUCUCAUGUACUAUAAAAAAAACUCACACAUGACUAAGGUAAAGUCAAUCAAAUAUUCUCACACCAACAACAUAUCACACAAAUCUAAGAUAUUUUUCAACACAGUCCUACCUAACAACUCAUUCAGUCCGUCAAACACUAUAACAAAAUACUUUAAAUUUUGUUUGUGCAAAAAUCCAACAAAUUCAGAAACACUGCCUUCAUUCACAUUUAUCGUCACGAUGUUGGUGCCAGCUUCGCCAACGUACAGUGUCUUUUUCAGAAGGUGAUGACAGAAGAUGGGAAGGACUUCAUUCAUUCUCAUUCAACAGCACACACCAAAAACACAUUCAAAACAACAACAAAAUAAAAUACAUGAGAAUUAGUAACUAAAAAAAGUUUUUACUAAAUCAAACAAAAUGUUAUUUAAACCUGGAAAAAGAGAUCAUAGACAUAAACCUGUGAGAGACAAAAAAAUUCAAUAAAAAAAUCUACCAGAGAAUAACUAAAAUGAUCUUGGUUUCAAUAAGUUGUUUCAACAAAAUCAUAAUCUUCAAUCCCAACCAAUUCACUUAGAAUAUUAGAAAAUUUAUCUUUUACUUUUUUUUUCAAAAAACUAUAUAUGAUAAGCUUUAAAAAUCCUGUAACUUCCUAAAUUCUUUUAAUAUACAAAUUUAAAUAAAGUAAAUUUGGUAAUAUUUUUUUGUAAAUUAUUAUUGAUAGCAAAAUUUAUAAAUAUUUCAUUAGGAUUUUUUUUAAAACAAAUUAGUAAAAUAUAUAUUUUUCUAAUAAUGUUCACUAAGGGUAGACAAAAAAUUUAAAUUGUAAAAUUUAAUCCAUAAUUAUUUAAAUCCAUAUUACUUUUAAUCAAUUUAUAUGGAUUUAUCUCACAUCUAAAUUCAUAAUUUUGAAUUUUAAGUUCAAUCCAUUUAAUUGGAUAUGGAUUAGAUAUAGAUAGGAUACAUUUUUUGAUUAUCCAAAAUGAAUUUUGGGUUGGAUUUUGACUUGACUCUGGCCUAGGUUGAGCCAAUUCAGUCUGGGCUCAGGUUAAGCAAAGUCAGCUUGAGUCCAUGUCGAGCCGAAUCCGCUCGGGUCAAAGUCGAGUCAAGUUAGUUUGGGCCAAAGUCGAGUCGAGUGAGUCCAUGCCAAACUCAAUUCGAGUCGGCCUAGGAGAAUGUCGAGCAAAGUAUGCCCAAACCAAAGUCGAGCCGAGUAAAUCCUAGCCCAAAUUGAGUUGAGUGGGCCAGAGCGCAAGUCAAGUCGGCAACAGACCCAUGUAACGCCAAGUCAACUUGGGCCCAUGUCGAGCCGAGUCGGCUUGGGCCAAUGUCGAGCAGAGUCAGCCAAGGCCCAUCUUGAGCCAAAUCCAUGUCAAACCAAGUCGACCCGCGUCUCUAUCGAGUCGAGUCAGCCCAGGCCCAUUUCAAGCUAGGUCGGCCUAGGCCGAUGUCAAUCCGAGUUGGCCCAGGCUGAUGUUGAGCCAAGUCAGUCCUGGACGAUGUUAAGCCAAGUCGGUCCAGGCCGAAGUCGAGCCGAGUUGGCUCAAACCCAUCUCGAGCUGAGUCAUCCCAAGCUCAUCUCGAGCCGAGUUGGUCUAUGCCAAUGUCGAGCUGAGUCAACCCGAUCAAUGUGGAGAUGAGUCGACCCAGUCGAUGUCAAGCCAAGUCUGUUUGGGCCCAUAAAGAGCCGAGUCAACCUGUUCCCAUGUCGAGUCGGGUUUGUCUAGGCCCAAGUCGAAUCGAGUCGGUCCGGGUCCAUGUUGAGCCGAAUGGUCUCAAGCCAAGGUCAAGUCAAGUCGGCUCAAGCUCAAGUAAGACCGAGUGGGCCCAAACCCAUAUUGACUUGGGCCCAAGUAAAGUUGUGUCAAUCCAGACCCAUGUUGAGUUGAGUCAAUUCGAGCCCAUGUUAAGUCAAGGUCCGGGCCCAUAUCGAGUCGAGUUAAUUCGGGUCCAUGUCGUGUUAGACCUUGCUGGUACCAAGUCGAUGCAAGUCGACCCAGAUCCAGGUCAACCCGAUUUGGUUUGGGUCCAUGUUCAAAUUAAAAUGAAUUUAAUCUAAUUGACAAAAUAAAUUUAAUCUAAUUUUAAUUCAUUUAAAAACUUUAAAAAAAAUUAAAAAAAUCAAAUAAUUUUCAUCUAAUUAAAGUGGAUAUGAAUUAUUUAUUUGGAUUUAGAUUGGAUUUAUAUUGAUUUUAAAAAAUCCAACACGAUCACUUCUAAUAUUUUUUUAAAGCUGGAAAUUAUAUGUCAAUUGUGUUGCCUGCCCACCCAGUCAAGAAGUCAACUCUAUUGCAUCUCUAUAAAAUGAUCAAAAUUCUUUUCUUAAACAACGAAUACUCCCACGUUUUUCUAUCAAAGAUGUCGAUUUUUUCAAAACAUUAUCCAUAAAUUUGAAUCUGUGUUUAAUAGAUGUACUAAUUAAUUAUUUUUUUGUUUUUAAAUUAAUCUAUAUUUAUUAAUGUUUUUAGUGAAAUAAGUAAGUCUUGAAAAUACAAACCAGUUUUAUUCUUUUAUUUUAUUUUAUUUAAUUUAGAAGAGUUCUUUUAGUGACCUUUAAAAAUAAAAUAUUAUACAUUACUUUAAUUUUAUUUAUUGUAAUAUUUAUUUACAAAAUGUAAUAGUGUUAUGUUUAUUUGUUGUAAUGCAAGAAAGUUCCAAUUUAAAAACCAGUGUGAAAACCUAUCUAAAAUUCAAUCCAUAUUUACAAAUUUGUCCAACUGAACAUGUGGAUCCUAUAUUAGAAUAAAAAAAUAAUUUUGCAAUCCAGUGUUGUUGCAUCACAUAGCAAUUCUCCAUAUAUAACUUUUCUACCUAUUUCCCAUUGCAGCUACGCAAUCACAUCAUGAAACUAAUUAAAAGUCAUCAAAGUGGUUGGGAAGAGAAACACUAUUCACUGAGGAUCCAGCUUCAACUUUCUUUCUUCUUUUUUUACAUGUGUUAUUCUAUACACUUAUUAUUUUCUUAUUAAAAAAAAGUCAAAGAGAAUAGGUUUCAAUGUGUUAAAUCAAAAUUAUUUUUCUUCUCCUUCAUUAAGUAUUUGUUUUUUUAUUUUUCUUCUCCUUCAAUGUGUAUGCAUGAUUUGAAUACAAGAUUUUAGACACCUAGAUAAGUUGUUGAUAAAGGAAAAAUAUUUAUUCACCUAAUGCUGUGGACAAUAAACUUCAAAUAUAUAUUAUUGUGCUGAAUAUUUUGGAGAGAAAUUAAUUAUUUAUAAUAAACAUAUUUCAUUUCAACUUGGCUUAUACAAUUUUGUAAUCCUAAUUCUUAGCCUGAUAAUUUAAAUUAAAUUGUUUGUUUUCACAUGUUUUUAUCAGCAAAAUAAUGUUAGAUUUUUAUAAAUGUAACGCUGAUCAUGACAUUUGAUACACAUAUUACCUGACAUUUGCUACACAUUAGUCUCUGCACUUCUUCUAGACAAUCCCCCGCAACCACUAACCGGCACUUAAAGACUAUAAUUAACACACCCUAAACCCUAAACAUCAAUAUACCACUAGACGACCUUGAAAGGUAAACCACGACACACAGCGACACUGAUGUUAAAUGUCCACAUGACAACUGGAUUAUAAAAAGGGUCCUUGAUUGAUCCUCAUGCAUACCUUUGUCUCAAUCUUUAAUCUCUUCUUCUUUUAGCAGUCGUCAAAAUCACGUUUCAACUUCUUCAUGGCUGAUGGUGUUUUUGGAAUGAGAGGUAGUGCAGUAAUUUUUAACACAGGCAAUAUCCAAAUAUGUAACAUGGCAAUAGAAACCAAUCCUGUUGAUGCCCUUGUUCCCUUCAUCUUCUUUGUACUUCUCGCUUUCCUCCAACUCAGAUAUCCAGAUAAUUCCACCCCAUUUCACCUUCAUCCAAACACCAUUUGGCUUUCCAUUCUUAGUUUUCUUCUUUAUUGCUUCUUCAUCUUCUCGGGUAACCUCAACUUUGGUAUCAGAGUUAAUCACUUUCAAACCCUCAAGCGUGUCUUCGCUUCACUCUCAUUGCUUUGCUUGCUGGUGCUGUUGCUACCCGACACUUGGGAAUGCUUCCACUUCGUUAUUUACAUUUUAUGGUUCAUCAUUCAUGUGCUCCUCGCUAUCAAAACCUACUUCAUGGAAACAAGGGUGCAACUUCGAAAUAUGAGGAGGGUGGUGCGUCCACUGUUACCAAUCACUUCAAUGGAUUUUAAUUUACUGCUUCAUCACUAGGUCUUGCUUUGUUAGAGUGUUGGAAGUGCGUCCUGUUACUCCUUUUCUUAUGUGUAUGGCAUAGGGAUAAUAAUUUACAUAAAAUUUUAGUAUCAAAGCACAAGACAGAAGGAGACAGUUCAUCAUCUUUUUGUAGAAUGUAAGAUUGCUUAGAAUAUAGCUAUUAUAUCACAAUGUUGUUUCAUUUACACUAGUUUGUGUUGUUUCAUUUCAAUGUUAAACGGAAUCGAGUUUGGAAAUGGGUAAGGAUAACUGUCAUAUGGAGCAUUUAGAACCAAAGAAUGAAAUGAUUUUUAAAGAAAUGAAGGUGGAUGUCUAAGAAAUUAGUAGUCUAGCUCAACUACAAGCUUAGAGGAGAAAAGUAACAAAUUUUACUUUAUCAUCGUUUUCGAGAACUAAGAGUGUGUUGAUUGUGCCCAGAGCAGAAGCAGGGAAAAGGCUCUUUAGAUGUCUGGAAAUAACUCAAUUGUUGCGGAAUGAGAUCUUCUUUUGCAGAGGCAAUGGCCUAUGAAUUCUAACAUGGCAUAACAAAAAUGGAGUUUACUAAAUAACUCAUGUAGGAAGUUACCCUUAGAAUUCAUAAAUUUUCUUAAACUAUCUAAUCUGCUCUUCAUUCUUACAAUUAAGUCCUCAAAUCAAUUCUUUAUUUUUAAUCAUAAGAGUAAUCUAUCAUAUGCCUAGUCAUGAAACCACAAUAUUGGUGAAAACUAUUUACUUAUUUUCUCACUUUAUUACUUAUACAAUAACACAUAUUUUCAUUUUUUAAAAACAAAAAGAAUGUUAGACAUACACGUCUCUCUAUAAAAAUAGUUUUCUGUAAAACAUACAAAAAGUACAUUUUCAAAAAAGCAUUUCUCUUGAAAAUAUAUAUUUUUUUUAAAAUAAACCAAAUAAAAAACAUUUUGAACUUCAAAUUUAAGAAAAAUGUAUUUUUCCCCAUAGGUGAGACACAUUAGUCACGCGAGAGGAAAUUGAUUAAGUAAAAAAGAGUCGUUAUUUGGUUUGGUACAAUGUGAGAGAAAAUUUAAUAAAAUUUAUUUUUGUAUAUUAAAUAAAAAUAAUUAUAAUUCAGUUUUUACACACACACAAUAAGCAAACACAAGAUUCCUAUUAAAUAACUGUUUUCACCUUUUAUAUAUGUUUAAUUCUUAAAUUGGAAUCAAGUUUUGCCUUUUUUUUGACCAAGUUACUACGUUUUGGUAUUAGUGUUAAAUAUCAUUGUCUCAUUUUAUAAUAGAAAUUUGAUUUCAUUACACAUAAGAUUACCAGAAUUACUAGUUAGAAAACUAAUAAUUUUAAAAUAAUGGUAAUAAAUAUAAAUUAAAAUAAUUAAAUAAAUUUAUUAUAUAAUAAUUUGUAUCAAAUAUUUUAUUAUAUUAUUAAUAAAAUGAAUAAAUAAAAAUUUAUAAUAAUAAAAAAAUAUAGUCAUUUACAAAAUUUGAAUUAAUUUAAAUAUACACACAAGUUUUUCAUAUUUUAUUAUUCAAAUAUUUUUUAAAAUAAAAAUAAAUUUAUUAAUUUAUAUUUUAUAUCAUUUAAAAAAUAAAAAAAAUCCAAAUACACUCUUUCUUCCUACUUUCCUUUCUUAAUGCUAUUUCCAUUGACACCGUUAUUACAAAGGGUCAUUUUCUAGGGUGUCAAUACGUAACAGUAUCCUUCGUUCAGUCAAGAGUCAAUCCUGUUAUUACUUUUUUAUUUAUUAAGUUUUUAUAAUAAUUUUUUGUUUUAAUUUAAAAUUUAUUUUAACUUUAAUUUAUAUUUUUUAAAAUCUAUUAAAUUUUUUUUUUUUAUAAUAUAUGCUUAUAAUUAUUAUAUUAAAUAUAUUAUAUUUUUAUGUUAUCAUUAUUUUAUUAAUAUUUAUAUUUAUAUUUAAUAAAAUAAAAUAAAUGAUUUUAUAAUUAAAUUAUUAUUAUUAAAAUAAACAAUAAUAAUAUAUAAAAUAAAUAAAAAUAUUAAUAAUAAAUUUAUAAAAUAAUAAUAAUAAUACAGUUAAAAUAAUUAUAAAUAAUAAAAAAUAUAAUUUUCUGUCACACUAUCCUCUGAAUCCACCCUCUGAAUCCACUUUAUUUUAAUCCCAACAAGUAUCAUUUUCUUUGAAUUUACUUUUUUCUUAUCCAAAGAGAAUAUAAGUGACCGAUGAUGGAUGCAACGGGGACUGGGGACUGGAUGAAGUGCUUAUUGAGUUCACACCUCACUAUUACUAUAAUAAUAUAAUAAUAUUUUAAUUAAAAAAUAAUAUAAAAAGUAUUAAAAUAUUAAUUUAUUACUAUGUAAGGGGUAUGCUUUCAUUAUUGAUGUUAAGACAAUGCUAUAAAAAAAGGUCAUCACUUACAUCCUCAUGCAUCUAUUUCUUUUAGCUGUCGUUAAAAUCACCUUUCAAUUUCUUCAUGGCUGAUCGUGCAUUUGGAAUGGGAGGUAAUGCAAUCAUUUUUAACACAGCCAAUAUCCAAAUAUGUAAGUGGGCAAUAUUACAAGCAGAUUAAUCUUUACAAAAAUAUUUUAUUACAAAAAUCUUUUAUUAACACCAUUUGUCACUAACACAGACUUGACACCGUUUGCGUGACAUUAAUUGACGUUGCAGACGUGAUAUUUGGUGAAAAUGUGACACUGAUUCUAUAUUAUAAUAUAUGACCCGUAGUACACGUAAAAUUGGUUACCCGUGUGUCUGUAAGUGGUUACUUAUGUGACGCACGCAAAAUUGGUUACCCGUGUGAUGGGGGAGGGCCCAAGCUCACCACACUAUGAAAGCCAAGCUUCCAAGGCUAGACCGUCUAGCCCAUGAUGAGGAGCGUCUAGACUCAAAAGGAGUGUCUAGCCCAUGCUGAGAAGCGUCUAGGCCAUGAUGAGGAGCGGCUACAUAAGGAGCGUCUAGGAGGACUCCUCACUACAAAAAAACUUGUAUAAUGCGGCGGUUUUAAUAUGGCGGUUAUUAAUAACCGCCACAAUCUGCCGUAUAAUACGACAUUUUAGUAACCGCCACAAUGAUCCUUUAGAAUAUGGCAUUUUUAACCGCCAUAAUUAUCCUCCAAAAUAAAAUUCCCGCUUUUGCUUUCCCUCCUAUACCAUUCCUCUUUAUUUUCAUUUAAAAAAAAUUAAAAAUUUGUUAAAAAUUAAUUUUGUUUUUGACCAGCCUUUGGACCAGCCUUGUCUCCCACUCUUUGGACCAACCUUGUCUCCCACUUUGGAAACCAACUUCUUCUCCCUCGUGUCUUCAUGAAACCAGCAGCAUUUUGUCUUCCUCUUCUUUGGAAACCAACAUUGUCUCCCACUUUGGAAACCGUCUUGUAGUGUCUUCAUGAAACCAGCACCUUCUGUUCUCCUUCUCCGCUAACGCAACCUUCACGACCCACGAAACCCUCAGGCGAGCUUCACGAAACCCUCUGUCCGCCAUUACCGCUCCGCUCAAGGUUGUUCCUCUGACCUUCAAGAAACCCUGAGUCCGCCAUUGCCGCCUUCGCGCCAGGUUUUUCAGGUCUGUGCUCACGAAACCCUAAACCUCUGUCUUGGGAGUGCUGAGACUACCAAGGCACAUAGGUUANNNNNNNNNNNNNNNNNNNNNNNNNNNNNNNNNNNNNNNNNNNNNNNNNNNNNNNNNNNNNNNNNNNNNNNNNNNNNNNNNNNNNNNNNNNNNNNNNNNNAUGUUGCCAUGUUCUAUUCUAAUUCAUGUAACAAAACAACUUCACUUCUAAUAAUUAUGAACUUCAAAAUAUUACCUACUAGGAGACGUUCUGGAUCUAACCCGUGAUUGUGAGAGGCAUUUGCUCGGGCUGAAUGAAUGACCUACAAUGUGUAGGAUUUUAAAACAAAUGCUACCAAUUUUGCUUUACCAUAUAGAAGGUAAUAGAAUAUAACCUUUCUCUCCACUGAAAAUGAAUAUAACUUGAAUCUAAAUAAUCAUAAAUUGUUGUGUUAAAUGCAGACAAAAUUGAAGUACGAGUGAGCAUACUUUAGAAUUUUAUAUUGGUCUUAUAAUUGGGAAAGUUAAAAGACAACUAGUGUUGCUACCUGAUAGACAAUUUUUGCUGCUCGUUUUAUUGUCAAUUCCAACUGCAUCAAUGCAUCUUUAACAAGCAUGCCACGAACCAGAGCAGCAACUAAGUUGACCUUCUUUGGACUCUAAAAUGCCACAGAAGACAGGGUAUAUAAAAAGUGUAAUCAGUCAGAUAUGAACCAGACCCUUAAACAAUCAAUUAGUUUACACAUCAAACCAAGGAAGGUAUUCCAAUAGCUUAAAAAAUAUGUUCUAACUUGUCUGCAAAAGUUGAUAACAGAUACUGAAUAUAGCAUUAUGAAAUAAAGCAUUACAACUUUUUAAUACUCCUAUUAUAGCUAUGCUGAAUAUACUUGUGAUGAUACUCUGAUACUUGUUUAUAUUGCCAAAUCAAAUCAAUGGUUUUCUUUAGCUUGCAUUAGUGCUUACUUGAAAACCAAACGCACAGAUGUGUGGGAACAUUGAAGGUUAGAAAUGGAGAGAUAAAAAAAUAUAGUAGAUACAGUCAAAGAAAGAGUGGUAAGUAGAAGUAGGAUGGGGAACUAUGAAACUGGGGGGCAAGAUGGAAUAUAAUUAUUUGAAUGUUAUAUAGAGACACAUUUUAAUAUUUUUAUUUAUCUAACAGAUUAGGAUCAUUUGGUAUCUUUAGUAACUGAAGUGUCCAUAGAUUUAGCNNNNNNNNNNNNNNNNNNNNNNNNNNNNNNNNNNNNNNNNNNNNNNNNNNNNNNNNNNNNNNNNNNNNNNNNNNNNNNNNNNNNNNNNNNNNNNNNNNNNGCAAUUGCUGAUUAAAAUAUUGAAAGUUGAGAUUGUAAUUAACUUCAGAAUUUGUUACUGUUGGAAUCACUCCUAACUUACCUAAGUUACAACCUCAUUGGGGAUUGCCUAAAUUGUUCUCAAAGGAGAUAUGACUAAAGUAGAGUAUAUACUCGGGUGCAAACCUUGAUUUAUAAGUCAUUUUUAUGAGUUUGAGUUAAACUUAUACCCAAAGAUUAGAAAUUAGACAUGUACUUGAUUUUGUCACAACACUCAACUGUUGAUGGUUCAAUCAACAGUUAUAACUACACUUUAUUGGCUUUGUUUUGCUACCUAAAUGAUGAUGGCUUAGUCUCACAUUGUUUAGUGAUAUGACUAAAGUACAGUACACAAGUGGGGUGAAUCCAAACCUUGAUUUACAAGCCAGUUUUAUAAGAUUAGGUUAGAGUUAUACCCAAAGUUUAGGAGUUACACAUGCACUUGAUUUUGUCAAAAACACUCAACUGUGGAUUGUUCGAUCAACAUUAUGUGUAUUGUAUUAGCUUGGUUGUAGAAGUACAAGCAUUGUUUAAAAGUAUGUCAUUUGGGUUUACAUAUUCACCUCUUUUUCAUCAGUAUUAUGCCAUAUUUAUAUAUAUAUAUAUAGCAGUUCUGAAAUGAUAUCAAAGAUGGUGCAAUUCUUGAGUUUGGCAGUGGCAGUUGCACUUGGAAAGAUGAAACUAGUCCAGUCCAACAGAGUACAGCAAAUUCUUUUACUUUCUCCACUCUCGAAAUGAUUUUAAAGGAAAAAAAAACAGUUUCCAUAAUAGCAUGCAGUUGAAUUAGUUUAAUUCAUAAAAUAAAAUUUAUUUCCUUUUUAAAAAUAUUUUUUGGCUUGUCAAUAGCACCCCGUGGAGUAGUGCAAUCACAGAACAGCAUUGUGGAGCGGCUAGAGAAUGCUACAAAUUGAAAAUUUCUAAAUACAUUCAUCACAUGCAUUAUACUGAAUGAAUAAAGUAGGAUCUGUUUCACUAUUUAAGUAAUUAAAAUACUUUUCCUUCGAUGUUGCCAUGUCUGGUAUAUUAAAUGUUAAAAGUUUUCAUUUGUACUUUUCGGCACUUAAAAUUGGAAUCAUUUCAUUCAAAAUUCGUUCAAUAUAUACUUGUUCAGGUCUACCAAACAUGCUCUUAAUGAAGGAAUACCAACUACUGCAUACAAGAAAACCAAAAGCAAACAAUCAUGAACACUGAUAUGCAUCNNNNNNNNNNNNNNNNNNNNNNNNNNNNNNNNNNNNNNNNNNNNNNNNNNNNNNNNNNNNNNNNNNNNNNNNNNNNNNNNNNNNNNNNNNNNNNNNNNNNUGCUUGAACUUUUUCUGGCUUAGUAACAGCUUUCUGCUUCUGAUCUUCACCUUUUGAACUACCCAAAGAUGAAACUGGGACUAAAGGUGACAAAACAGGUGUUUCCUCAGAUGAAUUUGCCAGUAAUGGAGUAGUGCUUGAAAUUCCCUGAAACGGAAAUAAUCAAGUAAUAAAAUAAAAAAGAUGAAGUUAAGAAGAGGGUUAACUACAAAAAGCAAGGGUUCAUGUCUUACUUCAACUUUUAUUAUAUAUUAGUCUUUACAGACUUAGUUUCAUUAAUUUGAAGAUGACCUGCACGUACUUAAAUUUUGAUUGCAUUGUGUUAGCUUAUAGAAUGAUAAUGGUUAUUUAUAAUGGUUAUUUGAUAAUGAUUAUUUAUAGAAUGAUUAAGAAAUUCAUAGAGACAACAAUUGAUCCAAACCAACUUGCAAAUUGGUUUGGAUCUAACUUUAUAUUCAACCAUCCAGAUCUGUUUUGAAGCGUAUAGAUUGGUUGUAUAAUUAAAAUUUUGUUUGUGUGACCCAUAAAAUUUACCAAAAGCUAGUUUGGUAAAUGUAGGUUAUGAUUAACUAUUUUAUGUAGUUAACACAUUUAUGUAAGUAAUUUUUUGUUAUGGUGUUUUGUUUUGUAGUCAUGCCAAUUGAUAAAAGUUGGAUUUCUAAACCACGAAACACCAUUGAAUAUGCAAAUGGUUUGAAUGAAUUUUUGGAAUUUGCAUUUGGACAUGCUAAUGGUCUUGUCAUNNNNNNNNNNNNNNNNNNNNNNNNNNNNNNNNNNNNNNNNNNNNNNNNNNNNNNNNNNNNNNNNNNNNNNNNNNNNNNNNNNNNNNNNNNNNNNNNNNNNNNNNNNNNNNNNNNNNNNNNNNNNNNNNNNNNNNNNNNNNNNNNNNNNNNNNNNNNNNNNNNNNNNNNNNNNNNNNNNNNNNNNNNNNNNNNNNNNNNNNNNNNNNNNNNNNNNNNNNNNNNNNNNNNNNNNNNNNNNNNNNNNNNNNNNNNNNNNNNNNNNNNNNNNNNNNNNNNNNNNNNNNNNNNNNNNNNNNNNNNNNNNNNNNNNNNNNNNNNNNNNNNNNNNNNNNNNNNNNNNNNNNNNNNNNNNNNNNNNNNNNNNNNNNNNNNNNNNNNNNNNNNNNNNNNNNNNNNNNNNNNNNNNNNNNNNNNNNNNNNNNNNNNNNNNNNNNNNNNNNNNNNNNNNNNNNNNNNNNNNNNNNNNNNNNNNGAACAUGCUAAGUUUCCUAACUCAUUUUAUGAGGCCAAGAAUGUGAUUAACAAACUUGGUCUUAAUUAUGUCAAAAUACCAGCUUGUCCAAAAGAUUGCAUGCUAUAUUGGGGUGAAGAUAAUGAAAGCUUAGAAGAAUGUAAACGGUGCAAAAUGUCUAAGUGGAAAGAUAAAGAUAAGAAACAAUAUGCAAAGAUCUUGCGUUACUUUCCAUUGAAGUCAAGAUUGCAACGAUUGUUUAUGAGUUCUAAGACAACUGAAUCUAUGACAUGGCAUGCAUCAGAGGAUAUCCAGGAUGGGUUGAUGAGGCAUCCUAGAGAUUCUGAGGCUUGGAAAGCAUUUGAUGUAUUACAUCCAGAAUUUGCAAAUGAUCCUCGAAAUGUACGACUGGGCUUAGCUAGUGAUGGCUUCAACCCUUUCGGAACCAUGAGUACAAGCUAUAGUAUAUGGCCAGUAGUCCUCAUCCCAUACAAUCGUCCUCCUUGGGAGUGUAUGAAGCAAACCUCUUUUAUCCUAUCCAUGAUAAUUCCUGGAAAACAAAUGACAGGAAACGACAUUGAUGUAUACUUACAACCACUCAUAAAAGAAUUAAAGGAGCUCUGGUUCGAUGGAGUGCAAACUUUUGAUUAUUCGAAAAAAGAAAUGUUUACAUUGCGAGCGGCUUUGUUGUGGACAAUUAGUGACUUCCCUGGCCUAGGCAAUUUAUCUGGAUGGAACACGCACACUGGUCUUGCUUGCCCAACUUGUAACUUUGACACUGAGUCUUCUUUGUUGUAUANNNNNNNNNNNNNNNNNNNNNNNNNNNNNNNNNNNNNNNNNNNNNNNNNNNNNNNNNNNNNNNNNNNNNNNNNNNNNNNNNNNNNNNNNNNNNNNNNNNNNNNNNNNNNNNNNNNNNNNNNNNNNNNNNNNNNNNNNNNNNNNNNNNNNNNNNNNNNNNNNNNNNNNNNNNNNNNNNNNNNNNNNNNNNNNNNNNNNNNNNNNNNNNNNNNNNNNNNNNNNNNNNNNNNNNNNNNNNNNNNNNNNNNNNNNNNNNNNNNNNNNNNNNNNNNNNNNNNNNNNNNNNNNNNNNNNNNNNNNNNNNNNNNNNNNNNNNNNNNNNNNNNNNNNNNNNNNNNNNNNNNNNNNNNNNNNNNNNNNNNNNNNNNNNNNNNNNNNNNNNNNNNNNNNNNNNNNNNNNNNNNNNNNNNNNNNGAAAUGGGUAUAAGGAAUGAACUUUGGCCAGAUGAAAGAGGAAGAUUUCGGCCAAGUGUGUUUUCAUUGUCAAAACCAAAGAAAAAAACGUUUUUACAAACACUGAAAGAUGUGAAAAUGCCAGAUGGAUACUCGAGUAAUAUUUCAAGGUGUAUUGAUUUGAAAGCUGGAAAGAUUUUUGGCCUUAAGAGUCAUGAUUGUCAUAUUCUUAUGGAACAUUUGCUACCCAUUGCCAUACGUAAUGUUUUACCAAACAAUGUGACUGCAGUGAUAGUAGAACUAUGUUCAUUUUUUCGACAAUUAUGUGGCAAAAGUUUAAGCCAAACCGAACUUGAUAAACUUCAGUCCCGCAUCAUUGAAACUCUUUGCCACAUGGAAAUGUUGUUCCCUCCUACCUUUUUUACAGUUAUGGUGCACUUAACUUGUCACUUAGUUGGUGAGGCCAAACUUGGAGGCCCGGUUCAUUAUCGUUGGAUGUAUCCCAUAGAAAGGUAAAUGUUUUUGGCACACAUAGAUUUUGAAGUUUUUUUAAGCUUCAUAUUUGAUUAUCCUAAUUGAAAAAUUAUUUUAUAGGUAUUUUGGACAUUUAAAAUUAUAUGUUCGAAACAAGGCACAACCUGAAGGUUCCAUUGUCGAAGGAUACCUAGCUGAAGAGGUUCUGACCUUUACCUCUGAAUAAAUGGAAGGGGUUGAGACAAGAAAUAACAGGCCUUCACGUGUGGAUGAUUCUUGUAAUACAAAUAUGCCACAAUUGAGUACCAUUUUCCCACCAAUUGGUAGAGUAGUAAGUGCCUCUUCAACUUUUGAGUUGUCAACCAUGCAAAGAACUCAAGCACAUCGAUAUGUGUUAUUUAAUUGCCCUGAAGUUACCCCUUUCAUUCAGUGAGUGUUAACACAACUAUAAAUUUAAUUAUAUUCAAAAUGUGUCCUUAAUGGAAUCAUUAGUAACACAUUGGUUAUGAUUAUUUUCUUAGGGAAUUUAAAAGUCAUUUGCGAAGGAGGUUUAGAGGGAGAAGAAUUUCAAAUAUAGAGAUAGAAAUGAUUGUUAAUAAGGAUUUCAUGAAUUGGUUUCCUCAAAGGGUACGUAGAAACUGCUUUUAUAAUUGUUUUAUUAAAGUUUGUAACAUAUGUUCACAUAUUCAAUCCUUAUUUUUGUAGAUUAAUAACCCAGACAUUUCAAGUACAGUGUCAAAUGAUCUUAAGUAUCUAUCUCAAGGUCCGACUCCACAUGCUAGAAGAUUUUCUGCCUUCAAUGUAAAUGGAUUCAAGUUUAGGACCGAAAGUCGAGAACAUGGGUUAAAAACCCAAAACAGUGGAGUUUACUUAACUUCAUCAACAUCAUGUGUUGCAAGUAUGGCUGAUCAAAACAUUAGGGAAGCGGAUUUGGCAUACUAUGGAAAAUUAGAAGAUAUAAUUGAGCUUAAUUACUAUGGUCGUUUUAAAGUGACAUUGUUCAAAUGUAAAUGGGCUGACACCACAAGAGAUAGGGGGCUUAGAAAGGAUCCGUGGGGUUUUACUUCUAUUACUUUUUCAAGAUUAAUUCACAUGGGAGAUCGUGAGGAGCAUGAUCCAUAUAUUGNNNNNNNNNNNNNNNNNNNNNNNNNNNNNNNNNNNNNNNNNNNNNNNNNNNNNNNNNNNNNNNNNNNNNNNNNNNNNNNNNNNNNNNNNNNNNNNNNNNNNNNNNNNNNNNNNNNNNNNNNNNNNNNNNNNNNNNNNNNNNNNNNNNNNNNNNNNNNNNNNNNNNNNNNNNNNNNNNNNNNNNNNNNNNNNNNNNNNNNNNNNNNNNNNNNNNNNNNNNNNNNNNNNNNNNNNNNNNNNNNNNNNNNNNNNNNNNNNNNNNNNNNNNNNNNNNNNNNNNNNNNNNNNNNNNNNNNNNNNNNNNNNNNNNNNNNNNNNNNNNNNNNNNNNNNNNNNNNNNNNNNNNNNNNNNNNNNNNNNNNNNNNNNNNNNNNNNNNNNNNNNNNNNNNNNNNNNNNNNNNNNNNNNNNNNNNNNNNNNNNNNNNNNNNNNNNNNNNNNNNNNNNNNNNNNNNNNNNNNNNNNNNNNNNNNNNNNNNNNNNNNNNNNNNNNNNNNNNNNNNNNNNNNNNNNNNNNNNNNNNNNNNNNNNNNNNNNNNNNNNNNNNNNNNNNNNNNNNNNNNNNNNNNNNNNNNNNNNNNNNNNNNNNNNNNNNNNNNNNNNNNNNNNNNNNNNNNNNNNNNNNNNNNNNNNNNNNNNNNNNNNNNNNNNNNNNNNNNNNNNNNNNNNNNNNNNNNNNNNNNNNNNNNNNNNNNNNNNNNNNNNNNNNNNNNNNNNNNNNNNNNNNNNNNNNNNNNNNNNNNNNNNNNNNNNNNNNNNNNNNNNNNNNNNNNNNNNNNNNNNNNNNNNNNNNNNNNNNNNNNNNNNNNNNNNNNNNNNNNNNNNNNNNNNNNNNNNNNNNNNNNNNNNNNNNNNNNNNNNNNNNNNNNNNNNNNNNNNNNNNNNNNNNNNNNNNNNNNNNNNNNNNNNNNNNNNNNNNNNNNNNNNNNNNNNNNNNNNNNNNNNNNNNNNNNNNNNNNNNNNNNNNNNNNNNNNNNNNNNNNNNNNNNNNNNNNNNNNNNNNNNNNNNNNNNNNNNNNNNNNNNNNNNNNNNNNNNNNNNNNNNNNNNNNNNNNNNNNNNNNNNNNNNNNNNNNNNNNNNNNNNNNNNNNNNNNNNNNNNNNNNNNNNNNNNNNNNNNNNNNNNNNNNNNNNNNNNNNNNNNNNNNNNNNNNNNNNNNNNNNNNNNNNNNNNNNNNNNNNNNNNNNNNNNNNNNNNNNNNNNNNNNNNNNNNNNNNNNNNNNNNNNNNNNNNNNNNNNNNNNNNNNNNNNNNNNNNNNNNNNNNNNNNNNNNNNNNNNNNNNNNNNNNNNNNNNNNNNNNNNNNNNNNNNNNNNNNNNNNNNNNNNNNNNNNNNNNNNNNNNNNNNNNNNNNNNNNNNNNNNNNNNNNNNNNNNNNNNNNNNNNNNNNNNNNNNNNNNNNNNNNNNNNNNNNNNNNNNNNNNNNNNNNNNNNNNNNNNNNNNNNNNNNNNNNNNNNNNNNNNNNNNNNNNNNNNNNNNNNNNNNNNNNNNNNNNNNNNNNNNNNNNNNNNNNNNNNNNNNNNNNNNNNNNNNNNNNNNNNNNNNNNNNNNNNNNNNNNNNNNNNNNNNNNNNNNNNNNNNNNNNNNNNNNNNNNNNNNNNNNNNNNNNNNNNNNNNNNNNNNNNNNNNNNNNNNNNNNNNNNNNNNNNNNNNNNNNNNNNNNNNNNNNNNNNNNNNNNNNNNNNNNNNNNNNNNNNNNNNNNNNNNNNNNNNNNNNNNNNNNNNNNNNNNNNNNNNNNNNNNNNNNNNNNNNNNNNNNNNNNNNNNNNNNNNNNNNNNNNNNNNNNNNNNNNNNNNNNNNNNNNNNNNNNNNNNNNNNNNNNNNNNNNNNNNNNNNNNNNNNNNNNNNNNNNNNNNNNNNNNNNNNNNNNNNNNNNNNNNNNNNNNNNNNNNNNNNNNNNNNNNNNNNNNNNNNNNNNNNNNNNNNNNNNNNNNNNNNNNNNNNNNNNNNNNNNNNNNNNNNNNNNNNNNNNNNNNNNNNNNNNNNNNNNNNNNNNNNNNNNNNNNNNNNNNNNNNNNNNNNNNNNNNNNNNNNNNNNNNNNNNNNNNNNNNNNNNNNNNNNNNNNNNNNNNNNNNNNNNNNNNNNNNNNNNNNNNNNNNNNNNNNNNNNNNNNNNNNNNNNNNNNNNNNNNNNNNNNNNNNNNNNNNNNNNNNNNNNNNNNNNNNNNNNNNNNNNNNNNNNNNNNNNNNNNNNNNNNNNNNNNNNNNNNNNNNNNNNNNNNNNNNNNNNNNNNNNNNNNNNNNNNNNNNNNNNNNNNNNNNNNNNNNNNNNNNNNNNNNNNNNNNNNNNNNNNNNNNNNNNNNNNNNNNNNNNNNNNNNNNNNNNNNNNNNNNNNNNNNNNNNNNNNNNNNNNNNNNNNNNNNNNNNNNNNNNNNNNNNNNNNNNNNNNNNNNNNNNNNNNNNNNNNNNNNNNNNNNNNNNNNNNNNNNNNNNNNNNNNNNNNNNNNNNNNNNNNNNNNNNNNNNNNNNNNNNNNNNNNNNNNNNNNNNNNNNNNNNNNNNNNNNNNNNNNNNNNNNNNNNNNNNNNNNNNNNNNNNNNNNNNNNNNNNNNNNNNNNNNNNNNNNNNNNNNNNNNNNNNNNNNNNNNNNNNNNNNNNNNNNNNNNNNNNNNNNNNNNNNNNNNNNNNNNNNNNNNNNNNNNNNNNNNNNNNNNNNNNNNNNNNNNNNNNNNNNNNNNNNNNNNNNNNNNNNNNNNNNNNNNNNNNNNNNNNNNNNNNNNNNNNNNNNNNNNNNNNNNNNNNNNNNNNNNNNNNNNNNNNNNNNNNNNNNNNNNNNNNNNNNNNNNNNNNNNNNNNNNNNNNNNNNNNNNNNNNNNNNNNNNNNNNNNNNNNNNNNNNNNNNNNNNAUAUGGAGCUUGUCCUACCCUUGCUUUCAAGAAAUCCACAACAAGGGUAAGCAAUAUGAAUAAUGGUUCCUCUAGUGGUGGGUCUUCAACAAAUGUUGAAGAAAAGGUAGAAAAGAUGGCAACAGAACUUGCAGUUGUAAGGAGCCAAAUGCAUAUUAUGCUAGCCUACAUUGCUUCUAGACCAGACGUGCCGGAACAUUUUGCUGCAAUGGCAGCAAAUUUGGUACAAGCAUCUAUUAAUGAGGUAUAAAUUACUAUACUUAAAAUUUUAUUAUAAUAUUGUUUUCAUUUAUUUUUUAAAAAUUGUCAAUUAAUUUUAAACAUAUUUUAACUUAUUCCAGGCACCGGAUGUUGCUAGUGGUGCUCCAUCACCAAACCAGAAUAUAAGAUCAAGUGGGGGGGAGUAAGACAAACUAGGAUUGAGAAUUUACUUGUAAUAUGUUUAGAAAAUGAAACAAUUUACAUUUUGACAAUUUAAUUUACUUGUUGUUUGGAUUAGUUUGACAUUAUCAACUUUGUUAUUUCAAUGAAUGAAUGAACUCAUCUUUUGAUUAUUAUAUUUCUCAAUUUUAAAUAUAUUAUGAAAUUAGUUUAUGUUAUAACUUAAUUAUANNNNNNNNNNNNNNNNNNNNNNNNNNNNNNNNNNNNNNNNNNNNNNNNNNNNNNNNNNNNNNNNNNNNNNNNNNNNNNNNNNNNNNNNNNNNNNNNNNNNNNNNNNNNNNNNNNNNNNNNNNNNNNNNNNNNNNNNNNNNNNNNNNNNNNNNNNNNNNNNNNNNNNNNNNNNNNNNNNNNNNNNNNNNNNNNNNNNNNNNNNNNNNNNNNNNNNNNNNNNNNNNNNNNNNNNNNNNNNNNNNNNNNUACGUAAGAAUUGGUUUUCCCAAUUUUAAAAUUACGACAUUUAUAACGGACGUCAAUUGCCCGUUUAAAACCGCCACAUUAUACAAUGCAUACUAUGGCGUCUGCUACAACGGUUCUCAUUUGACCGCCACAUUAAACUUUGUGGCGGCAAGAAUUCUGGCGGUACGCAAUACCGCCACAGACGUAUAAUGCGGCGGUUAAAAACGCCAGUUUUUACGAAAAUAACCGCCGCAUUAUACACGUUUUUUUGUAGUGCCUAGACCGUCUAGGAUCAAGCACCUUCACAUACACAUGGGUCAAGCUACGGUUUUGGGAAGAGAAGACCUUGUAAUUGUUACAUGGAGGCCCAUUAAGGGUGCCUUAGUAAUUAGAGUAGUGUAUAAAGCAUAAACUUGUCUUACACAUGAUUUACCCUAGAUUUUGUGCACAUUCUAGAAGCUUGCUCACUUGGCCGGCCAUGUGCCCAUGUGCUACCAUGUGGAUUCAUUUGCAUUUCAUUUGAGAAGCAUUUCAUCUUCUCUUAGCUUAGGAAUUACGACCUCCUUGGCUAUAAAAGGAGAUGCUUGGCUCAUGUAUUUGCAAGAUUAAUGAGAGUAAAGUUAUGCUGCCAACAUUGUGUCAUACUUUGCUUCUACCUAGUUUCUUGGACCUAAUCUUCAUCUUCCUCACUUUCCAUAGGGUUGGCCGAACCUCCCUACUUCCAUACACAUCAUGCACCUUCAAGAUCACCAUAGCUCCUAGGAGGAUCUUGCACAUUUACAUCCAUGGCUUCCGCACCAUUUUUCACAUGAUUUCGAGAAGAGCUUCAUGAAUUUGCCAUCAUUUGGUAUCAUGAGCAUAGGUUCUUCAAAGAUGAGUAGUUCUUGGUCUUUUCAUUUUGAGUUCUUCUUUAUUUCAUGUUGUUCAUCUUGUUUCCAUAAUUGUCUUGCUGUUUUUUAAAUUUUAAUUUGUUUUGGUGUGCUAUUUGGAAGAUCCAACCGAUGCACUUUGUUCAAUUGAUCUUGAACAAUCCUUGUGCAAUUUGUGAUAGGAUUCCAUAUACCUUGAGUUGCUGUUUUUUUAUUUUAGGUAUUUGAGUCUUUAUUGCACUUUUAUUUGGCUUGAUUGUUUCUUGAUUUUGGUCUAAAUAUUUGCUUUGAAUCUGCUGUGAUUUUGAUCUUUUGGUGCCUUUUAUUUUUUAGCUUGAGUUCAUAUUUGUGUUUAGAUCUUACACAAAUUCGUUUUCAUCAAUUCCAUUGUGUUUAAAUUUUGGUAUCUUGCUGUUUUUGUUUCCAGUUUUUCCAGAAUCCCCUGUUUUACAUUCUCUGUGCUGGCUGUUUUGUUCCAGAAAAAUAUUUUCACUCAUAGGAAAUUUUUUAUUCUCUGGAAUAUGCAAGAUUAGGGUGUUACAGAAAAGACAAAAAAAGAAUCAGCUCAAAAGAAUCAAUAGACAAAAAAUGAUAAAUAUUUUAAAAUUAGUGUGCAAAUCUGGGCGCUACAGUUGGCGUAACUGAACACUGAAAUUGAAAAAUUUAUUAAAAAAAAUGGUUCAUGCGUUUGGAGUGAUUCCAACGCCAGAUUUUAGCUAAGAUCUUGAAUAUUUUGCAUAUCAAUUUUCAUAAUCAAAUCUAAAAAGCACAGCUCAGCAUAAAUUGGGGAAAAACACUUUCUUUGGCCCACAAUAUUUUCCAGUGGUGCUGUUUUUUAUUUUUGAAAUCUAUUCUAGUGCUAUUCUUAGGAUUCAUUUUGUGUGCCUACCUUUAUUUGAGUACCUUUAUUUGCUUGUCUAAUAUUUCUUGGAACUCUUUCUAGUUGUCAUAAUCUAACUCCAUUUAUGUGGUACUGUUUUUCCAAUUAAUUUGUUUCUUGCUCUCAUUCUUUGGCCUCUAAAUUUGGUGCUGGAAUUUAUUCUCUUUUGGUGUUUAUUUGAGUGGAAAUUUGACUUGGGUAAGGUCUAGUCUUCUUGAUAGGUGCUGGAAUUGGAGAAUUAAGUCCUUAAUUCUAAGGGGAACAAAGGCAAAGGCAGAAUCAAACACUUCUAAAAACACCACAAACACUUGGAGGGCCCAACAAGGAAAGACAACCAAGGAAGUGUCAUUAGCAAAAAAAAAAAAGAUCAACAAAGGGAGUUUUCUUAAUUCUUGUCUUUGCUACUUAACUUGUGUUAAUUACUUCUUUAAUUACGUGAUUAGACAGUGAGUGUGUCUUCAAGGGCUCCAAGUGUCCAAGAAGUCUCACUUAGGGCCGACUGGUGUAGAGUUUUAUAAUUAGCAAUUGUUCAUUGUUUAAACCGCACUUCCUAGCAUAAUUAGCUACGCUUUUGAUGUAUGUUGUCUUGUUUAAGCUUUGUUAUUUCGUCUAGCUUGGUUAAUUAGUUAGCUUGCAUUGUUUUCUUGCAUUAAAAUCUGUUUUCUCAACUUAAUUGUGUUCUAAGUGAUUUACUAAGAGAAAGCUUUGUGUGAAGACAUUGAGGGAUAGUUUUUGGCAAGGCAAAGGCUUGGUAUUUAAGUAGUCCUUUGUGACUCACCUCCCUUACCUGGAAAACUACCUUCUUUGACUUUCCUAAAUUUUCUCAAGGUAAAAUACUUGUAUACACAAAGCUUUAGCCAUGUCUUCUUCUUCUCACUCUCCAAAGUCUAUUGAAAGUGAAGUAAAAUCUUUGAAAACUCUUUUGAAAGAAGUUUCACAAGCUGUGCAAAUGAUUUCUUUUAGACAAUUGGAGAAUGAGACUAAAAUUAAUGAGUUGGCUAGAGCCCAAGAAGAGAAAUCACAAAAAUAAAAAUAAAAACUCAUACUCAUGCCUCUCAUUCAAAAAAAGAUGAGUCUCUAGGGGAGGGAAGCCUUAGAAUACAUGAUUACUACCAACCACCCCCUAUGAGAGAUAGAAGAAGAGAGGAAGAGAGCCCAAGGGAAGUAAGGGUAGACCUACCCCAUUUCUAUGGUAAGGAAGAUGUAGAGGCCUACCUAGAUUGGGAGAUGAAAGUAGAACAACUCUUUGCUUGCCAUAGGGUGAGUGAAGAACGUAAGGUACCCUUAGAACAGAUUUAUUUUUGUACUGUUUUAAAACUUUUAAGAGCUCUUUCAAAAGCUUCUCUAAGCAGACGACGAUCGUAGAUGGCAACCCAUAGCAUGAUCGCCGGAAAAAAACGGCGAUGAAUAGUAUGAUCACCGAUUGAGGAAAAGCCGUUCCCCAUAAGUGAGUAGUUGGUAGUCGCCAUAGAUACUUGAAAAAGACAGUGCAUGAUCGCCAGUCGGUGGUCAGCACAGCUACUUGAAAAGAAGUUGCAUGAUCGCUGGUCGAUGGUCAGCAUAGCUACUUGAAAAGGCGGUGCAUGAUCGCCGGUCGGUUUGAGGAAGAACACUUUUCAAAAACCUUUUCAAAGACCAUUUAACCACAUCAUGUGCUUGAUCUAGACUUGGUUAGGCAUCUAGGAUAGAUCAUACAGCAAAAGGCACACUUAUACAAUUACACGCCUAAUUACAAGCAAAUCUAAAAACUUAUUACAAUCUUCAAAGCACUCAAGCUAUUUUCUUCAUCAAACACACAUCAAGCCUUGGUAGGGAAGAAGCUUCCUCCAGCUUCAACACAUCCGUGCUAGGGACACCAAGUGUUUUAAAUGUUUUGGAAGAGGGCAUGUGCAAGCGCAAUGUCCAAACCAAAGGGUUUUGUUCUUAAAGGGAAAAGAUGAGUACACAAGUGGUGAGGAUGAACCUAGUACACAAGAAAAGGGAGAAGGAGAGAGGAUAAAUCCUUUGGAGGGGGACUUAUUGAUGAUUCAAAGAAUCCUCCACAAUCAACCUAGUGCAUCCAUCGAGACACAACGAGAGAACAUUUUUCAUACUAGAUGCAAUGUUUUAGAAAAUAUAUGCUCUCUUAUUGUGGAUGGUGGAUCAUGCUGCAAUUGGUGUAGCACUAGAUUGAUUGAGAAACUAAAAUCUACAAGUACUUCCUCAUCCAAAACCUUACAAUUUACAAUGGAUCAAUGAGGAUGGAGAACUACGUGUAGACAAACAAGUGGAAAUCAAGUUUUCUAUAGGUAACUACAAAGACAAUAUUUUAUGUGAUGUAGUACCUAUGGAAGCUUGCCACAUCUUAUUAGGUAGACCAUGGCAAUUUGAUAAGAAAACCUUGCAUAAUGGUCUAACUAACGAGAUUUCUUUCAUCCACAAGCACAAAAAGUUUGUACUUAGCCCUUUACCACAUUCCCAAGUGGUAAAAGACCAAAUACAAAUGAAACAUAAAAGGGAUGAAGAGAAAAUAGAAAAAGAGAAAACUUUUGGGAAACAAAAGGCGUGGGAGAAGAGUGUUCCUUCCCACAAGGUCAUUCAACAAGUCAAGCACAUUGAAAAUACCUUUGCAAACAUGCUUCUUGUUGAACAACCUAGCCUUCCCUAUUGUAAAGGAACACUUGCAAGCAUGAGCACAAAGGAAGAGUCUUUAAAAGAAGCUUACAUAGAUAAAAACUAUUUCUCAAAUGUGUUAGGAUAUCCCCAAGGGAAUGUCAAGUUGACUAUAAGCAUCUACAAAAACCAAUUUUUGUGUGAAGUAGUGCCUAGAACAACUUGUCAUGUCUUAUUGAGACAACCAUUACAAAGUGUACAAAUUUUCAUAAACAAAGGUUGUACCAACGAGACUAUCUUUACACAUGAGAGAAAGAGUCUACAAGAAGGAGAACUCAUGGGACAAAUGAGAGUUGAUGAAACUCUAGAGCUUUUGAGAGGAAAACUUUUGUCACCCAUGAGAAAAGAGAUUCAAAGACAUUACUUUAGGUACCACUCAUGUUUUCAAACUACACCUAAAGCAAAGUCUCAAGAACUCUAUACUCCUUCACCUUUUGUAAAAGAUCCUUGGGAAGACACACAUUUCAUAUUAGAGCUUCCUAGAACAACAAAAGAUUUUGAUUCCUUCUUCAUGGAUGUGGAUAAACUCUUCCUAAGAAACGUGACAAGCCUCCAUGAUUUAUUUUCAAAAAUGAUGGAUAGAGCUCCAAAAUUUGAAAACAUAGCUCUUUCUUCCAUGUUUCACGAAAUCAUGAGGGACACCCACAAUUCUUGGGAUAAGAAUCCUUUUCCUUUUAAGCAUGCAUACAAUGGAGUAGUCCACAAGAUUACUCAUAUUUCUCCAUUUGAAGUUGUAUGUGAACAUAGUCCUCUUGCCUUUUUAAAGUUGUUACCAUUUCCUAAAGGGAUUAUGCCUAAGGGAAAAGUAACUACUUUUGGAAAUUUUAGAAAACAUAAGAGGAUUAGAGGGCACCUACAACCAUCAAAAGGGAAGCAUUGUGAGAAGUUGGCCAAAACAAGAGAAAAACAAAAAUGGCAACUUCACACAAUUAAUUUUUCUCCAAAUGCUCACCCUAACUCCUUUGCUUUGUUUCAAGAUUCUCAUAGAUUGAUAUUUGAUCCGGGAGGACACACCUUGACGAAGCAAGAGGCUGCUAUCCAAGAUCAAGUCAGCAAAUCUGAGGAUAGAUCUUCUCCAAAAGGAGGAGAUGAUGGACACCAUCCAACCACAACCAUCCCCCUAAGAAGCAAAAGCAUUGGAUUUGAGGACAAAUCCUUUACAAGAGGGAGGGGAUGAUGGAGGAGGGCCCAAGCUCACCACACUAUGAAAGCCAAGCUUCCAAGGCUAGACCGUCUAGCCCAUGAUGAGGAGCGUCUAGACUCAAAAGGAGCGUCUAGCCCAUGAUGAGAAGCGUCUAGGCCAUGAUUAGGAGCGGCUACAUAAGGAGCGUCUAGGAGGAAUCCUAGACUGUCUAGGAUCAAACACCUUCACAUACACAUGGGUCAAGCUACGGUUUUGGGAAGAGAAGACCUUGUAAUUGUUACAUGGAGGCCCAUUAAGGGUGCCUUAGUAAUUAGAGUAGUGUAUAAAGCAUAAACUUGUCUUACACAUGAUUUACCCUAGAUUUUGUGCACAUUCUAGAAGCUUGCUCACUUGGCCGGCCAUGUGCCCAUGUGCUACCAUGUGGAUUCAUUUGCAUUUCAUUUGAGAAGCAUUUCAUCUUCUCUUAGCUUAGGAAUUACGACCUCCUUGGCUAUAAAAGGAGAUGCUUGGCUCAUGUAUUUGCAAGAUUAAUGAGAGUAAAGUUAUGCUGCCAACAUUGUGCCAUACUUUGCUUCUACCUAGUUUCUAGGACCUAAUCUUCAUCUUGCUCACUUUCCAUAGGGCUGGCCGAACCUCCCUACUUCCAUACACAUCAUGCACCUUCAAGAUCACCAUAGCUCCUAGGAGGAUCUUGCACAUUUACAUCCAUGGCUUCCGCACCAUUUUUCACAUGAUUCCAAGAAGAGCUUCAUGAAUUUGCCAUCACCGUGUGUCUGUAAGUGGUUACUUAUGUGACGCACGCAAAACUAGUUACCCGUGUGUGUAAGUGGUUAUUUAUGUGACGUUUAUGGUCACCCACUCUUGAUGAAAAAAAAUCAUUUUUUUUAAUAAGAACCAUAUAUUACAUCGGUUAGAUGACUUAACCGGUGUAAUAACCCUACCAGAACUACCCAGCCACAGGUUCCUCCACAUAUACUGACACACACAAAAUUGGUUAUCCGUGUGUCUGAAAGUGGUUACCUAUGUGACGUUUAUGGUCACCCACUCUUCAUGAAAAAAAAUCAAUUUCUUUUUAAUAAAAACCAUAUAUUACAUCGGUUAGAUGACUUAACCGAUGUAGGUUUCUCCACAUAUACUGGCACACACAAAACUGGUUACCCGUGUCUCUGUAAGUGGUUAUCUAUGUGAGUUUAUGACCCACCCACUCUUUAUGAAAAAAAAAUCAAUCUUUUUAAUAUGGGUCAUAUAUUACAUCGGUUAGAUGACUUAACCGAUGUAAUAUGGGUCAUUCUGAGUAAAAAAAUAUAUAUUACACCGGUUGUUUCUAAGAACCGAUGUAAUAUAUUCUUUUUUAUCCUAUUUUGAAGCUCGCGCUGCUCAUUCACGCGCAAUAUCACUCUGUCACGUCAUUGACACGUCUGCAGCGUCAAAUGUGUGUUACUGUAAGAGGGUGUCAAUAUAUCAUGAUUCUAAUCUUUAUUAUGUAGAUACUUAUUGAUUCAAAUCGUAUCACGUAGUUGAUUAAAGAAAGUUGUUACUGAGUUAUUUUAAUUCCAUAAUUUUUUUUAUUAAAAAUAAAUUAUAGAAUUAAAAUAAAAAAUGAAAACACACAUAUUAAAGUAAUGAAAUAAAAAUCUAAAAAAAAUAAAAAAAUACAAUAGACAGUAAUAAAAACUGACUUUACAAUCUAAUAAAUUAAUAUUUUAAUUAUAUUUUUUACUUUUAAUUUAAAAUAUUGUUAUAAAUGGUUAUCAAUUACAUGUGUUUUACUCUUUUUAGAUAAAAAUAAAAAACAGGAGAAAUAAUCUUUCUUCCAAAUUUUCGUUUUCACAUGAAAAGAAAGUUAAUUUUUAAUAACUUAAGUUAAUUUAUUAUUAUUAAACAAAAUGUAAUAAGUAUUUUUUCUUUUAAAAUAUAUAAUAAUUCAAUUUAUAAUAGAAUAAAAUAUUUAAAUAAUUAAUAAAAUAAAAUAAAUUUAAUAUUUCAUUAAUAUAUAGGUUUUAUGUUAAAUAAAUAAAAUAAAACUAACUAAAUUUUAGUGAUUUAUUUUAAUAUAAUUUUAUUUUAAAAUAUUAAUUUUUUUAUUUAUUAAGUUUUUAUAAUAAUUUUUGUUUUAAUUUAAAAUUUAUUUUAACUUUAAUUUAUAAUUUUAAAAUUUUAUUAAAUAUAUUAUAUUUUUGUUAUAUAUAUGUCCGUAGCACUGGAACCAGGUAUCCCAUCCCCGGAGCUGAUCCGGGUAUGCUACCCGUAGAAAGCGCUACAUAUUUCAUAAAAUAAAAUAAAUAAAUUAUAUAAUAUAAAUAAUUAUUAUCAUUAAAAAAUUUGUUUUUCUGUCCCGUCACUCUCAGUCUCUUACACUUUACUCUGAAACUUUGUUUUUCCUUUAAUUUUAUUUUUUUCUGAUUGUUCUUUUUUUUAUCACUGUUUGAUGGGAAUGACGAGAGAGUGCUCCUAAGGAAAAUAUUUCUUGACCUCGAGUUUACACUUCUUUAUAAUAAUAUAAUAAUAUUUUAAAUCUUUAAUUAUUAUUAUUGAUCACCCUAUAAAAAUGGUCAUAACUUAAACCCUCAUGCAUACCCUUCUCAAUCUUUAAUCUCUCUUUCUUUUAGCGGUCACCUUUCAAUUUCUUCAUGGCUGAUGGCUCAUGCUUCGCUUUCCUUCUUUACAUUUUAUGAUUCAUGAUAUGGUUCAUGAUCUGGUUCAUCAUUCAUGUGCUCCCCGCUAUCAUAUAAUAAACCAAACGAGAACAGUAGCAUCACUUUCUCUCUCUCUUGAAACAUCUUUAAUAUGCACUCAUGAAUUAGAACUGAGCUUCAUAAAGAAACAAACCGCACAGGUUCAGCAGCAUGCGACAACAAUAAAAGUUGUUGGAGUAACGUUAUAGCUGAUUAAUAGGGAUUAGUUUUCUGUUUGUUAAAAGUAGCUAUUUUGUAGGAGAUAUUUAUGUGAUUUCUGUUUUGUAAAGUCUUUAUAACGGUCGUAGUUAUGUUUCAAUAAAAUAUCAGUUUCCUUUAUUUGGUAUCAGAGCAUUAAAGGAGCUGAAAGAAGAAACACAUUGAGUGUUUGAGAGGAAAAACACUGAGCAGAUGGCAAGUGAUUCAGGAAGCUUUGCUGCACCAUGUGUUCCUAAAUUCGAUGGAGACUACGACCAUUAGAGUUUGGUCAUGGAAAAUCUACUACGUUCCAAGGAAUAUUGGAGUGUUAUUCAAUCUGGUUUCGAGGAACCAAAGGGAAACGAAGCACUCAACGCAACCCAACAAAAGACAAUCGACGAAGCAAGGCUCAAAGAUCUCAAAGCAAAGAAUUAUCUCUUUCAAUCCAUUGAUAAGAGUAUUCUGAAAACCAUUAUUCAAAAGGAUACUGCCAAGCAAUUGUGGGAUUCAAUGAAACUCAAGUAUCAAGGAAAUGCUAGAGUAAAGCGAGCCCAGCUACAACGGCUUCGCAGAAUUUUCGAAACCUUAGAGAUGAAAGCAGGAGAAGGAGUCUCUGAGUAUUUUACAAGAGUCAUGUCUAUUGCUAAUGACAUGAGGAAUUGCGGAGAGGAUAUGUCGGAUGUUAAAAUUGUUGAGAAAAUACUUCGAAGUCUCACCGAAAAAUUCAACUUCGUAGUAUGCUCAAUUGAAGAAUCCAAAGGCAAUUGACAAAUUAACCGUCGAUGAAUUACAAGCAUCNNNNNNNNNNNNNNNNNNNNNNNNNNNNNNNNNNNNNNNNNNNNNNNNNNNNNNNNNNNNNNNNNNNNNNNNNNNNNNNNNNNNNNNNNNNNNNNNNNNNCCAAAGUAUGGACAAGGAAGAGGCAGAUGGUCAUCUCAGAGAGGAAGAGGUUAUUUUAGAGGACGGGGAAGAGGUAGAUCUUUUGUGAACCGGUCAGCCAUCAACUGCUUUCGAUGUGGAAAGCAAGGACAUUACCAAUUUGAAUGUCCGGGCUUAGAAAAAGAAGCUGUCAACUAUGCUGAAUUUGGCAAGGAGGAAGAACUGCUUUUGAUGGCGUAUACAAAGAAAGGUAUUGUUGAAGGCGAAGGCAUUUGGUUUCUCGAUUCCGGGUGCUCAAAUCAUAUGACAGGAGACAAAACAUGGUUUGUUGAGCUUGACGAAAGUUUCAAACACAUUGUUAGGUUGGGAAAUAGCUCAAAAUUGGCAGUUGAGGGAAGAGGCAAUGUCAGAUUUGAAGUUGAAGGUAUGACGCAAACAGUGACAAAUGUCUACUAUGUCCCAAAUCUCACCAACAACUUGCUAAGCAUAGGGCUUCUACAGGAGAAGCGCUUGGUGAUCUUAAUCAAAGAAGGAACCUGCAAAAUCUAUCAUCAACAAAGGGGUCUGAUAAUGAACACACAAAUGACAGCAAACCGCAUGUUCCUAAUUCAUGCAAAGAUGAAGCCACUGGUUGACAAAUGUUUGAAAAUAGAAGAUGAAGACUUGGAGGCCUUGUGGCACAAGAGAUAUGGGCAUUUGAAUAGUAAAUCUAUUCAAAUCAGGCAGCAAAAACAAAUGGUGGAAGGAUUACCCAAAUUAAAGGAAGUUGUCAAAGUUUGCACAGUAUGCAAUAUUGGGAAGCAACAACGACACAAAUUUCCAAAAGAAAAGAAAAUGGAGAGCAUCAAACAAACUGGAAUUGAUUCAUGGAGAUCUUUGUGGACCCAUCACUCCAACUUCUCAUAGUGGUAAGAGGUACUUGCUGGUGCUUGUAGAUGAUUUGUCUCGCAAAACUUGGAUAUAUUUUCUUGCAUAUAAAUCAGAAGCCUUUGAAACAUUCAAAAACUUCAAAAAUCUUGUUGAAAAUGAAGCAAAAACAGCCAUACAUGGACUCAGAACUGAUCGAGGAGGAGAAUUUACGUCAAAUGAAUUCAACAAUUUCUGCAAAGAUAACGAUUCAACAAUUUCUGCAAAGAUAACGGGAUCAAGCGACAACUAACAGCUGCUUACACUCCCCCCAGCAAAACGGAGUUGCAGAAAGAAGGAACCGAACCGUCAUGAACAUGGUACGGUGUCUCUUAUCUGAGAAAGAAAUGUCAAAGAAGUUGUGGCCAGAAUUUGGCUCAAUUGCACAUGUUCAUAUUGAUGACUUUUUACGGCAAGUGCACCGCGUUUGUCAAAAGUAAUAAUUGUCCCUAAGGACGGAUAUUGAUCCCACAAGGAACAGUGAAUUAUCGAGUACAAUAAUCGCUAAAUAUAAAAACAGAACAAUUAAAAGAGUUUUGAAUUAAUUGUGUUGGCAAUGAUCAAUAAGAAAAAAAAACAAAGAAUUAGUUGUUUCAAUUGGAAAAAUAAGGAUUAGUUUCAUCUCUCUCACUCUCAAGUAUUUUGAUUAGCAUGUCAAUAUUAAAUUCUUUGAUUGAAAUUGAUGCCCGUAUAAAAAUCAUUUAUAUCGAUUCCUCGCAUAUAAAAUCCUUAAGAAUGUCCUCUAACUAUCGAUCCCUCGCAUAAUUAUAAGAACAACUUAGAACGAAGCUCAGACGUUUAAUAGCAAUUAACAUUUCAAGUCUAUUCCUAGCACUCAAAUAUGUUAAGUAUUGUUGUUUAGGUCCGAACCCUAAAAAUACCUCCCGGUCAGAUUUAAGAUUCUCAAUUUGUCACGGAAAAUUAAAAGUAAAACAACAAUACCAAUAAUCAAUCAAGAACUGAAUAUUAAUAUAUAAAAUAUCACCUCAAUACAUAAGAGUUUGAGCAGAUUACUCUCAAUCCCAAAGGGUAGAAUUAGCCACGCAUACUUCUAUCACCUUCCAUUCUCCCAAUUGGGUUACAACUCACUCUAUGGUGUUUUCCUCUCAAUCUGGCACACUAAGGUUGAGCCUCUAGCCCUCUAUUUAUCCUAGUUUUCUAGGGUUAGGUUGUUUAUUGUGUCGCGCUAAUGGGCUAAAUGAUAAAACAUAAAAAAAGGCCCAAUCUUCCUUUGCAUCUUUUUCCAUUCUGGGACCUUCUAUCUUUAUCUUUUUAGCUCAAAUCAUUCAUCUUUAAUCCAAAUCUCCAAUCUUCCUUAGAAAUCUGCAAUUAACACCAAAUUUGGGAAUAAAAUACUCUUAUUCAAAUAAAGAUCAUAAAAAAUGUAAAAAGGUAUAAAUUCAUAAAUUAGGGAUUAUUUUAUAUGUAAAUUAGCAAUAAAUCCUCAUAAGUGCCUAUAUUUUAAUAUGAAAUAUUACUGAAAUUAGACACUUAUCACAUAUUCCUGAACAAAAAAGAACCAAACUUGAUGAUCGAAGUCUAAAUAGUGUCUUACUUGGAGUUAGUGAUGAAUCUAAGGCCUAUCGCCUGUAUGAUCCAGCAACAAACAAGGUAAUUGUGAGCAGAGAUGUGAUAUUUGAAGAAGGUGCAAAAUGGGACUGGAAUUCAAGUACAAACAAUGUAGAACAGGAUGUGUUGACUUGGGGAGAUGAUGAUAAUAUUGGUGCAGAAGAGUCGGAAGGAGGAGAGACUGAUGGAGAAGAAGAUUCACAUGAAGAAGCAUAUGACAGGUUUGAAGAAAUCCAAGAAAUGAAUGAAUCUUCUCCAACAUUGCCACAACAAACAAGACAAAGGAGAAAGCCAGUUUGUGAUAUGAAUCCACUAGCAAAGAAGAGAUGAUUCUUUGACAUUCUAUGGAAUCAACUUGAGUUGGAGAUAGCUUAGGCACUUUUAAUAGAAUUGGAUCAAUGUUCUAUGUUUCAAGAACUCACCAAAACUUGCACCAAACACCAAACUCACAUGGAAGACCCAUUUCUUGCCAAUUGAACCGAUUAAAAGAUGUAAAAAUGCAAAUGAAUCGAUUAAAUUGCAUAACAAAUGAAAUGAACCGAUUAAAAUGCUUCAAAAUUGAAAUGCACCGAACAAAUCCAAGGAGAAAGAAGAUGAACCGAUUGAAACAUGAAAAUAAACAAGAACACCGAAUAGAAAGCAAGAAAGGAACCUAAGACAUGUUUAGGAAUUCAAAUAGGCACGAAAAUGGAAUGAGAAGUUGGAGAAGAAAGAGGACUUAUGUGGUUGUAGUUCUUGGUUGAUGAACACGCCACUUGAAGUGUGAAUGCUCCAAGAUAAGUGUGCAAUGUCGCCACUUGAGAGAACCAAGACAUUCAAGAUGAGACUAGGAAGAGGAGAAGACAAGUUCUCACUACACUCAAUCACCAAUUUGGGAGAGUUUUGAUACUACGAAUUCCAAAUCUGCAUUAUGAAGGACCUAAGCCCUCCUUUUAUAGGAGCAAGGGCUGGUCAUGAAGCUUACAAAGCUUGUACCACAAGCUACCCAAAAGUCUCCUAAGCUAACGCCUAUAGUGACUUAUGAAGAGUCACCUUCUAGAAAAUUCUAAACUAAAGCCUAAAGAUGCUUUACAAAAGAGGUAUCUAUGGUUUUCCUCUAAGCACCUUCCUAAACACUAUUCUAUAUUAUUUACAAUUUUAUACAAAAGAAACUAUAAAGAGAGAUAUUUAAAUGAAGCCUAUUCUUGAAAGCUUGUAGACUUCUUUGCCUUUAGGCUUGAUCCUCUCUUUAUUUUAUGUCUUCUUUUAAUUUUGAGAAGACUAGAAGGAAGAACUUCAAAUGUGUAGGUGAAUGACCUCUUCCUUCAAUAAUAAAAGUCUCCUUUAUUUGAUUCUCAUCAGUUUGGAUGCGUGAUUAUGAAACAGGUGAAUCUGUAGAAGAAGUCGAUGAGGAGUUUGCUUUUCACAUCUCCAAUGAUGAUCCUGUGAACUUUGAAGAAGCAGUAAAAGAAAAAAAAGUGGCAGGAGGUAAUGGAGCUUGAAAUACAGGCUAUUGAAAGAAAUCAGACAUGGGAGCUUGUGACAUUGCCGCAUCAAGCAAAGAAAAUCGGUGUCAAAUGGGUUUUUAAGACGAAACUAAAUGAAGAAGGCAAAGUAGACAAAUGUAAAGCGAGACUCGUUGCUAAGGGAUACUCGCAGAAGGCUGGAGUAGAUUACAAUGAAGUUUAUGCACCAAUAGCUCGAUGGGAUACAAUCAGAAUUCUCAGAAUUCUGGUGGCAGUAGCAGCACAACGUGGAUGGUGCAUCUAUCAACUUGAUGUCAAAAGUGCUUUUCUAUACGACGAAUUAAAUGAGGAGGUAUAUGUUGAUUAGCCUGAAGGUUUUGUCAAAACAGGAGAAGAGAACAAGGUUUAUCGACUGAGGAAAGCUCUCUACGGCCUGAAACAAGCACCGAGGGCUUGGUUCAGCAAAAUCGAGAGCUAUUUCAAGAAGGAAGGAUUUGAGAAAAGUAAUUAUGACCACACCUUGUUCUUGAAGAGAAUUGGAAGAAAAUUAUUGUUGGUCUGCCUCUACGUUGAUGAUUUGAUUUACACAGGAGAUGAUGAGAAUAUGUGCAAAUGUUUCAAGUUAUCAAUGCAACAGGAGUUUGAGAUGACAGACUUAGGAAAAAUGAAGUUCUUUCUUGGAGUUGAGGUUUAUCAAAACGAAGGAGGAAUUCAUUUGUGCCAAAAGAAGUAUGCUAAGGAAGUUUUGGAAAGGUUCAAUAUGUCGGAUUGUAAUGCAGUAAAGAAUCCGAUAGUCCCUGACACCUUCUUGUCAAAAUCAGGCGGUAAAAGUGUCGAUGCAACGUUGUACAAACAACUAGUAGGAUGUUUAAUGUACCUCACGGUAACUCGUCCCGAUUUAAUGUUUGUUGUUUGUUUGAUUUCACGUUAUAUGGCUGAUCCCAGAGAAGAACAUAUGUUGAUUGCUAAAAGGGUACUGAGAUAUUUAAAAGGUACAUUAGAUGUUGGAGUUUAUUACAAAUGGAGUAAGGAUGUAAAUCUGCUGGGAUACACAGACAGGAAGAGCACUUCAGGCUAUGUUUUCUUUCUAAAUAGAGCAGCAAUAUGUUGGAGUUCAAGGAAGCAGGGAAUUGUAACAUUAUCAUCUACAGAAGCUGAAUAUGUGGCUGCCACUGCAAGUGCAUGUCAUGGAGUUUGGCUUACGGGAAUUCUGAAGGAGCUAGGUGUUCUAAGCAGCGAGUGCAUCGAUAUCAUGUGUGACAGUAGUUCAGCAAUAAAAUUGUCCAAGAAUCAUUACAUAUUGAUGUCAGGUACCAUUACUUGCGUAAUCUGUCAACUAAUGGGACUGUGAGGUUAGUGUUUUGUGGAACUGAAGAUCAAGUAGCAGACAUAAUGACUAAACCAAUUAAGCUGGAUCAAUUUGUGAAUUCAGAAGCAUGCUUAGAGUUCGACGACUUGAGUAAACUGAUGCUGUUUCAACAUACUUCAGUUUACUGGGAAGAAUUUGUUGGAGUAACGUUAUAGCUGAUUAAUAGGGAUUAGUUUUCUAUUUGUUAAAGUAGCUAUUUUGUAGGAGAUAUUUCUGUGAUUUCUGUUUUGUAAAGGCUUUAUAACGGCUUUAUAACGGCCGUAGUUAUGUUUCAAUAAAAUAUCAAUUUCCUUUAAAAGUUGCUAAUUUUUUUGUCACCGCUUGUUAUCUAUGGUGGCAACUGCAACUCAAAAGCAACAAAUACAACGCCGAUGAAAGAUUGAAAAUGUGGUUAAAAUGAAAAUAUGAAACCCACGCUCUGGAACCACAACGGGGACUGCAGCAGUGUCUUUGCACCGUCUUGUUAUAGACUCUCGCAACUAAUUGCAACUAAGCUGAAAAGCAGUAGCUGAAAACCUAAAAUAUAUUAAAUUUAUUCAUUAUCUAAAUACUUAAAUUAGGGUGAAAAAAAUAUUUUUUCAAAAAGUUCUUCAUUGAAGAAAAAAAUAUAUUCUUCUAACCUUUACUAAAUUUCAUCUAAAAUUUAGUAGAUAUGAGGAGGGUGGUGCGUCCAAUGAGGAUGGAAGUGGAAAGAGAAAUAAAAGAGAAGAAUAGUGGAGAGUUAACUUUUGAAUUUUAGAGAAAACGAGUAUAUUUAAGUCAAAAGUAACUACAUAGACAUGAUUGAUGAAGAGAGAUGUAAAAUAUUUUUUUAAAGAAUAAAAUAAAAUUAAAAGGGGUACUUAAAGUGUCCCAAAAUACUACUUAUUGAAAUAUCUUUGAGAUUAUAAAUUAUUUAAAUUAGAAUAAAAUAUCAAGUUUUCAUUUUCUUGUUAUUUCUGUUACUUUGUUUCUAUUUAACAGUUUUAUAUAUAUACUGUAUUCCUUUUUUUAUAUGAAAUAAGAUAAUACAAUUCUUUUUCCUCUCUUCUUUUUUCUUACUUUCUCCCUUUUCAUAUAUAGAACUGCCAUUUGUCAUAAAAGGCUAAUCACACUCAUAAGAAGGUUGCUGCACAGUAGUGUGGAUUAUGAAAACCAGAAUCCAUGAAAAUCAGAAUUCAAUAUAAAAAUCAAUCUUUAUAUAUAAUAAACCAAACGUGAACAGUAACAUCAAUUUCUGUCUCUAAAUUCACUAUGAAUCAUGCAUGUAACCAGCAAAAAAUGCAAGAUAAAAACUGCACCAGAUCCUAUUACGUACCAAAAAAAAAAAGCAGCAGCUUGAAACAUCAUUUAAUAUGCACUCAUGAAUUAGAACUGAGCUUCAUAAAGAAACAAACACGUGCCAACUUUAAACUUUAAAACCUAAAAUAUAUUAAAUUUAUUCAUCACCUAAAUACUUAAAUUAGGGUGGAAAAAAAAAUAAAAUAUAUAUAUAUAUUUAAAUCUCUUCAUUGAAAAAAAUAGAUAUUCUUCUAACCUUUACUGAAUUUCAUCUACAUAGUAAAUGAUAGAACAUAAUUCAUCUUUUAAAAUUAAUUUGAGUGAAGAAUAUUAUCAUGAUUCUAACUAGCAAUAUUUUGAUUAUAAUUAUUUAUUGGUGUACCGAUCAGGUCAUCGGGUGUGAUGACAUGGCAGCAAGCGACAAUAUAGGCGUGUUGAACGGGACACCUGGCCGACAGAAGGGAAGUAAAUCGGGAAGUCAGUAUAGUCGCCGAUCGUUGAAGUGGCGUUCUCCGAUCUCUAAUGUGCGUAACCGACGGUCACCAGGGUUGCAUCACAGUCGUCGUAUGUGAGUACUAGGAGAUCAGGUGGUUAGAGAUCGCCGGGGAAUGCUAGGAGAUCAGGUGGUUUACACACCGCCGAAAGGGGCACAUCGCCAAACGAUCAGGGAAGCUUAUAAAAGGUUUCCAAGAGGUACAAGUAUGGAAGACGAGUGAUAUGCUUGUCACAUAGCAGCGGAGGAUGAGGUUAUCAGAUGAUCACACCCUAGCCAGAGGUCGGGUCGAGGGAACAGUUUCCCAGAGCAUGCACGGUGUGCAAGUGACGCAGAUCGUGAUGGCGGCAGGCGAGACCACAGAGAUGGUGCAUGUGAUGGCACCCGGUACUCGCCACUUAAGGGGUCGCGCUCCAAGGAGAGCCGUGCACCAAGUUACUCCCUGUAUGGAUAACUUAGUCAAAUGGCGAAAAGAGUAGAAGUGACGCUCAAGUUGUGGAAGCUCCAAAUAGUGACACGUGUACAGCUGGAUAUGAGCCACGUGUCUAGAGGUGUAACCGUCAGGAGAGAGAAAAAGCUCAGGUAUAUAAGGAACACUUAACAGACUUUUGAGGUACGCUUUCAGAACACUUUUCAGUACACUGAGAUUCACAACGCACGGUUCCUUGAGUUGAGAUAUUCUCUCUGAGUUUUUGGUGAUUCUUCCACUGACUUGGGCGUCGGAGCGCGAUCGGCCGCAGUGGCGCCACUUUGUUUUCUUCAGGUUCUUGCGAGGAAUUAAGACGUGAAGAGCAAAAGCUAACGUGGUGCAAAGCUGAUCCAGAGGAAGAUCUUUGACGUGGCAAGACUCUUGCACUCAAGUCAACCGGCAGGAUCAUCAGGCGUCCACCGUGGGACCGUGUAAAACGUGUUUCCCGUCCACAGCGUGAGUUUCUUGAAGUUUCUGCAGUUCUUGUGUGGUUGUUUGCUGGUGCAACCAUUUUCUGAAGUCUUUCACCGUUCGUUUGCGCAUUCAAUCGGUGAAUCAAGGUUUUCACUGUUCGUUUGAGUUUUCAAUCGAUGAACCAGGGGUUUUAGUGGAGAAGUAGGAAGUUCGUGUUGAGAUCGCGAGUUUCUGUGGAAGUUUGAAUAUCCGAAUCGAUCGUUUUCUGUCGCGGUGGUUUUCUUGGAAGUUUUUCGAGAUUAGAGGAGUUCUAACCGAUUGAUUGUUGCAUAAGUCGUUCCGGUGGUGAAGGUCUUUGUCGUUGGAGUUUGAUCUGUUGAUAUUUCAUGAGAGAGAUGAGAAGUACGCGUCCAAGUCCCGUUGUGCCACCUGUUGAAGAGAGCGUCGUAACCAUGGCGCAAAUGAUGGAGAUGAUGCGCACGUUGCAAGAGAAUGUGGAGGCGUCGCGCUCUGAGCAAGUGAAGAUGCACGAAGACCUGGUCGCAUCUCAGGCCAGAAACGAAGAGCUCAGCAAGGUUAAUGAGGAGCUGCGUCAAGCUCUUCACUAGCAGAGAGGACGCACAACCGUUGAAGAAGUUGCACCGUCGUCACCAUUGCGCGUUUUUCCAAUGCCGUUUGCUCAGGCGAUCAUGGAUACGGUGAUCCCUGCGAGCAUAGUGGUUGUGAAAGCCUCUUUCACCGGCGUGGAGGAUCCUGAAGCACAUCUCACCGCGUUUCAUACGCAGAUCAUGUUGUCAGGGGGCUCAGACGUAGUUUAUUGUAAGAUGUUUAUGAGCACACUCCAUGGAACAGCGCUGGAAUGGUUCGUCAGCCUGCCUACAGGUCACAUAACCAGUUUCCAACAGUUCUCUAAGCUUUUUGUCGACCAGUACAUCGUGAACAAGGCGCCACCUAUGGUGACUUGUUCGACGUAAGGCAGCAUCAGGGAAAGUCCCUCAGGGACUAUCUGAAUAGGUUUGGAGCACAGAUAGUCUGCUUGCCUGGCAAGGACGAGGAGAUGUUUGUGCACGCCUUCAAAAAGGGCGUGUUGUCUGGACCUUUCAGCGAGUCGCUGAUUAGGGGCCACCCCGCCACGUUUGCUGAAAUUCGGCGACGUGCUGUGGCUCACAUCGCCGCUGAGAGCGAGGUUGCAGAAAAGAGAGGGAACGUGGCUUCUACUAAGCCACAGGCCCAAACGAGAAUUCAGCCGCAGAGGGUGUUGGAGACGGCGGGGGCCAAGAAGGAUCAAAGGACUCGCCAUCCUUACGAUCCAAAGAAAAACAACGGGAGAGGGUCAGGGCGCCCUAGAGAGUUCAAUUGUCCCCCGAGGUACNNNNNNNNNNNNNNNNNNNNNNNNNNNNNNNNNNNNNNNNNNNNNNNNNNNNNNNNNNNNNNNNNNNNNNNNNNNNNNNNNNNNNNNNNNNNNNNNNNNNAGGGGUUGUACGUCUCAGGCAGUUAAUGAUUCGUGCUUGGCCCUGGGUUACAAACUCGACAAAUUGGUCAAGUGCGGUUUUUUGAAGGAUUACCUGCUGGACAACAGGACGAGGCAAGCGUCGAGCUCCCAGUCGGCGAGCAGUGAGGGCCAACAGUAUGAGGCGCCCAUUCACAGCGAGAUCCACACCAUAGCUGGAGGUUUCUCGGGGGGUGGAUGUACUGCAUCACAGAGGAAGAAAUAUGCAAGGUUUGUGAUGACAGUAGAAACGUUCGUGGAUCAAUCGCCGGAUGUGGACAUUACGUUCACCAAGGAGGACCUCAGGGACGUUGUGCCUCAUGACAACGAUCCCAUAGUUAUCUCGCUAGUCAAGGCGGGAAGGAAGGUCCACCGGGUGCUGGUGGAUCAAGGAAGCUCGACAGAUGUCAUGUUCUGACCGACUUUCAACAAGCUGCAACUACCCCUUGACCAGCUAAGGCCCUAUGGGGGAUGCUUGUAUGGGUUUGCUGGCGACCAGGUGGAGGUCAGGGGGUACAUUGAGUUGAGAACUACAUUCACGGACGAGGCGGCCUCGAGAACGGAGAAGAUCAAGUACCUCGUCGUGAAUGCCCCCUCGGCGUAUAACAUUCUGUUGGGAAGGCCGACCCUCAACAAGAUAGGAGCUGUGCCCUCAACAAGGCACAUGAAAGUUAAGUUGUCGUCAAUGGAGGGAGUGGUAAUCACCAUAAGGUCUGACCAGAAGGAGGUAAAGAAGUGUUACGAAAAUAGCCUCAAGACUAAGAGGUCGGUGAGCUACAUCACCACAACGCCGCCUCCCGAUGUGGAGCCCAGGCCAGCAGAGGGGCGGGUUGUUGGCAUGGCGAUGGAGGUGAUCACCGAAAGUGACGAGGUCAUGAUGGACGCCGAGGCAGGGGGAGAGAAUGCCGGUCGGGAGGAAGAAGCGAGAAAUCGUCCAGAGGAGGCCAGGGAAUCGGGAAUUGCCAAGGUGGUGAUCGCCAGUGAAACAAGGCCCAAACCAGUCGAGGAGUGGCUUGAGAGGGAGAUCGGGGGUAAGGUCUUCAAGUUAGGGAAAUCAUUGAAAGGUGAGACACAAGACCAGAUCGCCAAGGUGAUAGAAAGGCAUCUGGACGCUUUUGCAUGGUUUGCUUCAGACAUGCCUGGAAUCGACCCUGAUUUCUUGUGUCAUCGCCUAGCGAUGGACCCUCAGGUCAGACCAGUGGGACAGAGAAGAAGGAAGUUCAAUGAGGAGAGAAGACAGGCAAUUAGGGACGAAACGCAGAAGCUCCUCGCCGCAGGCCACAUCAGGGAGGUCCAGUACUCUGAGUGGUUAGCUAAUGUCGUUCUGGUAAAGAAGAUCAACGGGAAGUGGCGCAUGUGCGUCGACUUCACAGAUCUAAACAAGGCUUGUCCGAAGGACUCGUACCCCUUGCCGAGUAUAGAUGCCCUGGUCGACAGUGCAGUCGGGUGUAAGUUGUUGAGCUUUCUGGACGCCUUCUCGCGGUACAACCAGAUUAAGAUGCAUCCUAUGGAUGAAGAGAAGACCGCCUUCAUGACUGAGAGAUCGUGCUACUGCUACAAGGUGAUGUCCUUCGGGCUGAAGAAUGCGGGGGCCACGUACCAAAGGCUGAUUGAUAAGGUACUUGCGCCGAUGUUGGGGAGGAAUGUACAAGCGUACGUUGAUGAUAUGGUCGUGACUUCGCUAGAAAAGAGCAAGCACAUCUCAGAUCUUGAGGAGUUGUUUACCACGAUUGCCAAGUAUAAAUUGAAGUUAAAUCCCGAGAAGUGCAUUUUUGGCGUGGAGGCGGGGAAAUUCCUGGGUUUCCUCUUGACUGAGAGGAGAAUUGAAGCAAAUCCUGAUAAGUGUACUGUCAUCUUGGCGAUGAGAAGCCCGACUACCGUGAAGGAGGUGCAGCAGCUUACAGGUCGGAUGGCCGCCCUAUCUCGUUUCGUGUCAGCUAGUGGAGAUAAAGGCCAUCCGUAUUUCCAGUGCUUAAAGCGAAACAAUAGGUUUGUCUGGACGAAGGAGUGUGCAAAAGCUUUCGUGAAGCUUAAGGAGUAUCUGGCGAGUCCGCCGGUUCUGUGCAAGCCUUUGGUGGGAACGCCUCUCAGGUUGUAUUUUGUUGUAACUGAGAGGGCGGUGAGUGCGGUGCUCGCCCAAGAUCAAGAUCAGAUCUAGAAACUUAUUUAUUUUGUUAGCAAGGUGUUACAAGGCCCAGAAGUAAGGUAUCAGGCCUUGGAGAAAGCCGCGCUGGCAGUUGUAUUCUCGGCGAGGAGGUUGCGCCACUAUUUUCAAAGCUUUACGGUGCUGGUGAUGACCGACUUGCCUAUCCAGAAAGUUUUAAAGAAGCCUGAUGUAGCUGGGAGGAUGGUAAAGUGGGCAGUGGAGCUGUCGGAGUUCGACAUCAAGUAUGAACCCCGAGGACCGAUCAAGGUUCGGUGAAUUUCCUAGAUGAUGGAUCGAAAAAGAGGGAACCUCGGAUAUUNNNNNNNNNNNNNNNNNNNNNNNNNNNNNNNNNNNNNNNNNNNNNNNNNNNNNNNNNNNNNNNNNNNNNNNNNNNNNNNNNNNNNNNNNNNNNNNNNNNNACGGGGACGAUUUUCGUUGGGUGCUUUCGGUAGAUGGAUCGUCUAACCAGCAGGGCAGCGGUGCUGGAGUCAUUCUGGAAGGGCCCAACGGCGUACUGAUAGAACAGUCCCUGAGAUUUGCCUUCAAAGCCAGCAACAAUCAAGCAGAAUAUGAGGCGUUGAUUGCAGGUAUCUUGUUGGCUAAGGAGAUGGGAGUUAAGGUGUUGGUGGCCAACGGAGCCUAGGAAAAUAAAGAAGAACUCUAGCAAGUUCACUCUGAUCGAUGGCGAGCUGUUCAGGUUUGGGUUUACACACCCACUCCUAGUAUGUGUGCACGGAGAGAAAUGCACAAGAAUUAUGGUUGAGCUCCUUGAGAGUAUAUGUGGAAGUCACAUCGGGGGUCGAGCUCUGGCUGCAAGAGCUCUCCGUGCAGGUUAUUACUGGCCAACGAUGAGGGAAGAUUGCAAGAAAUAUGCUCAAUNNNNNNNNNNNNNNNNNNNNNNNNNNNNNNNNNNNNNNNNNNNNNNNNNNNNNNNNNNNNNNNNNNNNNNNNNNNNNNNNNNNNNNNNNNNNNNNNNNNNGGCCGUUUCAUACUUGGGGAAUUGACAUUCUGGGGCCCUUCCCAUUGGCGGUCAGGCAGAUGAAGUACUUGGUAGUGGCGAUUGAAUACUUCACCAAGUGGAUCGAAGUGGAGCCAGUGGCCCAGAUCACCGCACACAAGAUCGAGAGCUUUGUAUGGAAGAACAUCGUGUGCCGGUUUGGUGUGCCUAAACGCCUGGUGUCAGACAAUGGGACUCAGUUUGCAAGUCACCUGUUGAAAAAGCUGUGUGAAGAGGUGGGAAUACAACAGGUGUUUGCAUCCGUUGAGCACCCACAGACGAAUGGCCAAGUGGAGUCUGCCAAUCGGGUGUUGCUGAGAGGUUUAAAGAGAAGACUAGAGAAAGCUAAGGGAUCGUGGGCUGAAGAGGUACCCCGCAUAGUUUGGGCGUACCAUACCACUGAGCAGUCAGGAACCCACGAGACUCCGUUUAGCCUGGUUUAUGGAUGUGAUGCGAUGAUUCCAGUCGAAAUCCAGGAAAGUUCUCCGAGAUUCUAGAACUUUGUGGCGGAGGACUCGAACGAAGAAAGAAGAAUGAAUCUGGAUUUGCUGGAUGAGGUCAGGGAGGAGGCGAGAGUGAAGGCCGAAGCAAUAAAGAGAAGGAUUGAGCGAAGGUAUAACUCUAAGGUAAUGCCAAGGCAGUUUAGAAGUGGCGACCUGGUGAUGAGGAAGGCCCAUCAGUACGAGAUGGAGAACAAGUUGUCGCCUAAGUGGACGGGACCGUUCAGAAUAACCGAAGUGCUCGGGAACGGCGCCUACCGCUUAGAGACGUGAGAAGGAGGGGCGAUUCCUUGCACUUGGAACGUCACACAUGUCAAAUUGUAUUACAAUUAAAGCCUUGUAAGUAAAGACGAACAUGAAGAGAUUUAAAUAGUUUCUGUUAAAACAGUUUCAAGGGGGCACUCUUUUUUCCCUAAGGAGGGUUUUUAAUGAGGCCACCCAAUAAAGAAGAGUUUUCAAGUUUAAAGUUUCUAAGAUUGCAUGCUUAUUGUUUUGAAAGUUUUUAGAAAAAAGACCUUAUCAUUUGUACGUGAUCUAAGACAAUAGUAAAGUUAUAUUGCAUGCUUUCUAGUAAAGUUUUAAGUCCCCAUCGUUUUUCGGCGAUCGGCGGCAAUAGUUAAAAGUUUUAAAGACCUCAUCGUCUUUCGGCGAUCGGAGGCACCAGUAAUGUUUAAAGCCCUCAACGCUCUCGUGCGACUUGAGGCGAGAGGAGAAGUCUUCCUCGCCUUUGAGCGAGUGCAGGCGAAAAAGAGGAGAAGUCCUCCUCGCCUUUGAACGAGUGCAGACAAGAACAGAUUGAAAGACCUCUUUGCAUAAGCAGAUUGAGGCAAGAUUAAAAGUCCUCAGUGCAUCCAAGGGGGAGGAGAUGUACACCCUGGGCAAGUUGAGGCAUCAGAGAAAGUCCUUCUCACCUUAGAGUGAGUUCAGGCAAGAUGAAACUGAAAAGUCAGGGGUGUUCGUGACCUUAAACGGCGGGAAGGGAAGGUUGAUGGAAAACGCCUUUUCCCCUUUAAGUGAAACAUCAAUGUUGACCCAGUAAGACCAGAUAAAGCUUCCACGCUUGCGGGUGGUGUGAAGAUAGAUAAAAUCCUUCUCGUCUUGAGCGAGUUCAGGUAUGGCGUGAAGGGUGGAAGAAGUCAAAGGAUAGCUGAGAUAGGUUCGUAGAGAACACCUCACUAUCCAGAUCAUUGUUCUAAAACUCAGGGAGGUAGAAAAGGAUCCGAAAGGCGCCUCUACCCCAGAUGAGGGAACAAUGAUCAAGUUAUGCAAAAGAGGGUAGCAUCGCCAGAACCCUAUGGCAUGAAGGUUGAGAUAGUGAGGGUAUUGUAUGGCGAGUACCAAAUCAGAGGAAUUUACAGCGAUGACAGGAGAAACGUGAACUUCACUUGGCAGAUCAGGUAAGCUGUGUUUAGAAUAUUAGAUUGAGUUAAAACCUGCUGCCUAGCAAGUGAUUUUGCGAUAAGGUUUGUUACCUUAAGUAUAAGUAUAAGUCAUCGCCGAUAAUUGAUGGUGGCUCGAGUUUACUUUGAAUUAACAGCUUGUUAAGUUUGUUAUGAGGUUAACAGUUUGCUCGAGUUAAAGCAGUGUGUGAAGGUUUAAAGUUCAAGUAAUGCUGAGUUAAUUCAGUUGAGUAAGUUUCACCAGUUGUGUUGGUCAACCACACAGCAAAUAGAGGCAAAGGCGUAUAACGUGAAAUAGAAAGACAAUGUUCAAACAAUAGAAGUUAUAUAAGCAGUGCCAAUUGAAGUCUAUACACAGAUCAGUCAUUACAAACAGAAGGUUCUAAAAAAGGAGGCGAUGGAUGGAGGCGGCUAAUCUUCAGAAGGAACGAUCUUGCCAUCCACCACCUCGUUACAAAUCGACAGCAUGGAAAGAUCGAGCUCAAGAUAUUGGCAUGACAUUUGCUCCAGAGCAGCUUCGAACCCAGAGGUGAGGAUUUGAGCAGCACUCUACUCGAGCUCAUAUAUUUGGUUCUUCAGUUCUUCCUUCUCCUCAUGAACUCGAGCAAGUUCUUCAGUAACUUUCUUACUCUCGUCCCGAGCUUGGACUAGCUCUGCAGCAAUUCUUUCAGUUUCCUUACGAGCUUCGGUGAGCUCAGUGUCAGCCUUGUCCCUCUCAGCUUCGACCUUCCCCAAGAAGACCUCCCUCUCUGCUGAUCUUUUUUCAAUCUUCUCCACCCUGGAAGCUUCAGCUUUUUGUGCAGCCUCCAAAUCUGCCACUUUGACCCUAAAUGGGACCAGUUUGCUCUCCAAGUUAAUCUUUUCUUGGAGUUGAGUGUGUAGCUUUUGGCGCAGAUCAGAGGCUUCCUUGCGUGUGUUCCUUAGUUCCGCUUCCAGCACAUCCUCCAGCCUUGAAUGUUCCAUCUCCGUCAUCAGCAGAUUGCAGGUGAGCUUUUCAGCUUCAGCCCUUAUUAUGAGAUUUGCUCCUUGAGCGCGAGGUUUUCCUCUUGGAGCUUCUUGAGUGAAUCCUUCACAGCUCUUGUUACAAGCAAAGGGAGAUCUUCCGCCAUGGUCUUCAGUUGCACUGCGAAGGGUCCCAAGGUCUCUUUAAAGGGAUCUGGGAGACUUGAGGCUGAUGCUGGAGGUGCUGGUGGAGUUUGAUGUUGACUUUCACCACCACCCUCUUGAGCUUGUACAGCAAUUGGGGCUUCCAGGCGUGGUGGUGAGGCUGGAACUUCUGUUAUAGGCAUUGGAGAAGCCUGAGCACCUUCAUCUUCUCCUAGUGUGGCCCCAGCAAUGGAUGUGGUGGAAGGAGGACCCUCUCCAACAGAUACAAAUGGUGUAAAGGCGCUCGGAGGGUUCUCUGCAUAAUUAGGGCUGCUACUUUCGAUCACUAUGGGCGCGACGGCCAGUGGUGUUGCUUGGAUUGGUUCUAACGGAGCUGGAGGUGAUGGCGGUGUUGGUGUUGGAAGUGCAGGUGGUGUGGAGGUGGUUACCCUUUUUCUCUUGGUGAUGAGACCAUCCUCGGUGUCUUCAUCGUCGUCUUCUUCUUCCGACACCACCUGAGGAGUCUUCCUCUUUGGUCUCUUCAACACCAGUUUUUUCCUUUAUGGGGCGGGUAGGGCCCCAAAAGGAGUUGGACCUUGGGGAGGAGUUUUUCCUUGGGAAAUGGCGAUCUCCACAACCGAGUUGGGCACAGUUUGGGAGCCCGCCGCAAGUUUGUGGGAUCGGGCGAUCGCCCUCAAUUCUGCCAGCUUUCCUUUUCCCAACAUUGCGUCUGCACAAGGUAAAAAAUAGAUGAGUAUGCCCCAAAGCAGAAGCAGAACAUGCAAGUAUGUACAUACAGAAAUAACAUAGGUAAAUAGCACAUGGAUGAAUGAUCAAGACCAGUACAGAACAAACAGAAUGGUAGAAAUGCUAAGACAGUUUCAACACAAAAUGAGAGUCUUGGUGUUGGGGUAAGGGCUAACCUAUGUACAUUUCAAGUUGGCCCUCGAGGAAUUCGAAGGAGAUUAUUGGAGCAGUGGGGAAGGUGAUGUUGGCAGAAGCCACACUUUUCCAGAAGAGACAAAGGUCUUUGUCCAAAUCCCCCAUGUUGUCAGGACUUCUUGUUCUCCUGAAGUUGUCCCUGGAAUCCUUGGUCCCCUUGUUUACCCAAUACAAAGGGAAGCCAUCAAGCAACGAAGGGUCUUGAUCGUUCGGGCACACCUUGACGAAUUUCCCCUUCCAGUCUUUAUAGGAUUGCUGGAAGAUGGAGAGGAUUAACCUCCCAGCAAUUCCAUUCAAGCUGACCCAGAGGCGAUCUCCAGGAUUCUUUGCCUCGAAUAAAAAAAGGAAGACAUCAACUGAAACCGGCAGCCCCAAGUGCGCGCAAAGGAUUUGAAACGCCCUCACAAAUGCCCAGCUGUUGGGAUGGAGCUGGGCAGGGGCGAUGUUGAGCUCGGUCAAUAGCUCCCUCUCGAAACGAGUGAAAGGAAACCUAAGUUUCACUUUCUUGAACAGCGUGGCGUAGACGAAGCAAAACAACUCGUCGUUGCUCCCCUUAUCGUCCGCACAAAUUGGUUCUCCGAGGAGGCAAGGUAGCACCGUCACAUUGUCGUCGUGCUCCUUGUGAAAUGAAAGGUCGGGUCGAUCCCCUUUCUUCAGACGACGCACCCCCACCUCAGUAUUUAUCGACGAGGUUUCCUUCAGUAGAGUUGGGGUGGCCCAAGGGUAGAGCUCUUUGUAAUCCCGCGGAGGAAGGGAGACUCCCCCGGCUUGCGGUGGAGUUGCUUGGGUAAGGUUGGCACAAGAAGAGGCAGGCCUCUCGGCCUGUGUGGAAGGAGCACCAGAGGCUCGUGGGGGGUUGCGUGUUGGUGGAGGGUUUGUCCCAGUGAUAACCCUACGAGUUUUGGGAGGAGGGUUUCGCGAUGAGGAAGGAGGAUUAGUGGUGGACUUUGUCUGAGCCAUCGUAGGAACUGCAAAGGAAAGAAAAGGGAGGAAAUGAGGAUAGCGAGAGAAUGACUCGAUUGAGGACGAAGAAGAUAGAACGAACGAGUGAGAGUUCACUGGGGUAGACGUUAUCAGGAAUGAAAUCUUAAGUUACGAGAAAAAGAGAAACAACCCACAACGUAUGCUCCAGACAGUUAAUGGAUGAUGCAAACCGAUUAAAAUGCAACAAAUAUCAGUAGAAGGAGUAAAGGAGUUACCUUUUGAUGAUCGGGUAAAUGUUGAAGGAAGUCGAAGAUUGUGGGAGACGAAAGGUUUCGUAGUUCGCAAAGAGAACGUUUAGAAUGCUUGAAGAUGAAGAAAGAUAAUGAAACAGUGAAUAGCGCGAAGGGUUUAAGGGUUUUGAACGUUGUAGGAAACGCAAACGACAAUUAAAAACAACCGUUGAUGAAGCCACGUGUCGUUUGAUUAAAAAGGGGUUGGUGAAGCGUCAGAAAGGCAAAAGAGUACGAACGUACGGAAGUCCGUACAAGGGCCACGUAGAUCGACGAUGAUUUGACUUCUUAGUCUUUUCGCUGGUCAAGUCUCAGCUUAAGACUGGGGGGCUUAUGUACCGAUCAGGUCAUCGGGUGUGAUGACAUGACAGCAAGCGACAAUAUAGGCGUGUUGAACGGGACACCUGGCCGACAGAAGGGAAGUAAAUCGGGAAGUCAGUAUAGUCGCCGAUCGCUGAAGUGGCGUUCUCCGAUCUCUAAUGUGCGUAACCGGCGGUCACCAGGGUUGCAUCACAGUCGCCGUAUGUGAGUACUAGGAGAUCAGGUGGUUAGAGAUCGCCGGGGAAUGCUAGGAGAUCAGGUGGUUUACACACCGCCGAAGGGGCACAUCACCAAACGAUCAGGGAAGCUUAUUUAAGGUUUCCAAGAGGUACAAGUAUGGAAGACGAGUGAUAUGCUUGUCACGUAGCAGCGGAGGAUGAGGUUAUCAGAUGAUCACACCCUAGCAGAGGUCGGGUCGAGGGAACAGUUUCCUAGAGCAUGCACGGUGUGCAAGUGAAGCAGAUCGUGAUGACAACAGGCGAGACCACAAAGAUGGUGCAUGUGAUGGCACCCGGUACUCGCCACUUAAGGGGUCGCGCUCCAAGGAGAGCCGUGCACCAAGUUACUCCCUGUAUGGAUAACUUAGUCAAAUGGCGAAAAGAGUAGAAGUGACGCUCAAGUUGUGGAAGCUCCAAAUAGUGACACGUGUACAGCUGGAUAUGAGCCACGUGUCUAGAGGUGUAACCGUCAGGAGAGAGAAAAAACUUAGGUAUAUAAGGAACACUUAACAACUUAACAGACUUUUGAGGUACGCUUUCAGAACACUUUUCAGUACACUGAGAUUCACAACGCCCGGUUCCUUGAGUUGAGAUAUUCUCUCUGAGUUUUUGGUGAUUCUUCCACUGACUUGGGCGUCGGAGCGCGAUCGGCCGCAGUGGCGCCACUUUGUUUUCUUCAGGUUCUUGCGAGGAAUUAAGACGUGAAGAGCAAAAGCUAACGUGGUGCGAAGCUGAUCCAGAGGAAGAUCUUUGACGUGGCAAGACUCUUGCACUCAAGUCAACCGGCAGGAUCAAUUGAAAACGCUUAUACAGAUUAAAAAGUUAAAAUUUAUAAUAUAGUUAAUUUUUUUAUUAAUAUAUAAACUUUUUUUUAUAAUUUUAGUUAUUUUAUUAUAUGUGUAUGGGAUAAUUAAAAAAAUAGAUACAAAAUUACAUGUGAUUAAUUCAUAACAGAUUUUAUGAAAGCACAUGACGUAAUUGCAGAUAUUUUAUGAAAGCACAUGACGUAAUUGCAGAUAGUGGCUUUUCCUCUUGUUUCACUUAUUUCUCUACACUUGAUAGAAGAAGCCUGCAUCUUCCACAUCCAAACAGUGGUGCACUUUCAUUUGAGUCUGCCUUCCCCACCCCAAACAUUUCCUUUACUUUAGCAGACUGCCGACCUUUUUCACGUGGGUAGGGUCGUGUUGAGGUUCUUUUCCUCUAUCUCUUCUCUGUCUCAACUUUUUGGCUUCUUUCAACUGUAUUCAACACCACCUAAACGUUUUUUCAUGGCUCAUGUUCUAAGGCAAAUAUUUUAUUAUAUUAUUAAUAAAAUAAAUAAAAAUAAUAUAAUGAAAAUAAAUAUAAUUAUUUAUAAAAUUUUAAUUACCUUAAAUAUACAUAAAAAUUCCUCAUAUUUUAUUAUUCAAUAUUUUUAGAAAUAAAAAUAAAUUUGUAUUUAUAUUUCGCACUUUUAAAAAAAUAAAAAAUUCUCUCAAAACAUUCUAUCACGUUAAAUCCCUUCUAACCAGCAAAAUCUAAACAGUCUUUCUUCAUAUUCUUAAAUUCUCAAACAUUCACUAUCACAAAUGUUAGAAAAAUACAUUCCAUUUUCUACCGAAACACAUCUUUUUCCUUUCCCAUCAAAACACAUUAUGUGAGAAAUGUUAAGGUAAGGGAACUUUCGUGGAUGUCUCAGCAUAGCUCAACUUUGAAUAGGAAAAGAUUUCUUUAACACGAGAAAAAGUAAAAUCACAAAGACCCACCUGACGCAGUGAUAUUAAAUGACCCAAGGCUGUUUAUAAAAAGGUCCUAACUUGAUCCUCAUGCAUACCCUUGUCUCACUCUUUAAUCUCUCCUUCUUUUAGCUGUCGUCAAAAUCAGGUUUCAACUUCUUCAUGGCUGAUGGUGCUUUUGGAAUGAGAGGUAAUGAACUGAUUUUUAACAUAGGCAAUAUCCAAAUAUGUAACAUGGCAAUAGAAACUAACCCUGUUGAUGGCCUUGUUGCCUUCAUCUUCUUUGUACUUCUCGCUUUCCUCCAACUCAGAUAUCCAGAAAAUUCCACCCCAUUUCACCUUCAUCCAAACACCAUUUGGCUUUCCAUUCUUAGCUUUCUUCUUUAUUGCUUCUUCACCUUCUCUGGUAACCUCAACUUUGGUAUCAGAGUUAAUCACUUUCAAACCCUCAAGCGUGUCUUCGCUUCACUCUCAUUGCUUUGCAUGCUGGUGCUGUUGCUACCCGAAACUUGGGAACGCUUCGGUUUCCUUAUUUACAUUUUAUGGUUCAUCACUCAUGUGCUCUCCUUUAUCAAAACCCACUUCAUGGAAACAAGGGUGCAACGUCGAAAUAUGAGGAGGGUGGUGCGUCCACGGUUACCAAUCACUUCAAUGGAUUUUAAUUAACUGCUUCAUCACUGGGUCUUGCUUUGUUUGAGUGUUGGAAGAGUGUGCUGUUACUCCUUUUUUAUGUGUCUGGCAUAGGGAUAUUAAUUUACAUCAAAUUUUACUAUCAAAGCACAAGACAGAAGGAGAAUUAUCCCUCACUUCUAUAAGUUUGUCAUCCAAAUUUACACUGUCAAUAUAUAUCAAUUAUAUAAGGCGUAAUUAAGUUUUUGUUGCUAGAGGGAAUAUUUUAAGUUUUUAUCUCUGGUAAAAUGUUUUAUGUUUUGGACGAUACUUCUAUAUUCAAACAUAAGGGAUGCAAUGACAAGAAGAUUGUGAAUAGUAAAAAUAUAGAAACACUUUCAUUUCUUUAGGUAUGGAUCUUACAACAAAGAAAUAAUAAAUAAACUUAAAAGAAUGAAUUGGUUAAGGUUCAACAAAGUAUAGCCUAUUCAUCCAACUGUCUACUAUAACUAUUGAGAGACUAAUGAACUAAAAACAACAAUAUAGAUGAUUAAACAAAUUAAGCAAAUUGUCCUUCUAGACCGUCUAUCGAGAAUUUUAAUAACUUUAAAAUUAAGAAGUAUUAACUAAAAUACGUUGCUUAAAGUUAUUAAAAAAAUAUAACCCAAACAUUAAAAGAAAAAUGUGACACAUUAUUUUUUAUUGAAAAAGAAUAUACACUAUAUUGAAUUAAAUUAGAAAUAAACUAAAAAAAUUAUUGGUAUUUAAAAUAUUUUUUUAUUUAUAAAAAAUUAUAAAAUAAUUUUUAAAUUAGUAUUUAAACAUUAAUUACCAAUAGUUACUGAUAUUUUAAAUUUUUUAAUUAAUUUCUAAAAGACUAAUUGAACUAAUAUAAAUUAAAAAAUAUUAAUAAUAAAGUCUGAUAGAUAAUCUAAAUACCAAUUUAGAAACUAUUUUAUAAAUUUUUAUUAAUAAUAAAAAUUAUUUUAGAUAUUGAAAAGUUUUUUACUUUUAAAAUAAUAUAUAAUUUAAUUAAUAUAAUAAUUAAUUAUUUUUAUUUUUAAAUUUAGUUAAAAUUUAAUAUUUUUUUAUAGUAAUAAUAAAAAAAUAAAAAAAAACUGUUGCAUUUAAGUAAUGGUUACGAAGGCAUACUCCACUGUUGCAAGUCAAGACCAACUAUGACCUAAAUUUAAAGCUACAUUUUUUAACUUUAAAAAGUACUUUUUAAUUAUUGUCCUAAAAUUAGGAUGGACAAAAAAUCUAAAUAUAAUAAAACUGUUCUAUUUUUACAUUGAUUUAAUCUAUUUAAUAUCCAUUUGUUUAAACUUAAUUUUUAUAUUGAUCCACAUUUUAUCAAUUUUCUGGAUUAGAUAUCCAUUUUAGUUAAAUGGAUUUUAGAAUUUAGAAAAUCCAGAUUUUCAAUCUGUAUUUUAUUCCUCUGCACCGUAUGACCUUCAGUAACUCUUUCAUGUGCAUAUACUUCUUCAUUCUUCUUCCUUUUUUAUUUAUACUUUAUUAUCUUCUUUUUUUAAUUUUUAGAAUAAUUUAUUUCUAUUAUUGUUAUUUUCUUUUGUUAAAACUAAAGUUCUUUCUAUAAAAAAAACUUAAAGAUCACAAAAUCAUAUAUUAAAAUUUUAAAAAAAAAUUGUUUGGAUUUUUUACUCUUUUUUUUUCACAGAAAUUUAUUUUAUUUUAUUUUCUUCACUUAAAUAUUGCAUUGAUUUUCAGUUGUCUCCAUGCAUAUACACUUGAGAGGGAUUAUAUACAAACAGUAAUAUACCAAAAAAAUUUAUCAAAAAAUAUAUUUACAUUUAAAGGAUAUUCUAUACAGUAAAAUAGAAAUUCAAUGGUUGAUUUUUAUACUCAUUACUUUAACAAUAAAAUUAAAAAAAAAUCACCAAUUUUAUGUCUAGUUUGUAAUUGUAUACAAUUACUUUUUCUGUAUUACUGCAACUGUAAUGUUAAUUUUUAGUAUUAUUAAAUUAUAAUUUUAUUAUAUUUUCUUAAUAUUUAUAUGAUAUUAAUUUAUUUACAUAUUAUUAUAUUAAUAUUAUAGUAAGUUUUUACAAAAUAUAGAUUUAAUUUAAAAAUCCAAUUUAAUUUAUUUUUUUAUAAAAAUAUGGAUUUAGAUUUAAAAUCAAAUAUUUGGAUUUGGAUUGGAUAUGAAUUAGAUUUUACAAAAUCCAAUCCAUGAGUGCAGUUUUUGUAUUUGUAAGCUUUUUAAAGUUUGAGAAUUUUAUAUUCAAACAUCUAUUCAUGUUCUGAGGAGAAGUGAGGAGAAGGAAAGAUAUUAUUAAAGUUUGACAAUUUUAUAUUCAAACAUUUAUUCAUGUUUUGAGGAGAAGGAAGAAUUACUAAAACAAUAGUUAUAAUUUUUUAUAUUAUUAAAUUAUAAUUUUAUGAUAUUUUUUUAUAUUUAUAUAAUAUUAAUUUUUUUGCAUAAUUUUAUAUUAAUAUUGUAAUUUUUUUUUAAAUAUAAAUUUAAAAUUCAGUUAAUUGUUUUUAUAAAAAUAUGGAUUUAGAUUUGAUUUGAAUUGGAUUUAGAUUUAUAAAAAUCCAAAUUGAUUUAUAGAAAAAUAUGGAUUUGAAUUUAAAAUCCAAUCCAAAUAUUUAAAUUUGGAUUAUGUAAAAAUCCAAAUUAGUUUUAUAAAAAAAUCCAUUUCAAAUAUUUGAAUUUGGAUUUCUCAAAAUUCAAACCACCCUUACCUAAAAUAAUAAAUGAUGUAAUAAUUUGACUUAAUUGCCUUGUAGUUUGUAUAUUCUUUUACUUUAGCUCUCUCUAAAUUUUGUUCAGGAAUUAAACCAAAAACUGUUAAUAUGUUAUUGUUCCAAUGAUUUUAACAUGUGGUGAACGAGUAUAUAUCACCACUGUAGCACAGACUGAUACGAAUAUUCUAUGUAGCAAAAACAUUAAUAUGAAUAUUUAUACGAGAUAUGUAUAAUUUUUAAAAUAAUAGAGCACGGAGACAAAAAUCUAUAUAUUAUAUAAUUAUUAAUUAUAUAAAUUAAUAAUUAAGAUUUAUAUACACCAAUUAUGUUUCAGUUUUUUUUAGUAGAAAGAUGAUUUUAUGCUGUUUCAAAAUAAUUUGUUCUUUUUUUUUAAUUAGGUUAGACUUGUGCUAGAAUUGUCAUAAAUUUAACAAAUAUUCUAGAGUGUCAGUGUCUGAUAAAUGUGUUUGGCACAUACACAUCAUUUAAGAGAAGUGUUCGAACUUCAUAAAUAUCACAUUGUUAUUGUCAAGAGAAAUUAUCAUGUAAAAGCUAAAAUUAUAAAACAUAAUUUUCUUGAGCAAAUAUAUAUUUAGAGUAUUAAUCAUGCUCUCAAAUUAUUCCUAAGUUUCAAGAUAAUAAUAAUUAUUACUAAGUUUCAUGGUCAGAUAAACUCACAUACAUGACUUCUUCCCUAAUAAUUCUCUGCGAAGAAUCUUUUGCGGAUAACCGGUAAAAGGAAUGCGCCCCAUACAACCCUGACGUAGCAGGGAUUAGUAAUGUGGCAAAAGAGCAUAUUUGUCUUUUAAUAUCAUUAAUAAAAAUUUAAAAUUAUUGGUAAGUUAUCUGAGGAGUGUUUGUAACGUAAUUCAUGAGGAGAGUGGAAAUGGGGAUAAAAAUUAGAAUAUUUGUUUUAUACAAAAUUUUAUAAUAUUUUCCAUUUACUCGUGUUAAAGAGGAAAAAAUAAUCAAUUUACUUCAUCAAAAGCAAUAACUUAUUUAUCGAAUUCGGUAAUAGAAAAUCAUACUUUUCAAAGAUUUUUAUGAUCAUGAAAGUUUCUCCAAUAUUUUUAUAUAUAAUUGUAUAAAGUUUAUAAGUAAGAAAAUAUUCACAUUAUAUACGCAUAUACACGCCAUAUUUUUUUUAAUUUCUUUUGAUGUUUUUUUAAGUAUAUACUUUUAUUCUUUAAUCAACAAAAUAUAACUUUUGAUUUAAUAAAAUAAGUAUUCAACAGCUUCUCUAUUAUCUAAAAUAACUAAAUAAUUUCCUAUUAAAAUAAGUAUUACAUGUUUUAUUUUAAUAUCAUUUUUAUAAAAUCAUAUAUAUAUAUAUGUAUAUAUAUAUGUAUAUAUAUAUAUGUAUAUAUAUAUAUAUAUUUAAUUUUAUUAUCGUCAAAUUGUUUGAAUUAAAAAAAUAGAUAAAAAAAUUGUUUGGAUGAAAAGAAAGAGUAAGAAAAGUUAUAUAAAAAUUUAUAGUAGAUUUGAUUAAUGUAAUAGAAUAAAAUAUUUUCCUCUACAGUUGCUUGAUGAUCCUAAUGGUUGUGUAGUUUGUUCGGUUUGUUAGAAAGCUUGUUGAGUGUGUCUCCGAACAGUUGCAGACUACUCCUGGUUGUGGGUGUGAUUGUCUAAACGAGAUUUCUCUCCUCAUUGGUUUCUCAAGUUUUUGUUUCAACUCCUUAUUUUCUUGAGAAUGCGCACUUCUUCUUUAUUCUUCGCUGAUUCUCGAUGUCUUUUUGACGCAUCUCCUCCAUUUGCUUUUGGAGUGUUUGAAACAUGGCAAUCUGCUCCUUAGUGAUUCGAUCUUUGUUUGUUGUAUUCCUUGUUGAAACCUUUGUUUGCUGAAAUUUAUCUCGACCCCAUGAUGGGCACCAAUGUACUUGUAUAGACCAAGUGAACCUAGAUAAUAUCUGGAACUGGUUGUACAAUUGGUUAUGUGUCGGUCGCUUCCUUACUCCUCUCGAUCGGGGUUGACCUGAGAAAGAUACUCUAACAAUCAAUCUAACAAUCAAGUAAGUACUUUGUGUCAAGUAAGUACUUUGUGGUAAAAGUUUACAGUGAAAACUGGUAAAAACGUACCUUAUAUCUUUGCAAAGGACUUAUUUAUAGUGUUUAGUCAUGGAACUUUCUUGUAAUGGACCAAAUCUAUUAAAUAUCACUAUUAAUUGAUUUCUAUCGUGAUCCCUGAUUUAUAGAAAGGUAUAUUGGUACUGAAAAAUAUUUUUAAUAAACAAUAUCUUACUCUAAAACAGUAUUUACUGAUUUUUCAACCCCAAAUUUAGUGAGACAUGAUUACAGGAAGUUUUCAUAUUUAUCAUUGUUGUUAUUUAUUGGACGUCUUUAAUGUAUAUUAAUUUGGUCAAUCGAUCACCAAUAUUGAGUGAUUGUUCAUCAAUACCGACCCAUACAAAAAUAAAAAACAAAAGGUAAAUAAAAAACAAAAGGUGAGAUUUUAUAAUAACUGAAUUCUCUUUGUAAAGAGAUAUAAAAGAAAUUAAAUAUAAAAUUGUACGAAUAACUAAAUAUGAAUAAUAAAGCGAGUCAUCUGAAAAAAAAAAAGUCAUGUGAAACAAUCAGAUUGCAAUGAAAAUAUUAAAAAAACUGGUGACAGUUAAUUGAAAAGCGAAAAUUAAAAUGCGUCUGAUAAAAAAAAUUGUAUGAUAACGGCAUAAAAGAGAAGAAAAUCAAUACAUUACAUAGAAUUGUAACUACUUUAACGUCUUUCCACAUCGCAUAUAGAAUCAGUAUAUUUAGAUACUAUCAUUCCGAAAUUCAACGAACCAACUACGAUGCAUCAUGCCACAAUUUCAUAAUUUCAAAUUGGGUAAUAUGAAGAAAAAAAUACAAAACUAUUACAAAAUGAAGAGUUGCUUUAAGUGUAUCAAGAAUUAAUUUGAAUAUUUUUUUCUAUAACUCGAUAAAUCUAUAAUAAUAAUAAUAAUAAUAAUAAAGAAAUUGAUAAUUAUGCGUGAUAAAAGGAUUUACAGGUUGAUCUUUGCAAAAAUAAUCUACAUCUAAGAGGGCUUACCAUCUUUACUAAAAUAAUUAUAUAUUAAAUAAUAAUACUUUUUACUUAAUAUGCCGAACAUGUUCUUACUUGUACAUAUACUUCCACUAUAAGUGAUUAUUCUCAACAUCUUUAUAUUAUUCCCUUCAUCUUUAUAGCACACAAGUAGAGUUGUUGGAGUUUUUACAAUAAAACAUGACAAAUGAACACCCUCAACGGCAACCUAUGCAUAUACUCCUGCAAAUUACAAAGGGGACAUUACAUCGUGUUCAGUGGUUUCAUGCUAGACAUUUUGGAAGUUGCUGGUUUACACCGUUUUGUCUUCACUCUCUUGCUUCUGCUCCGGGCUAAUCUCUUCUCCAACUCCUUCACUCUGCCAGUUAAAUCUGAUAUUACACUUAACUGUUCAUUCCCAGCCUCAACCAACUUCUUCAUCCUCUUCCUUAGCUUCUCAUUUUCCUCCACUAACUUCGACUCACCCUUUAACCCUUCAUCAUCAUCAGCCACAGGUACCACUUCUAAUGCAGCUGAUGUUGCAAAGGGUUCAGUUUUCUCUUCACCCCAAGUUUCACCAACUAUCUCUUCACCAUCCUCUUGUGUCUCCUUGACUGCAAUCUUUCCUUCUGGUUCCUCUUCCUUUUGUGUGUCAUUUAUAGCCACGAACUCCAUUGGCUCGGGUGAGCUGUUGUUUACAUCAUUUGCUUCCAAGCACACAUCUUCAUUUCCUGGUUCACGAUCAUUGACAUUUGUUGUCAAAGGUGGCGACUCAAUAUCAGUUCCAACUCCCUCACCUGACUGAAGCUCAUCUUUGUUGAACUCAAUUUUUACCCAUCCAUCUGAUUCCCCAGAAGACUGCACCUCUUGAUCUUUCAGUGGUUGCUGCUGUUGCUCUAGUUGAGUUGCUUUUGAAGUAUUAUCUGUGGAAGAACUUGUUUCCCCAUCUUCAUUACAUUCCCCUGCUUGAGCUAGUAGAACCUCUUUAGGCUUAGCUUCAUCAUGCUUCUCAACUUCAGAUUCUUCUGUUUUCUCAUCAAGUAGUCCCACUGGAAGCUCCUCCAUAAAUAUCUCAGUUUUAGUUUGUGUUUCUUCUUUAGAAAUAUUCAUUUCAUUGUCCCUUUCAUCUUCAUCAAGUAGUCCCACCGGAAGUUCCAUCAUUGCAUGGUUCUCCGAAUCUAGUCCAUCUUGUGCAGAAUCAUUCACCAUGGCUGGUAGACUUCCAGAACCAAUAUUAUCGUGUUCUUCCUUCUCAAUACUAGCAUCAUUGCUAUCUUCAUCAAUAACUCCCACUGGCAAUUCUUCCCAAACAGUCGUAUCCAAUUUAUCAACCUCAAUGGGAAUGUCUUUCGCUUCUGAUUUGUCUUCGGGUUCCACAGCCAUUUUGUCAGUCUCGGAUAUAUCACUUGUAGAGUUCAAUGUAUCAGCUGUAACGACUUGAAAAAGAGAUUCUGCUCCCUCAUUUGGUACAGGAUCAACUGGUGACUGAGAUACAUUUCCAUCAUCACAAUUGCCUUCAGAUGAAUCUCCUGGUAUGACAACUUUUUCUUCUUCCUCCUUAUGCAAAUGUUCUUCAUUCUGCAUGUUCGUUGGAGUCACUUCAACAUCUUUCUGAAUAUCCUGCAUCUGCUGCUGAAGUUUGUUAGCCAUUAAAGAAUCAAGCCUUUCUUGCAAGAUUGUGAGCUCUCUAGCCAAGGAUUUUCUGAUCUCCCUAAAACUUGGAUGCAAACCCUGAUAUAUAUGUUGAACAAUAUGUAAGCAUAACAUUGAACAAGGAAAUAAAACUGCGUUAAUAUGAAAAUUGAUUAAUAGCUCUGACAAACCACAACCAACACUCAUAUGUGCAAAACAAAAUAUCUUUGUUCACAUGCACAGUGCUUAAAAUAGGUAAUUAGGCAUGCGAAAUUUAUUACCAUAUUCUUAAAUGAAGAAAUCUCGAAACUAUAUAGAAUUAAGGGCUUGAUAUCCCAACCAAGAUUAGCUAAACCAAAACUAUAUUACUGGUGCCAUGAAAUUUCAAGUACCAUGUAAUGCUUACUGUCAAAAAUCAAAGAAUAUCAAAUAUUCUUUAGUGAUUCUUCUUAAGCAAAAUGGGGUUAUCCGAGAUGUACCUGUAUAGUAUCCAACUUCAGCAGGAGUCUCAUUAUGUUCUCUCCAAUUGCAAUUUUUUGCUUGUCAUCAUUUUGAAGACCAGAAGAUCUCUCAAAAGCUUGAACACGAUCUUGAACAUUGGUCACCUCCUUUCUGACUUCAUCUAUUUGCUUCAGUUUCGUCAAUGGUUCCCAUUUUCUAACUUGAUAACCGCGGUAUGCAGCUUGUAUCAAAACAGCAGCAUCUUCAUCUGACAAGAUUCUUCCCUCUUUACUACCAACAUCAGUUGGUGUGCUUGAGUCUUUCACUUCCCUUAAUUGAGUAGUAUCCACCGUAUUUUCUGCUCCUUUCUCUGCCUUUCUAUUUUCACUCUUGCAUUCAUCACCAUCUGUGCUGGCAUCGCUUGUCUCUUUUGGACCUUCACCGGGCAUGUUUACAUUUAUCUGGUUCUGACAUCCAUAUCUCCAGUCAACACCCUUGUUUUCAUUCGUUUGAUAUUCAGAUGCCUGAAUGGUUUUCUCCUUUGGUUCAACUUUCUCAGUGGUCUUAGGAGCUUUCUGAUGACUCAAAUUUGGCUGAUUCUUNNNNNNNNNNNNNNNNNNNNNNNNNNNNNNNNNNNNNNNNNNNNNNNNNNNNNNNNNNNNNNNNNNNNNNNNNNNNNNNNNNNAUCGACCUCGAACUCCCACUGCCAUUUCUCUUCCUUGGUAUUGGAUCAACUCUCAGACAAACAGGAGGUAACUUGGAUGCUUUUGGUGAAGAUGCAGAUUGUCUCUUCUUAUCAUCAGUACGGGAGUCCUUUUUUGUCACACUCUCUUCCUUUUGAUCUAGAGAAACAUUUUUUCCUAUCUGCUUCACAGGUAUGCUUCUGGCUUUAGUCACUUUCUCUGCAACAUCAGAAGCAUUUGUAUCAGAGUGUGCAACUUCAUUUGAUCUGGUUCCGUUCCUACCACCUUCAUCAACAUUAGACUUUACUGGAACAGAUUUGGUUGCACGAGGCACCUCCUCAAUGAUUUUUGUUGAAGAAGUGUUCUUCUCCUGGUUGUUGGUAUCUCCACUCUCCAGCUUAUUGUAAUAAGGCAACCAGAAGACAGGAAACGGGAAUUCUGACCUCUUCUGUUCGCUUUGACGUUUCUGGUCCAUUUCUCCAUCUUCAGAUUCCCCUCCAUUGUUGCCAGACUCCUGUUUCUGGUUUCUUAUUCCAUCAUGUCCAUCAUGAAUCAUGCUUGGGGCACCCUUUAUAUCAAAGGGUAACCAUCCAUUCCAUACUCUAGGCUCUUGUGCUGGCUGUGCAACAGCAUUAGAACUCUCAACACUAGGAGGCUUGUUUUGUUCACAGACCUCCAUCGUAUUAGGAUUUUUCAGCUGUUUGUUACUUGUGUACUCCUGUGGAAUCAAAACAAAGGGAUAUGGAUAGUUAUUGAGCUGAAUAGGAACCAAAGAAUCAUUGACUUUCCUUCCAACAUCAGGUUCAUGCUCUUCAAUCUUCACACUUCUACCUUCCUUUGAGUUGCAUGAAUGAUUAGGACAACCACAACAAUGAUGAUCACGGGGCAUAUAUUUGUCAUACUCAUAUCUGGGAAGCUCCAUAGUAUGAUGUGGUUGUGGAGAAAAAGGAACAAAAUACGGUUCACUAUAUGCAGGACAACCUCCAGAAUAGUACAUUGGAGAAGGAGCGUGAGGAUAUGAAGGCAUGUAGCUAUAAUUACAAGGGAAGUUGUUGUGGCCACAGCAGAAAUGUGGGGGAAUAGGGUGCCCAUAAUUGCCUGCACAGGGCCAACGUUGGUCAUAAGAAAGGUGUGGUUUGGAUGGAUCAACCUUCAUUUGAGGAGGAAAAGCCUCAAUGCCAGGAUGAUAAUACUGAGGGAAUGGCAUUUGGUUUCUCUGGUAUGGGUAUGAGUCCAUACUUCUGAUUGGCAUCAUGUUUCGUGAAGCUACCAGGCAGAAGAGAGAUUUUUAUGGGGUAAGUGUCUGACCUUGGUAACUCUAUAGCGCAA
This 133558-nucleotide long non-coding RNA is filed under the name Phaseolus vulgaris (common bean). Its description in RNAcentral is "long non-coding RNA (PVUL_LNC000856)". Lineage: Eukaryota; Viridiplantae; Streptophyta; Magnoliopsida; Fabales; Fabaceae. The record is from RNAcentral.